UGAUUAAUUUUUAAAUAGAACGUAAAUGCAGAUAAGUCCUAACCAUUUUAAGAUAACCAAUUGAAAGCAUCUAAUGCGUGACCGCCAAACAUGGGAGGUAAUAUCAAUGUUUUUCCAUGACAAAACCGAUGAAUAAGGUAUACCGUGAAAGAUGCAACACAUGUUCCUCGUGCCAUUAAAGGAGAAAAUUUCCUAACAUGGGGAGCAUAAACAAGGCUUAUUAUUUAGUGAUGUGCACCAACACUUUUUCAAUUCCAUAAAUUGGCUAAGCAAGCAUAUUAGGAGGAAAUUCACUUUCUUAUUCUAUUUCUAUGUGAUACUUGAUGUAAUUUGCUAUGUGGUAACUGCAAUGAUUUUCAAGAUUCAAGAACCUUGCACUUUCAGCACAAGGUUGUCCAUCAAGGUACCCCCAAUCAUAUUAUUGGAGUCCAUAGAAAGGGCAGCUUGUCAUAAGAAAGCAAAUAACCACCACUUUCCCAUCAACUUGGGGAAAGAAAAGGAGAUUCCCCCAUAAUCUAGUUUACACAGUCAGAAGUAAGAGUCUCGUGACACAAUAAACCUCACCAAAACCCUUCUUGGCCUGCUGGGUAGCGACUAUGUCUAAACAACGAACCUCACUGAGGGUCAUAGUGGGAAAAAAGAACCAAGUGGACUCAGAUCUACCAAGUGCUGUAGCUGCUGCCUUCAAGAAUUUCCAGAACUUGUAAUUUCCUAAUUGCCAUCAUUCUCAAAUAUUCAAAUUUCUCCAGUUUGCUGACAAAAUCAAGCCCAUCAAUGUGCAAAAUAGAAAAUUCAAUCGACAUUUGUUCACUAAUUUUAAAUUUCUAGAAGAGAAAUCUUCCUCUUAAUCAAAUGGUCAUAGAAGAUCCUCUCAUUCACACGCGAGGAAACUCAUCGAUCUUUUCAUCUUGGCCACUUCAGUAGUGAUGGCAGGAUCGCUAUAGGUAUUGUGAAAAAUGAUAUAAGAACACCUUGGCCACAGUGGGAGGAUCCUAGUCGAUGCUGCUAGUUAUACUAUUUCGACUGCUAGCAUAGAUGAAAGGACCUCUAUUUUUCUUUUAUUUUUUAAUUUUUGGUUGAAAAAGGUACCUCUAUUAAGUGCAUACAUAAGCAACAGAAAAAAGCACAAAUUUGUGAAAUGUCUGGAUUUAACAAAGUUUAAUAUAAAUUACACAAUGGAAUUCAAUCAACAUCAGUGUAGUUAAAAAGAAGCCUCUUACAGGUUGCUCAGAAGUUCCAAUGUGCUUAUUUAACAGCUCAUCCCUUUCAUAGAUAUGGAUUGAAGAGAACAAGUUGCUCCUGUUGUACGAACAAAGUGUGUCUUGCCAAAGACCGUACAUCCAUGUAAAACAACAUAUGACCAUGGCCUUAGAGGAGCUUGCCCAAAAACAUUUUAUCAGCAAAUGUAAGAAUAACUGACACAAAGAUCAAAUAAGUAAAUAAGUUUAUUUUAGAAGUUAACAUUAACCACAUUAUUAGCACAUAGACGUAGAGAGAGGAAAUGUGUAAUGAGACACCAGAAAGAAUAAACAAAAGCUACAACUUAGACACAACCAACGCAGUUAAAUAAACUUUCUUGAACAAAAUCCAUGCAUAAUCUCGCUCACUCACAAGAAUGCAUAAGGGAAACAAUGGUAGGUAGUUAAGCCCCAUAAUCUCAGGUAACCAAUCCUCUCAUUGAGAUUCUGCAAAGCCUAACCAUAAGCUCCAUCCACUAGAUUGUCAAUCUACAAAAAGAUGUUUAGACAGCUUACCACCAAAAGAUGACUUUGAUGUUACAUGAAAAGUAGAGCACUUAAUGGAAAACAGACACUUGGGAAUUGACAACAUAGAUUAGUAUUGCUUGUCUAGAUACUUGAUGAAAGACACUCACAAAACAAUAAUAAAAUGACAAAUUCCUCAUCAGCAAGAUAAAGUAAAUUAAGCGAUCAGACAGCAUGAAGUAUGUGGGAAGCACACUCAAGAAUAUGAAAGAAAAUGGCAGAUCUUUCAAGUUUCAGUCCUCAAACAUAUCUACUACUUGACAGACUUAAUCAUGAUCUAUGAAAUAAAUUAUGUACUUUGAUUAAGCUAAUUAUUAGUACUGAAAAUAAGUACUUCAGUAAACAAAAGCUAAGGUUAGUACAUUAAGCCAUUGAAUGCCUAAGCGGAAUAGGACUAUCAACGAGAAAAGGUUUGCCCAGUAAGCAACUUUAAGUUGCUCACAUAGAUCCCCAACCGUUAUACCUAAAAACAUUUAAGGACUCUACAGAAAUAGAUGAAGAAAGCUUAUAAUUAUUGCUGGAGAAGUAGAAUUUCAAUUUUAAGAAUGGGAAUACUUGAAAAUACUAUAACCAUAGGCAUCAAAUGUGGAGUAAAGCAAAAUGUAAUCUUUGAUUGUGCAACAUCAGAUAAUUCUUGCUCAAUCUCUUGAACUACAGGAAACAAAGAUGAUACAAAAGGGAGCAACCCAGGUAAUUGCAUUUGCCUUAUUGAAUUCAUCGAUGAGUCAAAGUCAUCAAAUUCCCACACCCAACUCAAAACAUUAAAUGAAAAAGAUAAAGAAAAGGACAUGUCAUCAACACAACAAAUAAGAAUCCAAGAAUGUAAAUGCCCCGUCAGGCAAUUUGCAACAUCUUCCAUAACUAUGUUUGCCAGUUUAAGAUGGGAGAGAAUGAACAAAAAGCAAACAACCAGAGAUGGAAAAUGUAAUUUCAUUGUCUUUUGGAGAUGAACAUUGAAGAGAGAUGAUGUAGAGGAAAAUCGAGUGAGUUGAUUUUGGAAACUAUGUCACGCCCUAAACCCCAGGUAUGCGCACAUCCCUCGGCGGUCGAUAAAAAAAAAUGCGACGUCUCAGGAUGCAUCGCCGAUCCAUUCGUUUUAUCUUUCAAUUAAGUACAUGCGGAAGUGAAUUAAAUAAACACCCGGCCAACAAACAACCACAUGGAUAGUAAAACAUGCUAGUGAUUUUCACAAACUACGAUUUAUACAUAUAUCAAGUUAACCCUAGGAGUUUUACAUACACAAGUCUGUCUCAAAAAGAACUCUUAGGCAACCACACCCCGAAUCCCUCCAACUCGGGCUCAGGAUCCUCCACGACACCGUCCGGUAUAUUGAUGUCCAUGGGGUGACCUACCUCCCCAUCCUCUGUUCCGAUGGGCGGUCUGUCAAAACCCUACAAGGGACUCUCCCGAGCAUCAUUACGCUCGUUAAGGAACCACGCUUUGAAGCGAUGAGGCACCAAAUGAAGGAGGCCCUCAUUGACCCAAAUCAUGGUCACAACUAACUCGCGAGUCUGAAGGUAGACAAUUUUGUUGGCUCGUAGUCCAUUUCCCGGGUGUGACAUCCUGAAUUUCAUGUUCUGAUUUCGAUUGGAUAAGAUGGGCCUUUCGUCAACGUUACUAUAGUGUUUUUCUCUGAGUUGGCCACUCAUGUGACAACUGGCCUAUUCGGUGAAGCCAUUCAGGGAUUUUAAACGCAAUAGACUUGAGAAUUCGACCAGGAAUCGACUACUCGACUGUGCUAGUUUGCAAGGGUCAUUACGGCAUUGUCAAAAUCGAUCAGAGAUCGGAGAUAUGUCGAUUCGACUGAGAUGUGUGAUCAAGUGUGGGUGAUGCCACCUGAUUGCAAAAUUCUCAUCGGUCGGCACUAAACAAAUUUUCUGUCAUUUUGGGUACCUUGUGCCCGUAUUUGAAACCUUGAGAUUUUCACGAACAUCGAGAGUCACCAAUGUGUCGGAUGGGUUCAUUGUGGUUUGAAGAAAAUCAACCAUGGGUCAAUUGCACAAGAAAAUUCCUAAAAGCUACCCGGUAGGUAAGGUCACACUAAAAGCACGUUCGAUUGAAAAUAACCGCGAUUGAAUUCAAUUUCAGAAAUUGGAAGUCCUGUCAUGUCAUGGGUCAUUCUAAGAGUGACGACUCACCAUUUGAGGAAAUUCUGAAGAAUCGGGAUCUUUUUCGGGAAAUCAAGAUGGACGAUUCGGAAAAUAAACGGAAAUAUGGAUUGGCCAAUUCGAAGAGAUAUUUGGCAUCUGGUGUAGGCGAAUCGGUAAAUGAAAGUUGUUUGGGCUUUUUUCAGAUUUGAAUUGGACCUCAAACGGAUUUGUUUGUUCAGAAUAUCAAAUGCCAAGAAAAGCGAGGUAAAAGUCAGAUUUGAAGAAAAUUCGUGGGAUUAAAGGACCGCCUUCAAUUAGAUUUCAAAUGUGCAAUUGAUGAAGAAUUUGGCCUAGGAUGACCAAUCAAUAAUGUUAAUUGAAGGUGAGUAUAAAGUGUUUUAUUCAGCAUUUUGGUUCCUUUUCCCUUGGACACUCUCGGCUAUGUAUACCUCUUCUCCAUCAUGCAUGCUUCCUGAUCAUCUGAAGCUCAAGCAAGAAUAUUUAAUUCUUUCUCAUCUCCCUAUUUCUUUUUUUUUUCUUUUGUUGUGUGCCCCUCUGGCCGACGUUGCCCCCGUCUCACCCGCACACUUAUUCUCUCUCUCCUUCCCCCCUUCCACGCACGUUCCUUUUUACUUUUCCUUGUGCGUGAAUACCAUCCGCACAUCCUCUCCCUCUCGGUUCAUGCCCCACCGACUGUCUCUCCCUGCAGAAUUCAAUUUCCCUGUUUGACCGAGUCUUUGCUUAUCCCAUAAAUAAAUAUCUCUCUCUCUCUCUUUCUCUUGGCGACGUGGACAAACGUCCCAUUCAGUUUCUGCACUGUUCGCCGUCUCCCUCAUCAAGAUCGAAGGAGUCUUCUCUCCUUUGGUGCGGUUGCUGUCCACUUCCUCGCAUGACUUCUCCCAUCUGCACGUGCUGUCUUUUUCCUUAAUCAGUCGAAGCAUGGUCCACCAGAAUCGACGACGCUGCUUCCUUUGAUUGUGCGGUUGUUUGUCCCUUUUCGUGCUUAGUCUGCCCCUCCACAGAAGUCGCGGACGCCCCCACUUUGGCAGUCAGCCCUCCAGCGUGUGGGACUCAUCUCCAACGUGGAAGUCGUGGCCCCUUCGGCAGCAACUUCUGCCUUUCUGUUUUCAGUAGCUCGGCCCAACCCACGUCUACACCGAUUCAAUUCUAUGAGGUCCGUUUGAGUGGAAGAAGGCAACCCAUUUCAGCAGUCUAUUUCUUCAGUUUCCAGCAAGGGUUUGAAGACCCCGUGGCCUGUUUUUGAGCCGUCUCGACCCCAGUUGUCAGAAUCGCUUUGGAGAGAAUCGAGCCUUGUCGCGUGCUCGUCGAUUUGAUCCGAUCAAAUCUUUAAUCAAGUGAGUAAUCUCACUAAUCCCUGCUUAGUUUAAUAAUUAUGCUUAGGGGUUGGUUAGGUUUAAUUAAAUGCAAUUAGGUGGUUAGAUUAGAGUAGAUUAGUGAUUAUUAGACAAUUGUGAUGCAUGUUAGAUAUUUUGGUUGUGUAUUUAGCAAGUAGACGUGGUCUACUAAUUAUUGGAAGUGCCUCGGGAUUUUUCCCGACCCUUAGUGGGCUUCAAUUAGGCUUUUCGGGCCUAAGUGGAAUUUUUAGUAUUUAAAUAUUAAAUUUCGAAAUUAAAUUAAAUAAUUAUUUAUUUUCCGAAAAUUCAACUGAGAUGGUCCGGAACCGGAAUUUUAUGCUGAUUGUCGUGGUGCAGUCCGUUUAUUUAAUUGAGCUUUAUUUUGUGCGAAAAUAAUUUAUUUGGGAAUUAUUUUAAGUAAUUUUGGAAAAUUAAUUGGAAAUUAACCGAGCAUUAGUUAAUGAUACCAAAAUGUUUUAGUGGAAUACAGAAUAUGAUGGGAUUUACAAAAAGGAGAUUAUUAUAUUUUGGCUAGGGUCGAUUGAGUACCCACUCAUGGCAUUUUAUCGGAAAUGAUAAAACUGGUUAUUUGAUUGUUUGCUUGGAAUGACAUGUAUACCAGCUCGAUGACUCUACGGAGCAUCUGGAGACAGUAUGGUAUGAUAAAUUGUGUGUAUACCAGCUCGAUGACUCCACGGAGCAUCUUGAGACAUGACGGUAUGAUCUACCGGCUCGAUGACUCUACGGAGCAUCUGGAGACAGUACGGUAUGAUAAAUUGUGUGUAUACCGGCUCGAUGACUCCACGGAGCAUCUUGAGACAGGACGGUAUGAUCUACCGGCUCGAUGACUCCAUGGAGCAUCUUGAGACAGGACGGUAUGAUCUACCAGCUCGAUGACUCUACGGAGCAUCUGGAGACAGUACGGUAUGAUAAAUUGUGUGUAUACCGGCUCAGUGACUUUAUAUGUCAUCUUGAGACAGGACAGUAUGAUCUACCGGCUCGAUGACUCUACGGAGCAUCUAGAGACAGUACAGUAUGAUUUGAUAGCUCGAUGACUCUAUAUGUCGUCUGGAGAUAAGAUAACAUGCUAUCUAUAUAUCACCUAGGGUGAGUAGUCUUGGAUGUUGAUCAGACUUAUAGAAAGUAUGGAAGGGGUCAUUGCUUUGAUAUGAUGCUGUGAAUUGAUUGAUUGGAUGGAAAUGACUGGGAGUGGUCUUGUUGGCUUGUAAUCGACUAGGUCGAUUUGAUCAAUGCUUCGAUCUAUGAUAUGAUUGCUUGGGUGCCUAUUAUGAAUUGUACUGACUUGCAGGGGGGAUCUGAGGCCAAGGUACUUCUUCUGCCCUGUGCGUGUAUAGGCAGCCUAUAGUAUAAUGGUUUACUAAACGGGCUUAGUGGGGUAGAACUCGCUGAGACGUAGUCUCAUCCCAGUUUGGGGAAAACAUUUCAGGAUCCCUAUGAGAAGUUGAGGAGGAGAAGUCUGGGAAGGAGAACUCGGAGGUAAAACCUGAGGAGAAGGAUUUUGGAAGAAGAAGAUAAUCCCGAGAGGGGCCUUGAGUACAACCCGGAUGGACUGAGAGUCUAUCUUCUUUUGAGAAUUCCAUUUUGAAGUGAAUAGUUAUGAAGUGGUUUGUGUUUUGUAUAAAAGUUUGGUUAUAAAUUUCAAUAUGAAAAAUAUGGCCCUGCUUUUCUAUCACAUUGUUUUAUUGUCUGGGGAUUUUAACUGCUUCCGCAUGUGCUUAAUAAAUGAAAGGGUUGGCGAUACAUAGUCCUGGGAUAUCGCAUUAUAAAAUCGACCAAGUGAGAAGGAUGUGUGCGUGCCCGAGGAUCAGGGCGUGACACCAGGGAUAGGGAAAAAGGUAGACUUUUAGUCCAUUUCCCACGGAACCCCGAACCGGAGUGGACGUAUCUCCAUACUAAGGACUUGAAAAAGGUUAACCACGACGGGGUGAGAUAAAUCUCAGUGAGUCAAAACCCUAAACCCCGAUUAGGUCGCAAAUUCGCCUCGAAGGUAGUCCUAAGCAUGCACCAUACAAAACUCACCUCGCCUCGGCACGUCCCUGCAUAUUAGUGCAUCACAUAUCCCAUUAUCAAUACAACAAGCGUGAUUAAUAACCGGAACACAUAGUUCUAGCCCUUCAAACAUUCAUAUGGGUCUUGAUUAUAAGGUAAAACUGUUAUGACACGUCACAUACCGUGCCACACAAUUUUGCCCCAUAAUCAAGCGCAAACUAUCACAACCAUUCAAGCGUGUUCUGAUUAUUACGACCCAUUGGCUAUGGCCAACUCAAAAGUUGGCGGUCAUCCGGCAUAACCGGGCAUCGUCCCGCCCCGUCAGGCACAACAACGUCUAGCACUACCCGCCUAGACGGCAUUCCAUAAAGGAGCAUCGGCUCGGCCUCCACCGCAACUUGGCAUCCGUUGACGUGGGGAAUCCGAACUUAAUUAGGCAUCGCCUCCCCAACUCUCAUCAGGUGAUGAGGUUCCAAUAGUGACCAUACGAGCACAUAUUUGGCCAAGGACACCAUGCUUUGCAUUCAAAUACCUCCUUUUCAAAUAAUGAACUUGGCCACUUUUUCUUCAUAUUAAAAAUCCCGGUAAAAUAAUCGUGCGUGGUCACGUAUUUAAAAGCGAACCAUCAAACCUGGUACUCUCCUAUUUUGAAACUCCACGAUUUUAUAUAGUAUAUAAAAAUUGGCGUCCAAAAACCGACACCUAGCAUUUUUCUAUUUAAAUGCCCAUAAAACCGAGUUUUACAGCUAGUGUGCUAUGGAAAGAGAGUACUUUUUGUUACCAUGUAAGACGAAAUUAUUACCUUGUCCCCGGUGACACAAACACACUGCUUAAAACUUCAACACCAUCUGAUUCAGUAAAAAACUGCACCAAUGAAUAACAUACCAUUAGUGAGUCAUACCAUCACAUGACCACUUUACAAGUGCCAUUGAAUGCAAGAAACUAACUGAUUGAUGACAUGGUCAGUGACCCUGUAUUAUCAUGCCCCCUCUUCAGCACAAUGGAAUCAAAUUCAUGAAAAAAGAGAAGGCAAGGUGCUACAGCUGCUACCUUCAAGAAUAUAUCUGAACCUGCACUUUUAUAAUUGCCGUUACUCCCAAAUAUUCAAAACUUCUCUAGUUUGUUCACAAAAUCAAUGCCAUCAAUGUGCAGAAUAGAUGAUCCAGUAGACAUUUGAUCACCAAUUUCAAAUUUUUAGUAGAGAAAAACUUCAAAUAUCUUACAUCUUAAUCUUCAUAGAGGAUUCUCUCAUUCAUGCGUGAGAAAACUCCAGAAGCAUUUUAACUUGGCCUCUUCAUUGGUUAUGGGAGAAUCCUCAUUGCUGUUGUUUAAAAUUAUAUAAUUAGAACAUCUUGGCUACAGAAGAUCCUCAUUGCUGCUAUUAGUUAUCGUAUUUUGACUGCUGGCAUAAAUGAAGGGACCUCUAUUAAAUGCAUACAAAAGCAAAAGAAGAAAGCACAAAAUUGUGAAAUGUAUGGAAAUAACAAAGUUCAAUAGAAGAUUGCACAGUGGACCUCAAUAAACAUUCGUGUAGUUGAAAAGAAGGCUAUUAGAGCUUGCUAAAAAGUACCAAUGUACUUAUCCAUAGCUCGCCCUUUUACUGAUAUGGAUUGAAGAGAACAAGUCAUUGCUAUAGCACCAACAAUAUGUCUUGCCAAAGCCUAGACGUCCAUGUAAAAGAACAUUUCACCAUGGUCUUGGAGGAGGUUGUGCAAAAAAGUUUUAUCAGCAAAUGUAAAAAUGAUAGAUACAAAGAUCAAAUAGGUUUAUUUAACAAGUUAACAGUAAGUACAUUAUUAGCAUAGAGAGAGAGUGUGUGUGACAUCCUGAAAUUCGACCCCGUUUCGAUAAAGUGAAAUGGGCAUUUCAUCAACGUGUUUACGGUCAUUUUUCUCUAAGCUGAUCACUCACGAGUUAACUAACCUAUUGGGUGAAGCUGUUAAGGGAUGUAUCUGCCGUAAAAUCCCUAAAAGCUACUCAAUUUGUUGGAUUGGACUAAAAUCACAUCUGAUCAAUUUUUAACCACGAAAUUGAACUCGAUUUCGGGAAUCGAAUUUUAAGCGCGGACAAUUCUUAUUUUUAGGAUCCUAUCUCAUCAUCCGUCAAAUUGUUGACGAGUUCGAAAUUUCAAUAAAGAAAUUAUCGGAGGAAAAAUUGAAGAUCGAAAGGAAAUAAAAAGGGAAUGAGAAAAGGAAAAUAAUAGAAGUAAUAAGAAAAUUAUGUUUUCUUAUUAAAAUAGUAUUUUCUUUUCCUUUUUCUUUUCUCUCUCCUCUCCCCCUCUCCCCUUCGUGCGAAUUGGCCCCCAUUUCCACCGAAUAGUGGGCUGUCCCCCACUUGUUUUUCCCCUUUCCCUUUGACCAUUCAAACCCAUCUUUUCUCUCUUAUCUUCUUCUUCUUCUUCUUCUUCUUCUUCUUCUUCUUCUUCUUCUUCUUCUUCUUCUUCUUCUUCUUCUUCUCUCUCUCUCUCUCUCUCUCUCUCUCUCUCUCCUUCGCACGCUCUCUCCUCCCUUCCGUGCAUUCCAGCGAACGAAGACAGAAGAAGAGCAGACGUUGCAGCUCGCCGUCACCGCCUGUCCCGCCACCCACGCGCGCACGCCCCGCGUCCGCCGCUCGCCGCCAUGCACUGCCUGCCCUCUCCUCCGCCCAGGCACCCCUUCCUUGCGCGAGACAGGCCGUUCGGCCUCUGCUCAGCCCUCGUUUUGCCCCGUCCGGCCACCUCCGGCCGCCGUUCAACCCCGCCGGACCUCCACCGGCCUUCCCUCGUGCCUUGUCGCGCUUGUGGAAGUGGUUUGUGGCUGUUUUGUGUAUGUUUUCAGCCAUUGCAGCCACCCCACGAAGUGGAUUUCCAGCCCCUUUCGGGCUCGUUUUGGGCCGUUUCCGGGCCCCAAACCUGAGCCGUGCUUUGGGAAGAAUCGUUCCUCACGCCGCCCCCAUCGGAUUGAUCCGAUUUGCACGUGAUUUGGUGAGUAAUCUCACUAAUCCCGGAUUAGUUGGCUAAUUAUGCUUAAGGUUGGUUUAGUUUUAAUUAAUUAUGUUUAGUUUUUUAGAUUAGAAUAAAUUAGCAAUUAUUAGUCAAUUGUGAUGCGAUUUAGAUAAAUUGAUUGCGCAAUUAGCAAGUAGACGUGGUCUACUAAUUAUUGGAAGUGCCUCGGGAUUUUUCCCGACCCUUAGUGGGGAUUUUCGGGCCUAAGGGGAUUUUUGGUAUUUAAAUAUUAAUUUUUCGGAAUUAAAUUAAAUAAUUAUUUAUUUUCCGAAAAUUCAACUGGGAUGGCCCGAGAAUGAAAUAUUAUGUUGAUGACUGUGGUGAAGUCUAUUUAUUUAAAUGAGCACCAAUUUGAGCUAAAUUGGAUUUAUUAUAAUUAAUUAUUAAUUCUCGAAAUUAAUUAAUUAAUUAAUUAAUUAUUUUCCGGAAAUUUAACUCGGAUGGCCCAUGACCGAAUUUUUAUGCUGAUGAUUGUGGUGCAGUCUAUUUAUUUAAUUGGGCUUUAUUUUGGGCUAAAUUGGAUUUAUUGUAAUUAAUUAUUAAUUUUCGAAAUUAAUUAAUUAAUUAUUUAUUUUUCAGAAAUUAAGACUGAGGUGGCUGACGACCGAAAUCUUGUGCUGAUCGUCGUGGCGUGGUCUGUUUAUUUAAUUGAGCUGCAAUUUGCAUGGAAUUGAUUUAAUUAGGAAUUUUUAUGAGUUAUUCAUAUUGACUUGAUGGUUAAUUAUUUGAUUGAGCAAUCGUUGGGUAUUGGUUAUUACCUGAAAGGAAAUACGUGGGCUCGGUGAAUCGGAAUAUCACCUGGAGAAUGCAUGUGUAUUCAGUGGUUGAAUAUGUCAUCUCGGCGAAGAGGUUGCCUUAGAGAAUGCUUGUAAAUUGUUGAAAGUUGAUCAUGCCUGUGUGGCGAUAGUUGAUCAUGCCUGUGUGGCGUAGAUUGUGCCUGCGUGGCCGUAUUUUUGUGUAUCAAGUAUCGGUUGCCAGUGAUAAAGGUAUUGUGGUAGACUACCGAUCAUACUAGAAAUUGUGGAAAUGAAAGUGAGUAUGUAAGAUGUAUGCUGACCUGAUGACUUGGCAUGUCAUCUAGAAAUUUGGUCAUGUGUAUCGUGGCUCGAUGAUCGAUUCCAUCACCUCAAAGAAUGCACGUGGCUCGGUGAUAAAUAAUAUCGCCUCGGAGAAUGCACGUGGCUCGGUGAUUGGUUAUAUCAGUUGAGACUGUAUAGCAAUGACUAGAAUGACCUAGAAAUGGUCCGGCUGACAUGUAAUCAACUAGGUCGAUUGAUCAUGAUUUCAUCUAAUGUUGUGAAAUGAUGGAUUGAAUGGAAAUGACCAAGAGUGGUCUUGUUGGCUUGUAAUCAACUAGGUCGAUUUGAUCGAUGCUUCGAUCUUUGAUUUGAUUGAUUGUGCAUUGAGAUAUUUGAAGUAUUUGUAUAUAACCUUGAAUUGCAGGUUGAGACUGAUGCCAAGGUACGUCUUCUGCCCUAUGUGUGUGUAGGCAGCCUAUAGUAUAAUGGUUUACUAAUCGGGCUUAGUGCGGUAGAACUCGCUGAGACGUAGUCUCAUCCCAGUUUGGGGAAAACAUUUCAGGACCCCGAUGAGAAGCUGAGGAGGAGGAAUCUGAGUGGGAGAACUCUGAGGUGAAACAUGAGGAGAAGAAUUUUGGAAGAAAAAAAUAAUCCCGAGAGGGGCCUUGAGUACGACCCGGAUGGACUGAGAUUCCAUCUUCUUUUGAGAUCUCCAAUUGAUGUGAAUAGUUAUGAAGUUCUCUAGUUUGCGUUUUGUAUAAAAGUUUGUUUAUAAGUUUCAAUAUGAAAAAUAUGGCCCUACUUUUCUAUCCCAUUGUUUUAUUGUUCGGGGAUUAUAACUGCUUCCGCAUGUGCUUAAUAAAAGAAAGGGUCAGCGAUAUGUAGUCCUGGGAUAUCGCAUUAUAAAAUCGACCAAGUGAGAAGGAUGUGUGCGUGCCCGAGGAUCGGGACGUGAGAGAGAGAGAGAGAGAGAGAGAGAGAGAGAGAGAGAGAUGAAGAAAGCUACAUAAGUCAACUAAAAGAAUAAACUAAAUCUAGUCUUCAACGACACAAGGUCCUCUUUCCUAACACCAUAAAUUGCAGAAUGCACAACUUGAUGCAGCUAAACCUAGUCUUCAACGAAAUGGUGGCUUGACCAUAUUGACAAGUUUACUCUAGUAUCAAUUGUCACCCAGCACGAAUUUCACGCAUAAAUGGCUAAAUACUAGAAUGAAGAAGGAUAGUUCACAAAUCACACUGUGACUCAAGACUUGAAGCUUCUCCACUUCAGUUCAGAAGUAACCAGAAAACACCUCCAAUUCUUUGUGAAGGAAAUAACUAAAUCACUCAUAUUGCAUAAUAGGUAUCAACGAUUCACUCUUUUGCUAACCAAGUAUUAAUUCCUUUAUUUCAGUCCUCACAAAUCAUGAUUGUUCUCUUCUGGUAUUGAAAACACUCCAUAAGGUGAGACCAGUACUCUCAAGUCUCAACCCCCUCAGCCUUACAACAAAACCUAGCAUUUGUCAGCAUUUUUAGUGUUCUUACUAUCUAAAAGUUCCCUUCCACUUUAUCCAUUUUUUCUAAGCAAAACAGGUGCAACGAAGCAUGUCACUCCCGAUGUUAUGCUGGUGCGCAACAUAAACCAGCUAAGUAUCACUAUCAUCAAGUCAAGGCAAGUCAAAGUAUCACACAUUUAUGAUACAUGAAAGAGGAUUUUCCCUUAGAGACAACAAGAUGAACUAAUGCAAGAGGUGGUUCUAGAACCAAGAUGAAAGGUUAGUUGAAGGAAAACUCACAAAACAGGACAUAACAAAAAACAAACUCUAGUUCUAUGGACUUACCAUCAUCGACUAUCUUUGCCAAUCAAUUGAUACAUAUCUUAUCCAUCUCUAUUAAACCUCGGGCAAUCAUGGACAAUUAGUUGACAAGAUUUUGGCACACCCAGCACCCUCUCUAGUGAUUCACAUCCAUAGAACCGCAAAAUUUUCAAAUUUUGUAGAUUAGAAAAAUCAUAUUCGUUUAAGCUUUUGAUUGAAUCGCAUAAAAAGAUCUGCAAAAACCGCAAUGAUUUCAAUUCUCCCAAACCCUAAAUCUCAGUUAGCUGAGGCAAUCCAAAUAGUAACAAACUCUGGAUCUCCUUUUAAACAGGCAGAACAGGUAGCAUCUUGAGCAAUGGACAGUCAUACAUACUCAAUUCGUUGAAUUUCCGUAGCUCUCCAAGCACCUCGAAUUGAAUCUCUCUCGGUGAAUAUCCAACAAUACACAGCUCCAACAAAUUCUCCAAGUUGGAAAAGACUGACCAAUCUAUCGAUGACUGGACAUCCCAUAACCGCAACUCUCAAAGGCUGGAUGGGAGCCCGACAAGAGAUUGGGGCUCAAAAUAUCUUAUUUGGAGUCUUUGUAGCUAAGAGAGGGAACUGAAAUCAAUUGGGGGCAUUCUUCCAACGUUCAGGUUCAUUUCCCUCAAAGUAGUUAGUCUCAUGAUCCCCUUUAUGUUGGGUUCUUGCAUUGAAUUGCUAAUUAUCACAAGGUCAAGGCCAACUAAAUUGGUUAGGUUUGAGCAGUCGGGGAUCGUGGUCACCGAAUCCGAUGAAAGGGCUAAAGACGCUAGACUCUUGGGAAGCUUAGGCAGCCGUUGGAUUGAAUUACAGUCCUUUAAAUUAAGUUUUUGGAGAUUUGUAAGCCGAUUGAUGGUUGUCGGCAAUCCACUAAAGCGACCUUGAGAUAAGUCUAGAACUUUCAAUGAGGAUAAUGCCCCAAUUUCACUUGGAAUUUCCCCCACCAAAUGUUUAGAUUCAACCCAUAACUUUUCUAGAUUUUCCAACAUUCCUAUGGUUUUCGGAAGUUCACUUAUGCGGUUGAAUAUGAGACUUAGUACCUUCAACUUUUUUAAAUUUCCAAUACAAUCAGGUACGAUCUUGAUACUUGACCCAAUUAAAUCCAAAUUGACCAAUGAUUGGAGCCUCCCAAUCGAGUAUGGUAGCUUUUCUAGGGGGCAAUGUGAAAUGCGUAAAACUUUCAACCUUUCAAGAUUUCCAAUAGAAUGAGGUAAUUCACUGAUAUUUAAACAUUGGACAUCUAGCACAAGUAGUGACUCCAAUUGUCCGAUAUAGUAUGGUAGCUUUUCUAGGGGGCAAUGUGAGAUGCGUAAAACUUUCAACCUUUCAAGAUUUCCAAUAGAAUGAGGUAAUUCACUGACAUUUAAACAUUGGACAUCUAGCUCAAGUAGUGACUCCAAUUGUCCGAUAGAGUCGGGAAGCUUUUGAAGUUCCCUGCAUGGCAAAAUUAGAGACUUCAUAUAUACCAAAUUAUCAAUCAAGAGAGGCAUCAUUGAGGGUGUCCAAUUUAUUCUUAGCACUGUCAAAGAUUUUAGACCGCCAGUGGACUCUGGUAGUGACUCAAUAGCUUCACUCUUGAUCUCAAGGUAAUCAAGAUGUUUUAGAUUGCCGAUGGACUUGUCAAUCUUUCUUAGUUGAAGGCAUCUAAGAAUCAACUUCUCCAGUUGCGAGAUUGCAAAGAACUUGGGCAUCCUUCUAAGGAAUGGACAAUCCUCAAGCUGUAGGAUUUUCAAUUGUUUUGCUAUCUAUAAAGUAAUUGAGUAGACACUCAGAAAAGAGGAGUAAAUAUAAUGCAAAAGGAUGUCAUGAGAUCAUACCAUGAUUUGACACCAUCCUCCCCAAUCUUCAGUAACGUUAUUCCCAGAUAGCAUGAGAAUCGUUAAGUUCUUCAACCCAAGGUUGGUAGCUUGGAAUUUUGAAGGGUAAUUGCUCCAAGAGAGCCAUCUCAAAUUAGAGAAAACAUUCUUAAAGUCUCCUUCUAAGUUUACGUGGUCCAAUUGAAGGAACCUAAGGUUGACUAAGCGCACAAAGUGCUUGUGCUUAAAUCUGUACGUCUUAUUGUGAUCAGGUGUACCAAGAUUGAGCACCACUAUGUCUCUGGUUCCCUGGAAAAUAAAAAGUAGCAACCGAUGAGUAAAUAUGUAAGUUUGACUUGAAAUUAGAUAAAAAGGUGAUGACGCUAAUGGAUGUAUUGGAAAACAUGUAGAGGUAAAGAUUACCAUUUAUGUUUGCACUACAUGAAAGGCAUCCUCGGGAGACCACAAUCUGCUACCCUUCAUAUGGAUUUCGCCACUUUCCGGAUGGACAAUACUCCUUCCAAGGUCUCUAAGUUGGUCGUGCAUCCAUAGUUUAUUAUUGUUGCAUAUUUUUAUCAGAGACAUUUGUUUGAGGAUAGUCAACUCGAUUUCGGUCGAAUACCCAAAAAUCGCAUCCCAAUAUUUAACUAAAGUUGUUUUCUCUUUGUUGAAGCAGAAACAUGCGAUAUCAAGAUAAAUUUAUUGUUGACUAGGCUCCAAUGCUUCAUAGCUUAUCAUUAGCUUCUUCCUGACAUCCUCAUUCAUCACAUUCUUUAACUUAUGUAGGGUGUCUUCCCAUGUUCUUCGGCAUUUUCCACAGAGCAUGGAACCUACGACAUUGAGAGCUAGUGGAAGUCCUCCUAGCACAUUGAUUAGCUUAUAUGCAAUAUCCAUGUAAUCAGUUGGAGGCUCGACACAUCCCAAGGCACGCUCACUAAAAAGUUAAAAAGCAUCAUACAAAUUCAUCACUGGCAUAUUGUAGAAUGAAAAUUGUCCGCUAAUAGAGGCUAGGACAUUGUCAUCCUCACCUUCCUUUACUAGGAAUUCAAUAUUCCUAGUUGUUAUGAUGAUUCUACUACCCCCACCAAACCAGUUGGGCUCACCAGCAAGUCUCAUGAUUUGGUCUCGAUUGUCAAUGUCAUCAAGAACAAUGAGAACUUUCUUGUCAUGAAAUCUCGUCUGGAUCUUGUCAGCCCCUUCAUCAAUGAAGGAUUGGUUUGAGCAACUCAAAUGGAAUAUGUCUGACAACAAUUUCUAUUGUAAGUUUAUUAUAUCAUGAGUCCAAACAUCCUUAAGAAAGCAGCAAUGUCUUUGAAACUGAGGGGAGAUUUGUCUAAAGACAGCCUCAGCCAGUGUUGUCUUUCCAAUGCCACCCAUACCAUAAAUCACGAUAAAUCAUACAUCAAAAGCUUCUAGAUCUAACCGCUUCAUAAUCUCAUCCAUUUGAUCUUUAAUUCCCACCAAAUGAUCAAGCACAUCUGUCCUUCUUGUCCAUAACAAACUAGAAACCUCUUUGAUUGUGAGAUUCAUAAGUUCAUAUAGGCUGCCACAUGCAUGACAUGCAAUCAUCUCAGAUUGAAAAACCAUAUAUAUGGAAACUGUGCACAUAUUAUGUGGCACUAGAAGGUUACCAUCAAGUUCAAAAUAAUUUGCUUUAAAAGAAACCAACACAGAAAAGUGAUCUUUCAAGCUGUGAGCCGUUUGAAAAAAAAAAAAAAACAGAUGUUUUCAAGAGAGGAGGAGGAGAGGGGACUUUAUUCAUGGUUGAAAGCUAAUCCUAUCAAGGUUCGUUGGUUUAGUCAAGAAUGGGAAAAGGUUAUUUUGUGACAAGGGUCUAACUGGGCUUCGACUAGAAGUCAUUGGCAAAUUGUGACUAACUAGUGCUGUGAGCUGUUGUGUUGGAAUAGGUUGUGGGCCUUUGUUCCAUUUUUAUGGAAAAAUUAUGAAAUCAAUCUUAAAUUAUUAUACAAAUGUCAAUUCAGUCAUAAACUUUUCAAUUUCAAUAAUAUUAUCCUAAACCUUUAUACAAAAUUUCAAUGUAGUCCUUGCAGUCAAUGUCCACCGAAAAUUGCUGAAGUGGCAAUCUAUGUAGGAUGUCAUUUCAAGUAAAAUUGUCCACGUCAACUAGCCACGUAGGACAAAGGUGAUGAAUAGAUGUCAUGUUAGUAAUUUCUCGCGGCAAUUGGGCAGAAAGAUUACAUUAAAAUUUCACACAAAAUACUUAUGACCACAUUGGAAAAAUUAAAAUGUCUAGUACUCAAAUGUCAUGCACAAUGAAUUUAGAACUGAUUUGAUAAUUAUGCCUCCACUUCAUUUUAUACUUUUUCACACCGGUUGGUUUCUUCUUGUUGCACACAGCUAAGAGCGAGACCUCUAGAAGUUUGGUUAAAUAUCAAGUCCUUGGUAGCUCGGUCUUGAUAAUCUCUUCAAGCAAUAGGGAUGAGUUUGAAGGUUAACAGAAAAGAAAAAAUCUCACUCGCAGUUGCCUUGAAUAUCGGAAACGAGAAUACUAUCUCAAAAGCAUUUUUCUUAACGUACCGAUGGAGUAGAAUGCUAACCGAAAAUGAGGAAGAUUUUCUGGAAUAUAUAUCAACCUUGAUUCGAGUUACCAAUAAACAUUUCUCCAAAUAAGUUAGAAAUAAUUUUAGGUUACCCAUUCUUUUUAUGAUAUUGGUAAUGGCAAACUAGUUGGUACCUCUUUACCAAAAAAAAAACUUAGUUGGUACUUUAAUCAGAACAAAUUGGUGAGUAACUGAACUUAGGAUUGGUAAUUUAACGACAGAUUUCGUUGCCUAAUGAUGUUCAUAACCAGUGCAAAUAAAAGUUUCUGCGUUAUUAACGAAAGUUUUUAUGAAGGUUGUUAGUUUUGAAACAAAUAAUAACUACUGAUAAGUAGCUCAAAUAAGAAUGGGUAGCUUAAACUAGUUGUUAACUUCAUUAGAGAUUAGUUAAUAUGACAAUCAUAUUAGAGUUAGUAAUUCGGUACAAGAUUUGGUAAUUUUGAAAUGUGGAGUAAACAAUAUGGUGAGUUUGUACAGAAGUUGUAAAUUGGCAAACAAUCUAAUAAACUUAGUAAAUGAUUCACAAAAAAGCCGGUAAGCUAAAACUUGUUUGUAAAACAAUGGAAAAAGAAGUUGGUAAGACACAAAUUAAAGUUGAUAAUUUCAUAUAAAAACCGAUAACUUUAAAAUUAUGGAUGGGCAUGGAGCAUUGAAAUCCGCACCUCACAGUGGCCUGCCUUGGAUGAGGCAAUUUUUUUUAGGAAAUUUUUUCUCAAAACAAUUGCCUCCCUAGGAAUGUUGCACGACACAAGUUGGGCAUGGGCAGUAAUAGGCUAGCCCUUCCGUUCUCGAGGAUUGAAACUAUUAAUGCGUUUACUUAAAGAUAGAAAUCGUAAGCUUUAAUGAAGAAGGAUGCAAGUAAGCAGAGAGUAACGGCUAGGGUUUAUAGAAAAACUAUCACAAACUAGGAUAGAGGGUAGCUCCAUAUCUCAAGGUAAUUUAUGACUGUUAAAGUACUUAUCCAUUUUCUAGAGGCUUUUAGAUUUCUCCAACCAUAACUACAACUACUUGGUGAAUUUUUAGUUAAUCAAGAUUUGAGGCCAUGAAUAGGUCCAUGUUUAAAGCAAUAGCAAGAACCAAUUUUUAUGUUUUAACAUUCUACUAUAAAUCUGUCACGCCUCGAUCCUCAGGGACGCACCCAUCCUUCUACUGUACCGUGGUGUUGCCAGACCACUUUGACCAAUAGAAUGGUCUUUGUACGCAGAACUUGCUCUUUGCGAUCGACAAUCUGGACCGGUCUUUCGACGUAUGACACACGGUCAUCCACCUCAAAUUCUUCAAAAUUGAGCACGUGGGUCGGGUCAGGCUCAUACUUCAUCAAUAUUGACACGUGAAAAACAUCAUGCACUUGCGUCAAUCUUGGCGGCAACGCAAGACGAUACGCUAAAGUCCCGAUUCUCUCGAGAAUCUCAAAUGGACCUACGUACCUCGGACUCAAUUUGCCUUUCUUUCCAAAGCGCGAAGUUCCCCUCAUUGGUGAUACUUUCAAAAAAACGUGAUCACCAACUUGGAAUUCCAAAGACCUCCGGUGCUUAUCUGCGUAACUUUUAUGCCUGCUCUGCGGUGUCUUUAAUCUGUCUUUGAUCACUGCCACGACAUCUACUAACUGCUGAACCAACUCUAGGCUUGUAAUCUUUCUUUCCCCAACUUCAUCCCAACACACUGGUGUUCUGCAUGCUUUGCCAUAUAACGCUUCGAAUGGAGCCAUUUGAAUACUCUGUUGAUAACUGUUAUUGUAGGCGAAUUCUACUAGAUGAAGUUGAUCUUCCCAACUUCCCUUAAAGUCUAUUACACAAGCUCUUAGCAUGUCUUCGAGGGUCUGAAUUGUCCUCUCAGAGUGGCCAUCCGUCUGAGGAUGAUAUGCCGUACUAUACUAAAGCUUUGUACCAAGAGCACUCUGCAAGCUCUUCCAAAGAGCGGCUGUAAACCUCGGGUCUCGAUCUGACGUUAUCAUAACUAGCACUCCAUGCAUUCGAACCACUUGACGCACGUACAGGUCUGCGUGCCUAUCUAGACUAAGGUCCUUUCGAACUGCAAUGAAGUGAGCCGACUUUGUUAGUCUGUUGACUACUACCCAGAUCGAAUCAUUCCCUCUCUGACUUCUUGGUAGUCCAGUCACGAAGUCAAUCGUGAUAUGCUCCCAUUUCCAUUCUGGGAUCGUGAGAGGUUGUAGAAGUCCUCCUGGCUUGCAAUGAUGAGCUUUUACUUGCUGACAUGUCAAACACUUGGCCACAUGUUUGGCGAUAUUCGCCUUUAUACUUGACCACCUAUAGUGUUGACACAGAUUAUGAUAUAUCUUAGUGCUUCUAGGAUGAAUGUUGUAACUGCUACGAUGUGCUUCAGAUAAAAUUUCUUCUCUAAGCUCUGCAUCGUCAGGUACAACCAAACAUCCUUAGAACCUUAGAGUCUCGUCAUCAGCAAUCUGAAAAUCAGCCUUCCUUUUAUCUGCGUCUUCCUGAAGAAUUCUCUGUACAUCUGGGUCUGUCGGUUGGAGUUGUUUAAUUCUGACUUGGACAUUCGGUUCAAUUCUGAGGGCGGCCAUAAAACUUGAAAGGUGGCCUACCUUAAAUUUGAAUAUCAAAUCUCGAGCUCUCUCGAUUAAGUUCCACUCCUUAAUCAGUAUAUGAGCCAAUCAUAGUCGUAGUCCUUCAGUAAUUCCAUCCAUUGGCGCUGUCUCAUGUUCAACUUCUUCUGAGAGAACAGAUACUUGAGACUCUGAUGGUCCCUGAAGAUUUGAAACUUUUCCCCACACAAGUAGUGCCUCCAAAUCUUCAGGGCAAAAAUAAUCGCGGUAAGCUCUAAGUCAUGCGUCGGAUAGUUCAAUUCAUGAGGUCUCAACUGACGGGAGGCGUACGCAACAACCCUACCAUGUUGCAUCAGCACGCAACCUAACCCUCUAAAUGACGCAUCACUGUAGAUCUCAAAUCCUCUAGGACCAGAUGGAAUUGUCAGCACAGGUGCGGUAGUUAGCUUUUCCUUCAGCUCUUGAAAAUUACGCUUGCACUUGUCUGUCCAUAUGAAUUUCUCGUUUUUCUUCGUGCGCUUAGUUAGAGGCGAUGCUAAUGUUGAGAAACUUUCUACAAACUGUCUGUAAUAACCUGCCAAUCCCAGAAAACUUCUUAUUUCUGUCACUGAUGUCGGUCUCUGCCAAUUGAUCACGGCUUCUAUCUUGCUCAGGUCGACGGAGAUUCCUUCUCCGGAAAUCACAUGACCUAAGAACGCAACACGAGUCAACCAAAACUCGCAUUUGCUAAACUUAGCAUACAACCGAUGCGCCCUUAAAGUUUGGAGCACUAAUCUCAGAUGAUUCUCGUGCUCUUCGUCACUUCUCGAAUAGAUCAAGAUAUUAUCAAUGAACACGAUCACAAACUGAUCUAGAUAUUCCUUGAAUAUUCUGUUCAUCAUAUCCAUGAAAGCAGCUGGAGCAUUCGUCAACCCAAAUGGCAUCACUGUGAACUCGUAAUGACCAUACCGAGUACGAAAUGCUGACUUAGGAAUGUCCUCUUUCCUAAUUCUCAACUGAUGAUAUCCCGUCCUCAAAUCAAUCUUCGAGAAUAUUCGCGCUCCUUGCAACUGAUCGAACAAAUCAUCAAUCCUUGGGAGUGGAUACUUAUUCUUAAUGGUCACUUGGUUGAGUUGUCUAUAAUCGAUGCACAAACGCAAUGAACCGUCUUUCUUCUUUACAAACAAAACUGGUGCUCCCCAAGGUGAUGCGCUAGGACGAAUAAAUCAUUUGUCUAAUAAUUCCUGCAUCUGGACUUUCAAUUCUUUCAGUUCUGUCAAUGCCAUUCUGUAUGGUGCCUUUGAGAUCGGCUCUGUUCCCAGUGCUAGUUCAAUCACAAAUUCAAUUUCUCUUUCUAGCGGUAGACCUGGCAAUUUUUUUGGAAAGACAUCUGGAAAUUCUUGAACUACUGGAAUGUCUUCCACUUUCAAGUCCUCAACUGUUGUAUCCACCACCGUUCCCAGGUAACCUUGACAACCCUCGUCUAACAGACGAGUUGCCUCUGGUGACGAGAUUAAGGAAACCGUGGGUCCUCCUCGAUUCCCAACAAAUUCGAAACUCUUACCCCCUAAUGGGUCAAAUUGAAUCGCUUUGUGAUAGCAGUCCAUUUUAGCUCUUUGCUUGGUGAGCCAGUCCAUGCCAAUUAUUAAAUCAAAGUCAUACAUGGUUAGGACUAAAAGAUAUAUUUUCCCCUCUUGCUCACCAAUCACUAACUUGCACCCCGAACAACCCAAAGCAGUAAUAACUUUAUCUUUCAAGGGUGUAGAUAUGCACAUUGCCGACUCCAAUAAUAUAGGAUUGACUCCUAUCAACUUAACAUACUACUCAGCAAUAAAUGAGUGAGUUGCUCCCGGAUCAAACAAAGCAUAAGCAGGUUGGUUGUUGAACGAAACCAUACCUGUUAUCACAUUAGGCACAGCUUUCACCUGACCUUGUGUGAUUGCAUACACAGUGCUCUGAACUGGAGGUCUCUGCUGUCCUCCUUGCGGCACGUUCUGAGGGGCAUACCCUCUUAUCUGUCCUCUCGGUGGUGGCGGUGGCAAUUGCGGUUGUCCUCUCUGCUUCUUUGGACAAUACCUUGCAAUGUGGCCCUGUUGGCCACACUCGAAACAGGCUCCUGUCCUUGCUGGGCACGGAGCUGUACCGUGUCGCCUUCCACGAAAGCGACAUAUACUCGUGUUAUUGGACAUCUGUCUAUUGAAUCUGCUCCUCUUGAAAAGUGAUGCAUGGGAUCUGCCUCCGGGCAUGGGUCUUUUUCCCUAACGAAUAUUCUCUCGAUGAGAGUGAAAUCUGGACCCAGAUGAGGUUGCUUGGUCAUUCUGAUCUCUCUCGAUCAUCUAAGCCCUCUCAUAAAGGUCAUUAUAAGUCCUCGGGUUCAGGGAAAUCAAUGUACUUCUUUAGUCUGGCUUAAAUCCUUCUCUGAACCUCCUCGCUCUAUUUAUUGGAUUCGCAAUUAAUUCAGGAGCAUACUGUGAAAGUUCAGCGAACUUCGCCUCAUAUUGAUCGACAGUUAGGGAACCCUGGCGAAGACGUUGAAAUUCUGACAUCUUCACCUCUCUAGCAUUUUUUGAGAAAUAUUUGACAUUAAAAGCCUCUAGAAAGGUGUUCCACUUUGGAAUAACGCCUUCUGGGAAUAUGGUUCCUCGAGUCGUCUUCCACCAAGUAUCUGCAACUCCAUCCAGUUCGUAAGUUGCAAGUAGUACCUUUUCAGUCUCAUUGCACAUUAGUAGUGCAAAAGCUUUCUCCAAUUUCCGGAUCCAUGAAGUAGCAGCUUCAGGGUCUCCGGUCUCGGUAAACUGAGGUGGAUACAGCUUUAGGAAUUGCUCUACCAACUGAUGAAUUGGUCUGUUCCCGACCACUAUUCUGGGUGGACCUUCAGCUUGAGCUGCGGCAGGUGCAGCGACAGUUGCGGCAGCAGGUACAGCGGCAGCGUUGGCAACGGCAGUGGCGGCGGCUUCAACAGUGGCAGUAAAGGCAGCAAUUGAUAUCGGGCCUGUUGCCCCAUCAUCUCCCGCAUAACAUCUAGAAGCCUGGUUUAUUCCAACAGUCCCUUGCUCACCCGGGGCUGCUACCCCNNNNNNNNNNNNNNNNNNNNNNNNNNNNNNNNNNNNNNNNNNNNNNNNNNNNNNNNNNNNNNNNNNNNNNNNNNNNNNNNNNNNNNNNNNNNNNNNNNNNNNNNNNNNNNNNNNNNNNNNNNNNNNNNNNNNNNNNNNNNNNNNNNNNNNNNNNNNNNNNNNNNNNNNNNNNNNNNNNNNNNNNNNNNNNNNNNNNNNNNNNNNNNNNNNNNNNNNNNNNNNNNNNNNNNNNNNNNNNNNNNNNNNNNNNCAAACAAUUUUAGCACUCAACUAACACAGACAUGCACCGGCAUGAAUUUAAAGGCAUUUCCUACCAACUAUCCCACGGUCAACGCUCCUUAUCACUCCAAUCUUAAACUUCGCUCUGAUACCACAAAAGGGGAUGUUACGCCCCGAUCCUCAAGGACGCACCCAUCCUUCUACUUGGUCGAUUUUCUUGUGCGAUAUUCCAGGACUAAGUAUCGCCGACCCUUUCUUUUUAUUACGCAUGCGGAAGCAGUUUUAAAUCCCCAGACAAUAAAACAAUGGGAUAGAAAAGCAGGCCAUAUUUUUCUUAUUGAAAUUCACAACCACACUUUUACUAACAGCACAACUCAUAGUAUAUUUACAAUACUAUUUACAGCAAACAAGUCCCACACCUAUCUGCACUAAGAUAGGGUGAACAAAAGGGAUGGGAUCUCAAUCCACAUUUGGGUUGUACUCAAGAUCCCUCUCUGGAUCAUCUUCUACUUCAAAAUACUUUCUUCUCUUCAGGUUCUUCCUCCUCAGCUUUUCCUCAGGGUCUUGAAAUGGUUAUUCAAUAACCAAUGAGACCACAUCUCAACGAGCCCUACCCCCUAAGACUCGAUUAGUAAACUAAUACGCCAAACGGUUGCCUAAGCACAACACGAGUCGGAGGACUUACCUUGGCCUCAGUUCCAACCUGCAAUUCAAGGUUAAACACAGAUAUUCAAAUAAUUCACGACAUCCGAUCAAGCACUGGUCAAUCGACAAAGUCGAUUACAUGUCAGUCAAACCCUCUCUAGGUCAUUCCCACUCAUAUCACGAAUUCCCAGUGGUGUACUCAUUCACCAAAUCACAUGUGUUUCUCGGGUGUUGUUUUCGCCAAUGACAUACCGAUCACCGACACCGUGCGUUCUUUAAGGCGCCCUUUUCAUCAGUGAUAUCCUCGAUCUCCGAACCACGUGUCCUUUCUAGGGCGUCGUUUUCGCCAAGGUGACAUCGGCAAUAGACAACAUCGUGAGUUCUUUAAGGCGUCGUUUUCACCAGUGAUAUUUCCUUAAUCACCGAACCACGUUUGUCUAUAAGUCAUUCACAUGCGUUCUUUAAGGCGCCGUUUUUGCCAGUGAUACUUCCAAUCACCGAACCACGUAUGUCCAAUAAUAUCGUACCUGAUUGGUCUCAACCAAUAAUGUUCUCAGUUAGCUCUCACCAUUCUCCCUACUAUAUAGCCCAUCAACGUACUGGCGCUAUAUACCCAUGCUUGGCCAUUACCAAUCAAAUAUUCAAUAACAAACAAUUAAGGAUAAAUCCUCAAAUUUCACAAUUAAUUCAAUUCCAUACAACGUAGAGCUCAAAUAAAUAAAUGGGCUGCACCACAACAAUCAACACGAAAUUCCGGUCACCGGCCAUCCCGGUUGAAUUUCCGGAAAAAAUAAUUAAUUAAAUAAUUAAUUUUGAAAAAUAAAUAAAUAAAUAUUAAAAUCCAAUUUAUGCUCGUAAUGCCUGAUUGUAGCCCGAAAUGGCUCGGGAAAAAAUCCCGAGAUGCAUUCAAUAAAUAACCGAACCUUUCUACUUGCUAAUAACUAGGUCUAACCACCUAACAUGCAUCAUUAAGUCAUUAAAUUAAUUGUUCUAACCUAAUCUAACCACCUAAUUGCACUUAAUUAAAUAUAACAAACCAUAAGCAUAAUUAGCAAACUAAUAAAGCAUUAGUGAGUAAAACUCAAUUGGUCAAAAGCGGGGAUUGAAUCACCACGACGGCGGCGCGACGGCGGCCGAAAUUGGGCUUUCGACAACACCGGCGAGCUUGGACCGGACUUAAGACUUGGCCCUACAAACUUCAGCAAGGCUGGGCUUUACUGUUGGAAUCUUGGGCUGAACUUGAUCUGGACUUAAUUCUGCUUGGGCUGAAAACGUGGUUCAAACUAUUGUUCACUUGGGCUGGAAUUCUGCAAGCUGAGCUGGAACUUACAAGCUGAUGGGCCAAAUUUCGUUGGGCUUUGAAUGGGCGUGAGGUUCGUGGACUGUUGCAGUGGAAUUGGAUCGAAGACCUGAAGACGCUACGCUGCUUCAACGAAACGCCGGUGCUGGACUGCUGACCUCAAUCGGCUUGGUCGACUGAACGCGCGGCAGAAAGAAGACGCGGCAACAGCUCCAUUGAGUCCUCCAGCUACUUCGACUGACUGACCAGAGGAAGGCACGAGAAGGCUGGUGCUCGUAUGGGUCUUUGAGGAGAUGGGCUUCAACGUGGCAGCUUUGGCGAGGCUGUAGUUGGGUAUCGUGUCUUCGUCGGCGGCUGAGUCGAAGACACGAACGAAUGGUGGAGUCAACGAACGAAAAAGGAAUUCGUUGGUGGAGGCUUGCGGAUGACAAGAAACUGAAGAGAAUCAGCUGCGUGAGACCAUGUGGGGCUUCGAUCUUCAGAGAUGGGCUGGUUUGCUGACCUUCGGAUGAAGACACGAAGAUGAGUGGUCUUCAACGCUGGUUUGUUGACCAAACAACCAGCAGACGCGGCGAAGUGGCAGCGUGGAGAGGAGAGAACUUCGGUGGGACGUUGGCAGCUUCUGAUUUCUGGCUUCUUCGCUGCUGUGCGUGAGAACAUGAGCGAAUGGAGAGAGAGAGAGAGAGAGAGAGAGAGAGGGAGUUCACGAGUAUGGAUAGGAACGGAGGAGAAGGCAGAAGCGGUGAUGAUGAAGACAGCGACGGGAGGGACCCAAAAUCAACAAACCUAAGCCAUUCCCUUAAUUGCUUGUCCCCCUCCUUUUUCUUUAUCCUUAUCUUGGUUGGUCUCUAAUACUUUCUUGUAAAAAUCUUUAUAAACCAAUCAAAUUUGAAGCCUAAAAUUGCUGUCACUUUCCAAUCCGAAUUUCACAUAUUUAUCUUUAACUUCAUCACUCAAUUUCCCAAAUUCGACGUCAAAUUUUGGUGUAGAAAAAUCCCAAAUGAUUUUCUAUAAAUCCCUGACACACAACGGCUCAGUCUGGAAGUCCAAUUUUCUAUCAAUUAAGCCCAUCUGAAUUUCUGCCAAAUUUUUGCGACGUCCGAACCCAUUUUCCGUAAAAAUCUUGAGACCUCCACAAAAUCUUCUAAGACUGAGUUGACGUUCCUAGAAUAGCUCGUGACACCAUAGAACUUUCAAUUUUUGAAAUCGAACUCAAAUUGACGGUUAACUUCACUCUGGCACUCUUUUAGCGUGACCUAGACUACUAGGUAGUUUUCAUAACUUUUCAGGGCAAUUAACUCGUGGUCGAUUUUCUUCGAGCCACAAUGAACCCACUCGACACAUUGGCGACUUUCGAUUGUCGUGAAAAUCUCGAUGACUCAAUUAUAGACACAGGGUACCAAAACGAUAGAAAAAUCAAAUUAGUGCCGAUCGAUGAGAAUUGUCCAAUUUAGUGGAGUCACCCACGAUCGGCCACUCAUCACAGUCGAACCGACCUAUCUCUGAUCUCAAUUCGAUUUUUAACUGUGCAGUAAUGACCUCUAAAGAUGAGCACGGUCGAGAAGCCGAUUCCUGGUCGAAUUCUCAAGUCUAUUGCCUUAAUAUUCUUUAAUGGCUUACCCAGCUAGUCUAGUUAUCUCGAGAGUGAUCAGCUCCGAGAACAACCCUAUAGACGUGUCAAUGAAAUGCCCAAUUAAUUUAAUAGAAAACAAUACUGAAAAUUCUUGAUGUCACAAAAUCACUAUAGAAGAAUAUUCAGUUUAAGGUUGCAGAUCUUGUCUAUGCACAACUUGCCACUAGAGGAGCCGAUGACCCUUGCCCCAUCACAAUGAAAACAAAAGCCCAAGAUUGAUAACACACCUGAACCUAAGUCAAUCCUUUGCAAAUUAAUCAAGAAUUACUCUAAUCAGAAAUAUACAGGAAGAUUGAACCUCUAACACUUACAGAGAUCCUUUUUCUUUUUCUUUUUUUGGUUCUUUUGGAUAAUGGCAUACAAAGAUCUUUGCAAUGUUCGGUCUUGUAUACUCAAACCAAAUAUAAAAACGAUGACCCAAAGUAUCCUCUUACGGGGUUAUAAAACUAUCAUCAUAAAAAUCUCCAUUAUUUUUGUGUAACUCGGUGGUGCGACCGUAAUUAGCCGGUUAUUUCAAGGAAAACAGCAGCAAAGCAUAUGAAUUCCCUAGGGCUGAAACCAAAACCACAAGGAUCGGUCUUUUCCUCUUGGCCGUAAGUUUUGGGAUAUCGUAUAGACUGCGAUAGACUAAGUCUAUGCUAUAAUUUCUCUAAGUUUCCUUAAUGUAACAAAAACAGAAAGAUUUAACAUCAAACUCAAUCUAAUUUUUCAGGAAAACAUUAUAGGCAUAGGUCAAGGAAAAUUACACCAAAAGUCCUUAAAUUCAUAUACGCAAUGCAAUUGAAGUUAAGAAACUUAGAUUUUUUAUUUUUCACAAAUAUAUGGUCUUACUAUUUUAUCACAUCUUAGAUCUUCGCAGAUAUCUUGGUUUUUUUGCAUUAUAGAUUAAUUAAUUAAGUUUCGAUGCCUUAACUUUAAUUGUUAUAAAAAUUUGAUAGUAAAAGUGAAAAGUCAACUUGUGCAAGAAGCCUCGUCCUCUGAGCAAAAUUUCUAGCUCCCUCAUUGCGUCAAGUCCAACAAUAUGUUGCAUAAGGUUGGACAGCAGUAAAUCGAAGAACUAUUCUUUAAAGGAAGAAGAAAUCGAAAAUUUUCAACAAAGAAAAUAAAGUCAAUGGAUAGGCAAAUAAUACCCGUGAUCUUUUAGAUUCCUUCCUCUAAUUCUGACAACCUCUCUUAAAGCCUUCUUCCACUUCUUUGCUAAUUCUUUCCCAUAUUCGCUCUUGUGCUUCCAAAGGGCUUUCCGAUAUAACUUAGUCUUAAGCUUGACAUCAUUCACGUCCACGUCGUAAAAUAUAGGGAGGAUAACUUUCUCAUCGUUACCUCUCGAUAGCUCCACUAUGUGUGCCAGCUCACGGAGGCACCACUUACUUGAAGCAUAGCCUUUGGAGAAUAUCGGGAUGUAAAUUCAGGAGUCAUUGAUAAGCUUGCAAGAGACCGCAUUCGAUCUCUUCGCCAAAUCGAAGCUCUUCGCUGUCUUUGAAAUCAUGGAUCCCUGCACCAAUCAGGCCAUUGUAGAGACAAUCAGCCAUGGUUAAACGGGUGUCGGGACCUCUGAAAUUCAGGAACACCUCAUAGCCACUCCCCGACCUGUCAUCAUGGCUACUGCUUGUUGAAGCUGCCGUCUCCGUCUCUUUUUCCUCCCUCUUUCUCUUCAUUCUGAAAGGACGAUGCAGAGAUGGAUCUCCGAAUUGAGUCUGCCCGGUGACUUGGGAGGUCUAAGUUUGAUCUUUGUAACAACUUGACGAAGCAACGGAGAGAGAUCUCUCACUUACGCUGCGUUCGCCUGGAAGUUACCUGCGGCCUUCCUUCGCAAGUGAAAAAACCAUUCAGAUCGACAAAAUAAUUGCUUCGAAGAGGAAACACGGAAGGAGAGAGAGAGACAGAGAGAGCUGUGCAUCAGUUUUCACCUUCAAGCAAUGAGUGGGGAGUGGAGGACCAUCGCUUCCAAUCUCGCCAAGCCCAGAUCCGGCCUCGUCGGCUUCGGGCGACCUCAGAUCUGGUGUUGCCCACGGCCACGAAUAGACGGAGCAAGGCUGCCUCGAGGAGAUAGAGUCGGGGACAGAGAUGGUGGCUUGGCCAAGACGGGACGCGAAACGAUCGGCGCAGGCGAUGGCGAGGGGUGACGGCACGGGAAGGGGAUACGACGUCAACGGCGAUGCAGCGGCGAGGUGGCGGAGGCUUGCGGUGACCGGUUGGUGGAGGGGAGAGACUGAGGGAAGAACAGGGGAUUUUUCAGAGUCCGGAUUUUUUAUUUUUUUUAUGGAAAUUCGUCAAGAAGUGAGGGUAGUUUGGUCAUUUAGGAGGGGGUAACCGCACCAUGGGGGAAAAGAGACUGCCGGAGUCGCGCGUUUGAAGUGCUUUGCGAUAAGAAAGGAUUAAAGCUAAAAGGAAACGGAGUGAGGGUCAGCUAAGGAUUGCACAUCUAAGGUGAAAUCGGUUGACUUUUUUGAUCGGUUUCCAUCUUUUACCUAUUUUCUUCUUUUUCUAAUUUUUAUGUUUUCUUAAUCACCCUGUCAAAGAUGGAGUCACGGUCAGCUAAGCCGCACUCAAACUAAAACGAGGUACUUUGCCCAAGCUUUAUGUGGACAUAUAUUGAUAAAUGUACUUUAAUUAUGUUUGUUUUCAUUUUUAUUUUUAUUAAUGUCAUUAAUUUGGGAUUGUUCAUGACACUCCGUUUGUUAUCCAUUAGGUAUAAAAUUACCAAGUAAAACCAUUUGUCAAAUCAAACAUGAAAAAUAUGUUCUAUAGUCAAGGGGUAAUUCUACAUCUUAAAUUUUCUUCCUAGAGUAGUUGAUACCAUAUUUAACAUAUUAAUAAUGUCAUCAUGUCCUGAACAUAUUAUCAUGUCAUAUUCAAAGUGGGUACCGAGUUUGAGAAUCUAACAUUAUGAGAUUGUAUAAAUGUAAAGCAGACAUAUGUGAAAUAUUUUAUCAAUAUUGAUGAUUAACUUCACAUAAAAAAUUGGUUUCUCAUACAUGCGCCUCAAGUCGGGAAACAAGAAGGGAGAAGGAAGAGGCAAAGGAAUCCAUUGGGAUUGUAUUUAAUUUUUUUUGGCGUGGAUUUGCAUUGAAUUAAAUUAUGCAAAUUAAUCAUUGCGUGAAUCACAGGAUCCGCAAUCUCAACCCUUUUCCUAGUGCCUCCCAAAAAUAAAAUAAAAAAAAUGGCGCGUUCAAUACUAUGAUCAGCCACAUCAUCUAAUGGCGAAGGCAGAGUAAGCCCACAUGCGCCAGAUGCAUAUUAGACCUUGCUCCUUCUACACGCGCAAGCUCCCCAGGAUGAUGCCUGGAAGAGAAAACGAAAGACCUACAUGGAGCAAUGAAGGGAAUGACCAUUCACCGGAGUUUAUAAUUCUACUUACAUCAAUUAUAUUUGUUCGUAAGCCUAUUUUAUUUCUAAAUGAAGAAAUAGUGACUCCUUAUAGCCAAUAGAAAUAAUAGGCCGGUUGUUAAGGCCAUUAGGGAGCAUACGUCGGGGACCACACGAAGGCAACGACUGAGAAAUUCACAAAAGAGAUUAUUUUAUUUGGCGCCUUAGCUCCACACAAAGACCAAUCGGAGUCGAUUGCAGUUCGGGCUCCCGCCAUUUGCGGAAAUGAUUGUCGGCUUUUAUCAUAAAUAAAAAAUACAUUCGAAAAGUUGCAAUUAUUUACUUAAGAGAUGAAAAAGAUCCACAGCCCUAACAUUAAUCAUGUGAUGCGAUUAUUUUCAUCCAUUACAUAAGUGGUAAAGUGAGUCUACACAAUCAUGCCAAUAUACACAAGUACGUUUUUCAACAAUAUGCAUGAAUUCACAGUUUGUUAUAGGUUUGUUAUGUUUAAAAAGAAAAAGAAAGGCUAUUAACUUGAUUCAGUUACAAUUAGCUACAUUUUAGGCAGCUAAACAUUCAAAAAGGCAAAAUGCCAAAUAAAGCACCUUUGACUUCAGCUUUUUGGCUCUUCAUUAUCAUAUCAUCUCGCAAAUUGCUUUGCGCUCUCUACCUCCAUUAUUGAACUCCGUCCAGUGAAAGCUGAGAAAAUUUACGAGUGCAUACACCAAAUGAUGUUUUCUUCAAGAAAAGCAAACGUCAUGUCAUUAUCAACAAAGCUUGACUUGAAUAACUACUACUGUCAAUCCAACAGCCCUUUUCAUCAUCAUAUGAUGUCUAAAAAAAAUUACAAAUACAUGGGGCAUUAAUUCAUGUAUUAGAAUAUGUUUGUUUUGCGAAAAAUAAAUUAUUGAAAAAAUAUUUUCCUAAACAUGAUUAUUUACAAAAAUGAACAAAUGAAAUACAUGAUGAAAAUAUUUGAACGUUAAUUAUUGUCAAUAGCAAAGAUAUUUUACACUGACUAAUUAUUUUAAGCAAGUCAAGCUAUUAUUUGCUUCAAGCAUUUUGUAAUAUUUCGUUUAUCCUCCAUAAAUUCAACAUCAUACAAAUAUAUUGUUUCUCUUUUUUUGCCUCUCCUCCUUUUACUCCCCAAUCUAAGGUAAUACACUAAGGCAAUAGUACAGUUUUUUUUUUUUGGUCGAAAAGGCAAGAGUACAAUUUGACAUCAAAUAGUUGACGUGUUAUAUAACAGUUUACAUAUCUUAAUUUAUUUGGGCCAAAAUUACUUUAUUUAGUCGGCCCCUAAGCUUUGUGGGAUAUUGGACCUCACUAAAUUUGUUAAUGGGUUUAAGGUUUCGACUUUAACUUACAUACUUUCUACGGUUGAUAGAAAUAGUGAUUAAGUGGCCAAGUGAUCCCUUCUAUUCAAUUUCUUCUAAUGCAUUGACUACCAAUGAAAUCUACACUAAUUGACCUUGGGGUGAGCAUCGGUCCAGGGUCAACCUUGGACCGACCUUGGACCGGCCCAACCCUACCGAUCCUGGUUCAGUUCCCAGGGAGACUAGGUCGGUCCUUGUGUGACAUCCCAAAUUUUCAACUCUGUUUUCUUCAGAAUGAAUCGGGCAUUUCAUUGAUGCGUCUAUAGGGCUGUUCUCAGAAUUGAUCAUUCUAGAGAUAACUAGACUAGCUAGGUAAGCCAUUAGGGAAAUUUAAGGCAAUAGACUUGAGAAUUCGACCAAGAAUCGGCUACUCAACUGUGUCCAUCUUUAGAGGCCAUGACGACACAGUUAAAAAAAAAUGAUUUGAAAUCAGAGAUAAACUGGAUCGAUAGAGAUGUGUGGCUAAUCGUGGGUGACACCACUAAAUUGGAAAAUUCUCGUCAACCAGUACUAGACUGAUUUUCUUAUUGUUUUGGUACCCUGUGUCCGUAUUUGGAUCAUCGAGAUUUUCACGACAACCGAGAAUCGCCAAUGAGUCAAGUGGGUUCAUAGUAGCUCGAAGAAAAUCGAUCACAGGUCAUUUGCACUUAAAAAUUUCUGAAAGUUACCCGAUAGUCUAGGUCACGCUAAAAACGCGCCAAGUUGAAAUUAACCGUGAAUUCAAGUUCGAUUUCAGAAAUUGAAGUUUCUGUCAUGUCACAAUAAAUUCUAGGAGUGUCGACUCAGUCUUAGAAGAUUUUUCUGACAACCGAGACUUUUUGGGAAAAAGUCGUCACCGGGUCAUUUUUGUGUAGAAAAAGGCCGGUUAUUGUUUUUGAUGGCAAAUUUGAGAAGCAUGAUAGAUGUACGAGCGAGGAAAAUUGUCGAGACGGUCAAUAGAUGACCGAUUGAUUUUAUGGAGGCCAAUUGAGAUGGAAUUGAAGUGGAAUAAGCAAUCGACUGAAGCCGUUUCACUUCAAAUUCGUAACAUCCCCACACCUUAACAAGAAUGAACCGUUUGAGAGGUUAUAAGGGACAUUUUUGGUGUCCUAAUGAAGACCAAGUAAAUAUACAUGGCCUAGAAUGAUUUUUGGAAGAUAUUUUGCAAAAUAUCAAGCCAAGUGGAGCCCUUCACCUCUCAUCUCUAUCCAUCUCUCUUCCUCUCACCCUCAACCGGACAUCUAUCUCUCUCCCUCCCCAUUUCGUGCGACGCCUGCAGCUGAAGAAGACCGAGUAGCCUACUGAAGCAAACCCUGGCCGCAACUCCAUCUUUUCUUCGAGCUUCGUUGCCUUCGUCCGCGUGGCCUUCGAUCGCAACAACAUCCGCGGCUUCGCUCCUUUGUCCCUCCAUGCGUCCUCUUCGGUCAACAACCACACUCACAGAAGCCACCUUUGACCGAAGCUCCACCGAGUGCAGCUGUCUUCAGCCACGCGUCUCCACCGAUCCACCAGCGUGCGUUUUCUCUGUAGCAAACCGAUCAACACUCUGUAGCACAAAGCAGCCGGUGUUGACCCCAAGCAUCCAUGCGGCCAAUGCAUGCCAGCUCACAUCCACCACCAGCCGGUGUCGUCGAAAGCUCAAUUUCGGCCGCCGUCACGGUGUCCCGGUCUCCGCUUUUAAUCAAGUGAGUUUUACUCACUAAUGCUUUCUUAGUUUGCUAAUUAUGCUUAAGGGUUGGUUAGAUUUAAUUUAGUACAAUUAGGUGGUUAAAUUAGUUUAGAACAAUUAAAUUAGUGACUUAAUAAUGCAUGUUAGGUGGGUAGACUUAAUCAUUAGCAAGUAGAGAGCUUCUAAUAUUUAUUGAAUGCAUCUCGGGAUUUUUCUCGACCCGUCUCGGGUUCCAAUCAGGCAUUACGGGCCUAAAUUGAAUUUUUAGUAUUUAUUUAUUAAUUUUCAAAAUUAGUUUAAUUAAUUAUUUAUUUUUCGGAAAUUAGGCUGACAUAGCCGACGAUCGAAAUUUUGUGCUGAUUCUCGUGGUGUAGCCCGUUUAUUUAUUUGAGCUCUACGUUGUGUGGAAUUGAAUUAAUUGUGAAAUUUGAGGAUUUGUCGUAAAUUGUUUGUUAUUGAAUAUUUGAUUGGUAGAUGGCCGAGUAUGGGUAUAUAGCGCCAAUUACGUUGAUGGGCUAUAUAGUAGAGAGAAUGGUGAGAGCUAACUGGGAAUAUUAUUGGCUGAGACCAAUCAGGUACGAUGUUAUUGGACAUACGUGAUUCGGUGAUUGGAAGUAUCACUGGCGAAAACGGCGCCUUAAAGAACGCACGUAAAUGACUUAUAGACAUAUGUGGUUCGGUGAUUAAGGAAUAUCACUGGUGAAAAUGACGCCUUAAAGAACACACAACGUUGUCUAUUACCGAUGUCACCUUGGCGAAAACGGCGCCCGAGAAAGGACACGUGGUUCGGUGAUUGAGGAUAUCACUGGUGAAAAUGGCGCAUUAAAGAACGCACGGUGUUGGUGAUCGGUAUGUCAUUGGCGAAAAUGACACCCGAGAAACACAUGUGAUUUGGUGAAUGAGUACACCAUUUGGGAAUCAUGGUAUGAGUGGGAAUGACCUAGAGAUGGUCCGAUUGACAUGUAAUCGACUAAGUCAAUUGAUCAACGCCUGAGCUAGUGUCGUGAAUUGAUUGAAUGUUUGAUGUAUUAUAUGAAGAAUCUAUGUAUAACCUUGAAUUGCAGGUUGGCGCUGAGGCCAAAGUAAGUCCUCUGACUCGUGCUGUGCUUAGGCAAUCGUAUGGCGUAUUGGUUUACUAAUCGAGUCUUAGGGGGUAGAACUCGCUGAGACGUAGUCUCAUUGGUUAUUGAAUAACCAUUUCAAGUCCAUAGAGGGAACGAAGGAGGAUUACUUGUUGGAUGACCUCGAUGACGAACCGGCAGAAGAUGAAGAGCUUGAAGAAAACGAGCUUAGUGAAGAAGAGUCUGAGGAGGAUCGGAAUGAUGAUCCCGAGUACGACCCGGAUGAGGAUUGAGAUCCCAUCCGGUUUUGUGAACCUUGUGUACUUGUGGAUAGGUGUUAGAUUAGACCUAUGUUAAUAGUAUUGUAAGAUACUAUGAGGUGUGUGUGUAUAAAAGUGUGGUUGUGGAUUUCAGUAUGAAAAAUAUGGCCUACUUUUCUAUCACAUUGUUUUUAUUGUAUGGGGAUUUAUAACUGCUUCCGCAUGUGCAAAAUGAAAAUGAAAGGGUCGACGAUACAUAGUCCUGAGAUAUCGCAUCCUAAAAUCGACCAAGAAGAAAGAUGGGUGCGUUCCAGAGGAUCGGGGUGUGACACCUUGGUCCUAGAAUUCUUUGACCAGCACUAUGUGGGUCGGUCCUCGGUCCUGAAAGUUUCGGGUCGGUCUAAUCCGGACUAACCCUGAAUAUAUAUAUAAUAUUAUUUAUAAUUUUUUUACAUAGAGAAAACCUUAAAAUAAACGGCAUCAACAACAUUAAACAACUCUUUAGUGGAGAGUCCAAGUAAUUUUACAUUGCCCUUUAAUAACUUAGAUUUUUAAUGUCUUUUACGGUGUCAAUAGUCAUAAUUUAUGAAGGAGGAAGAUGUUUUUGUGAGGAGUCCUCACGGCAUCCAAAAAGGUAUAAACAACUCCUUAUGGCAUCCUUUUCUAGUAUUCGUUAUUUUCUAUCUUAUUUGUCCUCUUAGUCUUUAAGGUAACGCAUAGGAACAUUUCUGUUCCUCCGGAUUUUCUAUUCUUUUGUUCCCCGGAACAAAAAAAGAACAGAAAUCCAUUUAGUAACGCCAAGUUGUUUUUCUGUUCCUCGGAAUAGAAAGUUAGCCUGAGAAUAGAUUUGGAGCAGAAACGAGAAACAAAAAAAAGUUUAUUAUUAUUCUCGAGAACAAUUUCUAGAAAUAAGCCAAUUUUCUUUUUUCUUUUUCUUCUGUUCCUCUCUCUUGCCGCGGCCCCCUUCAACCGCUCAGAGCUACUGUUGUCGGCCGUCGCUUACAUCGUCGUCGGCCGGCCACCGUCGCUGCACGACUAUCUGCCGCCGACCGUCACCGUCGACCGCCGUUGCAUAGCCCAUCAGCCGCCACUUCCCGCAUCGACUGUGGCGGCCGAUGGGCUAUGCGGCGGCGGUCGGCGGUGACAAUCGGCGGCCGGCGGUCAUGCAGUGGCGGCGGCGAGCAGCGAUGGGCGGUCAGCAAUCCGUGAGCAAGAAUAAAAAAACGAAUAAAUACAAAAAGAAAUUGUUUCGUACCAAACGCAUUUCUAUUAUUUUUCUAUUUUUGGAGUAGAAAUUUUGUGUAGUUACCAAACACUUUAUUUUACUCGAAAAUUGUUCUCCAGAAUAGAAAUAGAAAAUAACUAUUUCUAAAAAAAAAAAAAACUCUUCCCCAGCCAAAAAAUGUUGUCAUGCGUAGCCUAAUUUGCCAAAAUCGAGAGAAAUAACUUCUCGGCUCGCCACUCCACACUUGCCUCACUCAGUUUGGGUCACUCAUGCCUCUCGCCGCCCGAUGCUCGCUUGGCUUGUUGCUUCCCGCUCGACAUUCGAUGCUCAUUUUGUUCAAUGCUCAUCCCGCUUGACCCUCAUCGCUUACUUUUCUUAGCUAACCUCGCUCAUCAUUGAACCCGUUAGGUUGGUACGGUCCUCGAUUGCCAUUUCAAGGAGUACAAAAAGUGAAAUAAAAAAUUAUUGAUUAGUUGUGGGUUGACCUUGAAACCGUAUUGAACCCAUUGGGUCAAUCCGAUCCUCAAUCGUAUUUUUAAGGAAUACAAAAAAUGAAAUUAAAAAGUUAUCGGUUGGUCCUGAGUUGACCUUGCAAUCGAACCGAACCCAUUGGGUCAGUCCAGUCGUCGAUCCCAAGCUCAAUAGGGUCGGUCCUCAGUUCCAAAAAUUGAGGAUUAGUAUUGUGCGGGUUGGUCUUAGAGUUAGGGGGUGGACCGGCCCAACCCAGACCAUGCUCACCCUUAAAUUGACCAGUUAAAAGAAAUGGUCCCAUUUUUCCCAAUUAUAAAAGAUUAAUUAGAUGAAAUCAGUAAAAAAGAGGUCUCUCCAUUUCACGAUGCCUCAUUUUUAAGCCAGUCACCUAUGCUCUUGUGCCUUGAUAUAUUCAUGAUUUAUUUGAAUUACUUCAAUUAGACAACAAUUUCAUAAAGACUCUUUCAAGCCAAGAACAAGAAGAAAAAAGCAUAUUCACAUAAAGACUCACUAUGACAAUACUUAUGAAUUGUGCCUUGAAAUAUCAUAUCAACAGCAAACAAAAUAGCAUUAUAGUGCAGAUGAUUACAUUAUAAUUUUUCUGAUAUGAAGUUUUUUGAAAGUAGAUGGUGCACCAUGCUAUUGACCCACCGAAGAGAUUGUUCUACCCGGCUAGAAGUACUCAGGCUCAUGUCCCUUGCCAACGCCAGGAUCUCGAGUCCACGAUUUGUUACGCUGCCCCUCUUUGAAGGUGAGCUCGUAGAGGUUGCCUUGAAAGACAAAUUGAGACCUAAAUUUUGACCAUGCACAUGCACUGAAUGAUUGAUUUUUUUUUCUCGGAAAAUGAAUCCCGUUUUAAAAUGUAGUUUAUAUGAUGCAUGGAAAUGCUAAUGUAAAUGCAUAAUGUGAAAGGAAAGAAUGUACCUACAGUUACCUACCAAUCAGUGCUGUAAAGCAUAUUGAGGUACAUGAUAAAUCCCCAUUUACUCCACAAGUACUCAGUUUUCACUUAGGUUCCUUGAAGAGUCUAACAUGUAAUAAAUUGAGACAUCGAGACUGAGAAGAACAUUCACAUCCAAAGUGAAAUGUUCAACAAAAAGAAUUGAGACAUCUAGAUCCAAACUGAGAUGUCAAGAUUUUUUUAAAAACUCGAAAUACCUAGAUCCAAACUAAGGUAUAACGAGAAGGAUCGAAAAACAUUAACAUCCAAAGUGAAAUGUUCAAUGAAAAUAAUCAAGACAUCCGGGCCCAGACUGAGAUGUCAUGAUUUUUGAAGCUCGAAAUACCUAGAUCCAGACUGAGGUAUAAUGAGAAAGAUUGAAAAACAUUCACAUCUAUAGUGAAAUGUUUAAAUAAAAAUAAUCAAGACAUCCGGGUCCAGACUGAGAUGUCAUGAUUUUUGAAACUCGAAAUACUUAGAUCCAGACUAAGGUAUAACGAGAAAGAUCAAAGAACAUUCACAUCCAGAGUGAAAUGUUCAACGAAAAUUAUCAAGACAUAUGGGUCCAGACUGAGAUGUCAUGAUUUUUGAAACUCGAAAUACCUAGAUCCAGACUAAGGUAUAAUGAGAGAAACAUUCACAUUCGGAGUGAAAUGUUUAACGAAAAGAAUUAAGACAUCCAGAUCCAAACUAAGAUGUCAAGAUUUUUGAACUCGAAAUACCUAGAUCCAGACUAAGGUAUAACGAGAAAGAUUCAAAAACAUUCACAUCUAGAGUGAAAUGUUUAAGAAUUAAGACAUCCAGAUCCAGAUUGAGAUGUUAAAAUUUUGGGACUCUGGGCUACGAAAGCACGCUAGGUCGAUAAAAGAAAUCCGGGUUACAGAAGCACGCCGGUUCGAUAAAAGGAACUCUGGGCUACGAAAGCACGCCAGAUCAAUAUAAAUGGACACUGGGCUACGAAAGCAUGCCGGGUUGAUAAAGAGGGACUUGGAACUACAAAAGCACGCCAGGUCAAGAACUUCAGGCUACGGAAGCACAUCCGAUCUAUUAAAAGAAACACCGGGCUACGGAAGCACGCCGAGUCAAUGAAAAGGGACACCGGGCUACAAAAGCACGCCGGGUCAAUAUAAAUGAACACCGGGCUACGAAAGCACGUCAGGUUGAUAAAGAGGGAUUCUCGGCUACAAAAGCACACUAGAACUCUGAGCUAUGGCAGCACGCCGAGUCUAUUAAAAGGGACAUCAGGCUACAAAAGCACGCCAAGUCAAUAAAAAGGGACACUGGGCUACAAAAGCACGCCAGGUCAAGAACUCCGAGCUAUGGAAGCACGCCGGGUCUAUAAAAGGGCUUCGAGGAGCAACUUGAACGUCAAGUAUUACUCGGUCUUCAAGGAAAUAUUACCCGUUAGACAUGAUUAGAGCAAAAACGGAUAUGCAUUCAUUAAAGACGUAGACAAUUUGAGCUACUCUAGAAUGCACACUUCAAAAUUCAAUGAGAUUUUCAUCAAUUCAAUCAAGUUUUCAUCAUUUAAUAUGGUAGACUUUACCAUAUUUGCAUCACCAAAAUUUCCACAGGUUAGAAUUGUCGUUCAAGACAAUGGCAUGGAUCUCCUAAGAAUACUAAAUGAGAGACUUUCAGUUAGCAAGGACUUUCACUCACUCUCAUUCAGAAAGGCUAUUUUAGGAGAAUCACUCAAUCUCACUAUCAUCAUACCAACAAGGGUUCGAGAAUUCUCACAAGCAGUACGACCCUACCAAUCUGAGAGGUCUUUAAUAGGGACCGUAAUGCGGGCUUGGUCAAUGGCUUAACAAAGGGACUCUUCGAGUCAAGGCAAUUGAAAGAACAAUUUUGUAAUCAUCUCCAGGUUUACAAGUCAAGAACCCUCCAAAUGAGAAAGAAAUAAUCUUGCUCGCACUUCUUCGAGCGAUGCUUAUAAACAUAUGAACUCCCAUGUUAAUUCAAGUGCUCUAAUCUGAAGAGACUUUGUAAGGGACGUAAUGUAGGCUGGGUUCAUGGGUUGAGAAAUGAAAAGAUCAUUAGGCUCAAAAUGUGUGUAAAGGGUGAGAGUUGAUGAUCAUCUUGGCAUUGCCACCAGUUUUCUUUUUCACCCAGGAUUGUCAUGCACUAUUGACCUUGACUCAUUGGGUACUGAUCCAUUGGGAUACAAUUUUGCAAUUGACAGCCAUCUAUUUGACAUUUCUAUGGUCAUUAGCCUUGCUUUUACCGGGCGUACUGCUUUUUUUGCUCCAAGUUUUCAUUCAUUUUUUUUUCACUUCUUUUCUCAUGGACAUUGGCCUUACUUUUACCAAGCACACUGUUUUUUCAUACCCCUUAAUUCUAUUUUGAUUUCGAUGCAUGCGUCAAGCAAUUACACUUUGAAUGACACUCGAACUUUCAAGGGUCUUCAUCUGCCUUUUGCCUUGCCCUGGUGUGGGGGAUGAUCACCAACUGGAUUUAAAGAAAUGAAAUUGCAGGCUCAAGUGGGCUAUGCAAAGGAUAUAAGUAUAUAGGAUAGAGAAAGAAAUGCUCUUCGUCAUCCUAAGGCACUUAAAUUACCACAUGAAUUCAAUGUAAUAGCACGACUUGAAGAUAAAUAUAAGUGAGCAAGAAAAAUUAUUUUCAUUUUCCUCACCUUAUGAUGCCAUCUUACCUCCCAUUUGCCCUGAUGUGGAGUGGUUCUUGACAGGGGUAAUUUGAAAAGAUCUUCACAAGUGUAUAAGGCUAAAAAAGAGUUAAGCAAUGGAUCACCUGUAGUGUUUAGAAUGGAGAAAUGAAUUUCCCCUCAUCAUUUUGGUCAUCGUACCUUUCGCAAGAAAACUCUUUAUCUUGUAGAUAUGAAAUUUUCUACACUCAUCUCACAAAUGUAUAAGUAGGGGGAUUGUGUAUAAGAUAAGGCUUGCCUUUCAUCAUCCUGACACGUCUCAUUCAACAUGCUCAAUCUAUUGAAUUGUCCAUCUUGACAAAUCUCCACAUGAAAUUAGUGAGCUAAAUAGGCAAAAUUACUAUGGAAAUUCUCUUUUCAAAAGAGUCCAGCAACUUUAAGCAUGAAAAGCUUUUGUGACUUCAAACAGACAAUUUAUCACACUCAAAAAUGUUUUCGUAAGUAUGAAAAAUAUGAUUUCAAGCAUUCAUUCAAGGAAUUGUCCCACAAAGGGAUUGUCUCAACAAUUGGUGUCCUUGAAUUGCCCCUAUCGAAAGGGAACAAACACACAAAUGAUCAAUCAAGGCUAAAAAUUCGAUUUUUGAUUUGAUGAAUUCUUACUUUUGCCCUUACACAAAACAACGUGCAUGAAUAGGAUACUAUGCAACAUCAAAGUAAAUGCACAUGGAAUAUCCAUUUUGGUUUUGGUCUCUUAGCUUUCUUCUUCAAGUUGCAAUUUCUCACUUGUUUUGAUCCAUCAUUUUAGCUCUUGAUCGUGUACGGAUGGGUGAGCAAGAUCGCUUUACAAUCACCUAAUUCAAAUGAACGGGAACAUGUAAGCAUGAGGUGUAAAUAGAAAGUCAAUCCAUGACAAUGAUCUAAUCUAUUUUUAGUCACGAAAAAUCCACACAUGAAGAUAAUUUCCUAAAAAUGGACUAGGAAGAUAAAGACAUGGGACGCCCUAGCAUGGACUGGAAAAUCAGGAUAUCAAAUUCCUGAACAUGAACUAGGAAAAGCAAAAAUUUGAAACUCCCUAAUUAAAACAAUAAGGAUAUGAAUAGAGAAUAAAUUCUCUAAAGUUUUUUUUUUCAAAUGAUUCAUUGCAUGACAAUUUUCUCAUUUCAUUUCUGAUUGACAAAGGAAUUAGAUCAACCGACUAACCUAGAUUGUCAUGGAUGAACCAAGAGUAUGACAAAGUAAGUAAAUUGCAUAGUAUAGAGGUAGAAGACUUACUUCACCAAGAAAAAUUGACAGCAACCACAUAGAUAAGCACAUGAAAUGUGGGGUUCGAUUUCUACUCUAGACAGGCUUAGCAAAGUGAAGUUAGUAGGGUUGGAUGACUAGUUGUAGCCUCGCAUACUAAGUCAAGUCCUCCUAAUUUCGGCUUAGUAAAAAAUGACACCCCAAUGCGACGCAAUCUCGCGGGCAGAGGUAAACAUUAUUGACAUGAAGAAAAAACUUUCAGGAUUGAGUUGGGCAAUCUCUACUACACGGCCUCGCGGUCAAAGUCGUAUCCAACUCAAUACCAUCAUAAGUGUCCUAGUGCGGCCCAGGUCUGACGGCAGGUUGUGUGGGCAAAAGUGUAGUGUAAAAUGCAAAGCAUGCACAACAGUUUAUAUCAAGCAGCACUUCAUAUAUGAAAGUAAACCAUUCAUUCUACACCUCCCUGCAAAACAAAUGUUAGCAAACACUUCUCCUUAUACCUCUCAUCCUGCAAGAACAUUUAACACCUUAAAUGUUAGAGACGUACUUGGGAUCAUCGCUGCCAAACAAAAAUAUUUUUUCAAAAAGAAAAUUGGCCAAAGCCCACUAAGAGUUUUAACUCAAGUCCCUAGUGGAGUCGCCAAGCUGUCGCGACCUAAAUUUCGGGUGCACCACCUAAAUUUAGGUUAAUGGACUACUAAGUCUAACUUGGCUCGGGCUCUCCCAAGCCCAUACUAAUUCGCAACUUGGGUUCAAAUUUUUAGCAUGCAAAAGGGAGUCGCCACUAAUCAGUUUGCGGUAGGUCGAUUAGACACCUAAGUAAAAUAAUGGGAAAAUUAUUUUACUUCUACGAACUAGAGAUUGUGAGUUCGGGAACUUGAUUGCGCUAGAUUUCUCUAAUGCCCUUUUGGUACCUUUCUCUUUAUUUUGAAAAAAGUUUGGCAAGCAGCUUGAAUUGAUUUUACUUCCCUAACAAGUGAGGUGACCAUGCGGGUGCGCAAACUACCAAUUUAACAACCAGAUAAAGCAGUGAAUAAAUUGCAGGACUUACCUCAUAGCAACGAAAGCAUUUGUGAUGUUAGAUCAGAAUUCACAUCGACAAUCCUAGAUAUGAUUUCUAAUUAACACGCAAUUUCUUUUUUUCUUUUUUUUUUCACUUGUUUAAUGAGAAUCAUACUUUAUGCAAUGCAUUCUACUAAUCUAACAUGAAAUAAUAUGACAUGACAAUAUGACCUAAGCUAUAUGACAUAAUAAGAUGCAGUCUAUACUAAAAAAUGGAAUCAAUUUAUUCUAAGGCAUUUUUUUGGGUAUUUUCCCAUUCGAAAUUAUAAAAAUGCGAAAAUUAUCUAUCUAAAUUAAAAUAUCAUCUAAUUUGUAUUAGGAAUGAGGCUAAGCCAAAUCCUAAUUUAAACUAGCAUGUUAUACUAAGUUAGAAAUCCCUAACUAAAAUGUAAUCUAUCUAAAAUUAUCUAAACUUAUAAUAAAUUAAAAACUAUUAUCUAGAAUUAAACUAUAUGAAAUUUUACCCUAAAAUGCAAUGACAUGUAAAGAAUGCCCUAAUUCUAAUUUUUUUUUUUGUGUUUUUGUAUUAAUUUCGAAAUUAAAAAAUUGCCCCAUAAUUAAACAUGCAACUUAAAUCAAACAAAAACUAACGUCCUAAAUGAAUGCAUUUUUUGGAUUUUUUAUUUCGAAAAUUCAUGAUAAAUAAAAUGCUUAGUCUAAAUAUGCAAAUAACCCUAAAGCAUGCAACAUCUUAAUGUAAAUCUAAUCUAGCUCAAACAUAUUUAAAGAUAAAUAAAGCAAUCAAGACGAGACGACCAUUCAAAUCAUCAAAGAUAUCAUACAUCGUUCAGAUCAAGGGAUGGUAUCUCGCUAGUAAAAUCAAUAAAUUGAUCUUAAGCCUUAAAGAUCAAGAUAUCAAUUUUAUUCCCGUUUGAAUAAUUAUUCUAUCUAAAGCAUGGAAUAAAAAUUUGUGCGGUUGCGAAUUGGAUGCUACAUCAGGGAUUUCAAUUAGGCAUCAAGAAAUAUUUCAAAAAAUGAGACAAAAUACCAAAAACUAAAUAAGAUAAAAUGAAUCUACCUAAAAAUAAAGUAAAUCUCUACCUAAAUUGGAAUUUUUUAAAAAUCCGAUUGAUUCAAGUAAACCACGAUGGAGGCUCGGCGCGACCGCGCCAAGGACGGGGGCUGUGAUGUUGGGUCAACCACGGGCUCCAGUGAGGGUGAUGGCACAGUCGUUGGAGCUCCAACGAAGGGCGGCAGCCAACAGACCAGGGGAGUCCGGCGUCGGGGCAGUAGGGCAAUAACUGGACUAGCACUAAAACAAGGGAGACAGCAGGGGGCUUUGCUCAGGCUCGAGCAGAGGGAAAACCUAGCAGCAGGGAGGCUCGGCGAGGGGCCCUGGGUCGCAGGCAAAGGCGUCACAAGGGCUUCAUCGCAGCCGGGGAUCGGCGUUCGGUUCGAAAAUUGCUGUAACAAACAGAGUAGCGUCGGGUCGUUGGAGAAGAGGCGGAAUAGCUCAGGUUGCAGUGUCGGGUCGCUGGUCAGAGGUCACGGUGGUCGGAUCUAAGCGGGCUCAGACGGAGCAAUAGCUGCGUCACAAGGCGUGGUACGGGGCUUGCUCGACGGUGGAGCGACGACUGGCUCAGAGCUGCCAUCGUUGAGGCUUCUGGGAAUGCAAGCAGAAGCAACGUCGUGGACCGGUGCGGACUGGAGGCAACGCAGGACGUGGCUGUGGUCGACGGCUUCGCGGUUUUUGGGAAAGCGAGCAGCAGCGUCGUUGUGGACCGGGACGGGUUCACGGGUGAGGAGGAUCUCUGGCAACUGGAGGGGGCGCGGAGGUGGCUAGCGAAGCUGGUGCCGGCAUGGCGGCUUCGCAGUCUUCACGGACAGGAGCAGCGUCGGUCGCUGGUGGAGGCUGGCAAAGAUGGACGUAGAUCUGCUGCAGAGGCGGGUGUCGGCGAUAGGGCUGUGCGUCGUGGUGAGACCGGCGGAGCGGCGGUGCUAGACUUGUGAAUGGCAGAUGCGGGCAGGGGGAAGAAGAUGAAUAAUGAUUGCUUUUCCCCUCCUUUCCCUAUUGUUGGACGUCACACCCACGUCCCUCUCUGUAUACCUUCUUUUGCUGCCUUUUUCUCUCUUUGCAUAAGCAAAAGCUUCUUUUGGUCCAGCCUAGGGACCUUAAAGCAAGGCCGUCUUGACUGGGGUUUCCCGGACGUAAAACGGGAACGACCCCCGCAGGGCUCUCCCGCCACACCCCCCCUCGAAAGAGGUGGGGAAGGGACCCCCCCUCGGAUCCCCGCGAUGCCUUCCCCCAGGUUGCUGGGGCACGGUACAGGGAAAUGAAGAGGCCAGGCCUAACAGCCUGGUGUAAGCUUCUUUUGCUAUUGUCUUUUCUCCUCUUCCCCAAAAAGCUUUUCUUAAGGAACGAACGGAGAAAACUCAAAGCUUUUCUUCUCUUUUCGUGAUGAAUUUUUUUUUACCUAAAACUCGAGAGAAGACCCCUUUGGUAUGGCCGUAUGUAUCAAUAUGUGUGGCCCCCCGAAACCCUACGCAUUUUACCUUUUUAUAGGCCACUGAUUAGGUUUUUUUUUUUAAAAAAAAAAAUCCAAAUCAAUAUCCACAAAGAUUCUUUUUCGCAAUAUUCACUUUUCCGAACGCAAUAUUUGCUUUUCACAUCUGCCCUAUCCAAAAGAUUCAUCAUAUCCUGGAAAAAUUUCAAAUUCUUAUUUUUCACGAGAUAAUUAAAGAAAAUGGGCUUAGGCCAAUUUGCUCGCUUCGUGCGCUUAGUCCGGUCCGCCAAGUUAAAGCUCAAAUUCACUAAUUUGAACCCAUCCACCACCGGUCCAAUAAAUAAAUCCAAAAAAUGCAAAUGCAAAAUAAAUGCACCUAAACCUACAUGCUACGCAAUUAAUAUUUUUUCAGGGAUAAAAUUAACCCCUAAUUUUCUAUGCAAUAAAUAAAUGAUCGGGCCGCCAAAAUUUAGGUGUCAACAGUUACACUUUUUGGUUUCUCAAAUGAACAACAUUUGGGUAGAGGCAGAAGCUUAUUACAAUAAGAGAUGAAACAAUACAAAGAUGGGGUUCCACAGCUUUCGUCGAUUAUUACUAAGUGGUAAACAUUGUCUCCUCACUUUGAAUGUGAUGCUCAAAGCCAAAAAAACCCGUGGAAAUAGCAGCUGCUAUGAAAAGGCAAUCUUUUCAUCCUCAUUUCUUCGAUUUUCUAAUGCAAAAGGAUCGCCCCAGCAACUGCUCACCGUUUGAAUUUUCAGACUGUAAACUGAAAAACCAACCUGAGCUGGCCAUCUUAUUGAUUCACUGGCCAAGAUGAAUAUCCUAGACAUGAGGAUGAGAAUGUUGUUGGCAAGGAUUAAGCUGUUUGACAUUAUUGGACUCACAAAAAUUAAUAGUCGUAUAAACUACGAGGCUGGGUAGACUAUUCAGAGGAGGUAUGCCGAUCAAUGAUCUACUGACGUACAAAGAUGCAUUAUAAGUGUUAGGGAAAUCCCUUAUGAUGUUUUGAAGAUGACAAAAUAAAUCAAAGGCUACUAACAUGUUUGAUGGUUGAGUAAUAGACCAUGCAUAUAAUAGAACAUGUAGAGGAUAUUAUCAAAGUCUGAAGACUGCCAGACUCGAGACUCAAAGUCUGAAGACUGUCAGACUCAAGACUCAAAGUCUGAAGACAGACUCUAUGCUGAAGCUGAACUGGGUACAGACUCAGAUUGUAAAGUCUACAGACUCAGAUUGUAAAGUCUAAAGACCCAGGUUGUAAAGUCUCAAGACUCAUAUCGUAAAGUCUCAAGACUCAGACUUUACAUCCAGAUUCGAUGAAUCGUAACUCAAGCCCAAUCAUACAACGGCUAGUGAUCUGGUUUGGAUUCCACAUCAAGAUUGAUUUGAUUGAAGACAAGAUCUUUCUAUACGAAGAAGCUUUACUUAUGGAAACCAAGAUUUCGUUUGUAUGGGCGAUCGGAAUCAAUUUGGGAUUUUACCUUUGUCACUCAACGGCUACCAAAUCUUCUAAGAUACAGAGCUGUCCAAUGGGUAUAUUGGAAGACGAUUCUCCGGGAUGCUGUCCAACGGUAGUUUGGAAGUGGAGGAGUAUUUAAGGAGAUCAUGGACCGAUGAGCAAGUAAGAGACGGAGCGUAGAAUUUAUAAUUCCAAAGUCUAAGCGACUUUAGAUCAUAUACUUGUCUCUUGAGAGCUUAAACGUUUGUAAUCGUGAGAGAAAUACCAAGAGAGUGACUUAGUGAGAUAGUGUGAUCUACUACUAAGUGUUUGCACUCGGAGUUGUAAUCUCUUGUUGAUUGCAUAGUGGAAUCCAGCCAAGAAGGCUGUUAUCGUGGAAGAGUGGACGUAGGCUUGGAUUAAGCCGAACCACUAUAAAUCUCGUGUUCUUAUUCUCUUCCCUAACUCCUUUAUUUUGUUCAUACUAGCACUCUCAAUAAGUAACUGUCAAAUUCCCCAGUUGAAUUUUUUGAUUGGAGAUGCACAAUUUGUAGUUUUGGGUAGAGAUGAUAGAAUUUAAAGAAUGAAAAUAAUUUUUGUGGAGUCUUCUCUUCUCGGCAAAUGAGAUUGACGAGCUGGCCUUUGAAGCAGGGAACUUCAGAAGAGUCCAUUAUAACUGUCUUUCCCAUGCUUGAUAACUCUCUCCGCUUGCAUCUGUGCAUCUGGAAGCAGAGCUUGAAGAACCGUUGAUUAUGAUAUAGAUCGAUUAGUGUAGCAUCCAAGUCCAUGUCACUGGCCAAAGGAAGCUGCAUAAGGGCAUUAAAGCAGACAAUUAGCAAAACUUUAGCGACGCCCAUCGUUGCCAUUUUAAUUGCCUGAUUAUGCUGAACUGGUGUAAUAGGAUUAAAUGAAUUCGCACAACAUCUUCCUAAUUAGUCUCAAGAAAAUAAAAGGAGAGGGAUGACAAUGUCUUUGAAAGGUUUAUACAAGAUGAUACCCAAAGGUAACUCCUAGUCCUGUUUCAUGGAAUCAGCUGUAAAGGCCUUUUCAUUUUUUUUUUAGCAACAUCAGUAGGUGUUAAAUCUGUCAGUUUCAAGGUCCGAGGUUGAAAGUGAUUUACUAUUGCACAUCUAAACUUACCUAAGCCUCACCCAAGCAGGUUGUAGAUCCAACCCACAAUGCCUUUUACAACGUUUUCUUUUAAAAGUAUUGUGUCAGAUGCCUCGAGUUCUAAACAGGAUCUUCAGCUGCUCAAAUUGACUCUGUUUCUAGCUCUCCCUAUUUUUCUUUUUUUAACAAUUCUCUGUUCAUAUAUAAUCUUUCUUAUGCAUCUUCUCAAAAAGUAAUGUGGAUAUGAAGUUGUUUAACAAAGUAAUCUCAUAAAUUUCAAUCUGUACAACUUAUUUUCGAACCAUGUCAGAGAUGAAAUAAACUAAAAGCAAGUGUUGGCAGAUGGUGGAAGCUAAUUUUUUACCUUCCCUGAUAAAACUUCAAGGAUAUCCAGGCUCUCCUGUAUUGAAGAAAAAUCACAGAAGUGUUCAAGCCUGCCAGGUCUCAGAAGCGUGCCAUCAAGUAAGGCCCGGUCUACUACUUCACACCAAAUGCAACUCGAUUAGAACUGAAAGCACAUAACUGAACAACUACAAAAUAAAGAAACAGGAUCCCAAGAAGGGAAAGUGAAUUGGAGUUAUUAAGAGAUAGAUGAACUGAUGACUCCUAAGGAAAACAAAAGACCACCUCAUGCCACAAAGAUGUUAUGAUAGAUAUGCGAAAUCGCCCUAUGCUUGAUGUCACAAGACUAUCAAAAUCCAUUGAUGGUGUUGUAGAUGCACAAGUCUAGCUUAAUACACUUCUUGCACGCUACUUCAGCAACUGAAGAUUUAUGCAAUCCCAUCUUUUGUUACCUUCUUUGAUACAUAUGUAGUUUAUCCAAUACUGUGUAUCUGAAGUUAAACAGUUCUAAAUCAAGUAGAAGUCAAGUCUAGCAUUUUAUAGUCCACCUUAAAGGUUAAUAACAUAGUCUCCAUGCUAAAUGCUUGGUGGAAAUAUUUGUCAAAGCAUUCAUAAUGGCUGCGCAACUUCAAAUAGUAGUUUACAGGUAGUGUGCUAUUGGAAGAGUGUACUUUUGUUACCAUGUAAGAUGAAAUCAUUACCUUGGUUGCGCGAACGGCAAUGGACCAGUUAACUUCAACGCCAUCUAAUAUAGUAAAAAACCGCACCAAUGAAUAACAAACCAUUAGUAAGUCAUACCAUUGAAUAUAUUUCACUUGACCACCAUAUAAGUGCUGUGAAUGCAAGAAACCGACUUGAUUGAUGACAUGGUCAGUGAAACCCUUAUUAUCCCUCUUUGGAGCAUUGGAAUCAAUUUCAUUGAAAAAGAGAAGGCAAGGAACUGCAGCUACUGCCUUCGAGAAUAUAUCCAGAACCUGUAUUUUCUAAUUGCCAAUACUCUUGAAUAUUCAAAAUUUCUCCUUUUUGCUGACAAAAUCAAUGCCAUCAAUGUGCAAAAUAGAAAAUCCAGUAGACAUUUGAUCACCGAUUCCAAAUUUUUAGGAGAGUAAACCUCCAAAUACUUCACAUCUUUAAUAUUUCUCUUAAUCAAAUGGUCAUAGACGAUCCUCUCAUUCAUGCAUUAGAAACUCAUCAACCAUUUUAACUUGGCCUCUUAAUGGUUAUGGGAGGAUCCUUAUUGUUGUUGCUAGUUAUCCUAUUUCCACUGCUAGCAUAAUUGAAGAGACUCUAUUAAAUGCAUACAAAAGCAACAGAAGAAAGCACAAAAAUGUGAAAUGUCUAAAAAUAACAAAGUAUAAUACAAGAUUGCACAAUGGAAUUCAAUCAGCAUCAGUGCAGUUGAAAAGAAGCCUCUUACAGCCUGCUCAGCAGUACCAAUGUACUUACUCAACAGCUCAGCCUUUCACUGAUAUGGAUUGAAGAGAACAAGCUGCUGCUGCUGCAGCACCACCAAUAUGUGUGUCUUGCCAAAGCCCAGACGUCCAUUUAAAAGAACACUUGACCAUGGCCUUAGAGGAGCUUGCCCAAAAACAUUUUAUCAGCAAAUAUAAGAAUGAUAGACACGAAGAUGAAGUAGGUUUAUUUAACAAGUUAACAAUGGCCACAUUUUAGCUGAGUAAGAUAGAGAGAGAGCAAGAUGAGGAAAGGUGUAAUGAGUCACUAGAGAGAAUAAAACAAAGCUACAGCUAAGACACAACCAAUGCAGUUAUACAAACUUUCUUGAACAAAAUCCAUGCAUAAUUUAGCUCACUCACAAGAAUGCAUCAGGGAAACAAUGGUCGGUAGUUAAGCCCCACAAUCUCAGGUAAUCUCAUCAUCUCAGUGAAGAUUCUAUAGAGCCAGACCAUGUGGCAUUCCAAAAUUUCAUGGCAAUUUCUAGAGGCAUUACGACCUAUGGAAAAGUGAACGGUUGUGUCGUUGAAGUAUGUUGUGACCUCUAGACCGAAGAAUUGUAAUAGAUUAAGGCCGAACACUUUAAUGGAAAGGUAUCUUAUGUUCUUGGUUUAUCAAAGUUGGUGCUAUAGGAUAAUUUGAUAAUGAGAAUUUUGUUCUUGGCUAUGCACCUUAUGGAUUUGAUUUUUUAUGGAUUUAUGUUGCAAGCUUUAUGGCCAAGUGAAUAAGUGUAAUUAGGUAAUUAUAUGAUGGGUAAUUAGGUGAUGAUUAAAGGGAAAAAUUAGAGAAGAGUGGGUUGAAUUUUUAGGCCCAAGACCAGCCCCACCAUUCGGCACUUUUGGCGUGGCCUGAAAAGCUCAAAGGAAAGGAGCUGCUGUCGACCAAGGGGAGGAGGCCUGGCCCAUGAAGCCCAUAGGGCUGUCGAUGGAAGGAGGGGUGGCCCAUGAGAGGCCCAUCCUCUUGCAUGGAAAUUACCAAGUGGCAAGGGGGAUUAUCCAAGUGUCCCCUUGCAUGUUUUGUGAUGAUUGCAUGCUAAUCAUGAGAGGGAAGAAAAGAAGAAGGGGCGGAUUGAGCAAGGGGGGGCAUCACACGAGAGAAAGGGGAAAGAGAGAGAGAGAGAGAGUGAAACCGGGAGAGGGAAAGCAAGCGAGCGAGAGAAGAAGGGGAAGAGGGAGGCCGUUUGCUGCCAUUCGUCGCCGCCGUUGAGCCGCCGAGUCCCGCCUUGCCCCGCUGUCUUUGCUUGAUGUGUUGUGCUCGGAUUAGAGGCAAGUAGAGUCCAUCAAUCUACCCUUUGCUUGCUGUGAUGUGUGUGUAGAAAAUGGUAAAUUUCGGAUGUGGAUGAAGUGUGAAAUCUCGAAGCUACAAGAGUUGUGAUCUACCCUAGUGUUCUGUUUCUGGAAAAACAGUCCGACCUUUGAUGAUUUCGUGAGUUGCAUGCGAUGUUCUAGUGGGGAUUUGGCUUCGACUUCUUGAUGAAAGUUUUAAAGAACUUCUUGAGGUAUAACAUGUAAAAAUUUCAGAAUAAAUGAACAAGUAUAGACCGGUGAAACUAUUUUUCUUUGAAGAAGUUAGAUCUGGAAAUCGUAAUGCUGACCUAGUGUGAUUCUGUUAACUUUAUAAAAUUUUCCGGUUGAAAUAUGAUUUCUAGUUCUGCAUGAAAUAUUUACUUCUGGACCUUUUCUAUAACAUAUAAAAAUUUCAGAAUUUUUGGAGCUGAUUUAGGCUUUUUACUGAAUUUGUGAAUGAAACUGUGUAUGGCAAUAUUCCGAAAUUAUAAAGACUGUGAUGUGUGGACUGUACCGAAUUGUGUGAUGUUCUUUUGAUAUGGUGUUAUUCACGAAAUAUCUUCCUAUAGAUCUUUUAUAUAACAUGUAAAAUUUUUGGAAAUUAUUAAGGCUAUUUGCUAAUUUUUCAAGAAUUAUGACCAAGGGAGUGCAAUCUGUUUUUAUCCGAAAUUUUGCUGUAUUUUCAAAAAUAAAUGAAAUUGCUCCAUGUGCUAUAAUGUCUUGAGUGGUUGAUUAUGCUGCAUAUGUGGUGACAUAUGGCAUGUUAUAUGACAUCAAAAGUUGGUUGAGAUCUUUGAUAUUGUUGCAUCAAAUGCCAUGUUGAAAUUGAGAUACAUGUGUGAAUAUAAAUUAUGAUAAUGAUGAUACCGUCGGAGGUGUGAGCCGACGAUGCCCCGGGAGUGUUGGGAUGCCCGGAGUGUGGGUGCCGGAUGCCCGGAGUGUGUGUGCCGGAUGCCCCGGGAGUGUUGGAAUGCCCGGAGGUGUGUGCCGGAAGCCCUGGAGGUGUGUGCCGGGGGCAUACCUCGUGAUGCCAGUUGGGGUACGGGAUGUCCGGAGUGUGUGUGCCGGAUGCUCGGAAGUGUGUGCUGGAGGCCCUCGCGAUGCCAAGUUGGGUGCGAGCGAUAAAUUGUGGGAUGCAAACACUAGUCCUUGGGAAGAAAAAUGAUGUGAUCUAAUUUAAAGAUAAAGAUCGAGAAUUGAAUCAUGUGCAUAGAUGUGUGCAUAUGGCAUGGGAUGAACCUCAUGGGAAGGCAAGCAUGAAGUGCAUGGUGGUAUGUGCACGUUGCAUGGUGAUAUAUGCAUGGCUGCUUGAUGAUACAUGUAUAAGUGCAUGGUGGUAUAUGCAUGUAGCAUGGUGAUAUAUACACGUAGCAUGGUGAUAUAUGCAUGGCUGCUUGAUGAUAUAAGUACAAGUGCAUGGUGAUAUAUGCAUGGUUGUAACGUGAGGUAUGCUUGAAUGCAUGAUGAUAUGUGUUUUAUUAAUGAUACAUUGAUUGUUCUGUUUGAGGCAUAGUGUAGUUUGUUGGAUCUUUACUGCUGAGUGGUUAUACUCACCCCUUUUGGGGAUUAACAUAUCAGAUUAGAAAGAUGCCCCUUUCACCAGUCGCGCAUGGUACCUUCUAUGGCAUACCUACUGAUGUUGAGGUGGAGUGCAUGGAGCAUUCCUGUGUUAAUGUACCUGGUCUGGUGUAUGUCCGAGUCCAUGUCGUGGUGAUGUACGACGUGGGCUUUGCUGAUGGCCCUGUUAUUAAAGAGUUUUUGUCUGUUCAUGUCCAGCGUGAUGGAGUGAUGCUAGGGAUGCUGCCGCCGCCGCCGCCGCCGCCGCCGCCUGAUGCAUCGGGUUGGGUGUGAUGGCGCGUAUGACUAGUGGGAGCUAACACUUUUUGGGGAUAGCCAACGCUUGUUGAUGGAGGGGUGUACAUGUUUGAUGUAGGGUCGAGUUCUCUUUUGAGUUAUAACCAAGUAUAGUUAAAAAUCUUGGCCUUUUGCUGUACCAACCCGAGAUGUCCAUCAUGAAAAUGUAAAUAAAAAGCGACUCUGCUUUAUCGUUUUAUAUGGUGAAUAGUUGGUGUGCAAUUGCAUUAUUGUUAUUGGAGUAAGGGAUGGUGAGACUCGUUUAUGCUUCCGUUGAUGAGCUGCGCUGGACAGAUGGAGGUAGGACAUAGUACUACUUGCACGCUCUGUCUGUGUUUUGGCAAAGAGGCUGAGAUGCCUGGCUACCUCGUAGUUGAUUUUUUUGAAGGACUAAUGGUGUGAAAUAAAUCUAGCAGAUUCUUGUGCACUACAGAGAUAUGCAAAAUAACAGCACGCAAGUAGGAAACUCUAUUGAUGGCAGAAAGUACUGGAAUGUACAAUUUACCAUUUGCAUGGAGAAUGGUGACCAGAUGAGAACAAGAUUGUCAAACACACAAGUUAGCUGGUGUGAAAGAGAUGGGGAACGACUAUCCAAAGCAGGCAAGGGCUAUUAGCUGCUUACAAAAUGAAAACCACAUGGGACCAUUCGGCACCGUAGGUUUUCCACAAGUGAUUGCCUUGGGAGUGUUUAAAAGUAGCCGAUAUACAAAAAGAAAAAAGAAGGAUGCAUACAAAUCGAUACUAGCUAUAGCAAAGUCAAUGAGAAUCCUCAGGUCACCUGCUUAUUACGUUGCGAUUGGACUAAAUCUCCUCGGGACAUGGAUCUAUCAAAGAGCCGAAGAUAAGAUGGUGACCACGGAAUUGAGUCAUAUCCAAUUCAAACUCGACAUUUUUGUUAGUUGAGAGAUAGAAGAAAGAGAGCCUUUCAAUCUUGCAUUGAGGGAAGAUGGCUUUAGACUUCACAUUAUGAUUUACUCUUUGUACGAUUAAUUUCUUACCUCGACUUUGUCAAAUUCACUCUGGUUUAAAUAGCUCUGUUAAAAGGUUUGCUCCCACUUGGUGUGUUAGCAAUUAAACUAUCGCUUUCCAAAGAAUAUUACAACGGCAAGGAAGCAUUAUCCUAUUCGAAUGAUGGGACACAUGAAAGUUGAUACUACCAGCUCUGAGCUCCCUUAAGUGUUCAGUGAAAAAUUGAAAACAACCAAUAUGAAACAGUUUUAAAAAAGAGAAAACAAAAGAAGUCGUGAAUUAGACACAUUUCAACUUUCUUUUGUCACUUUUUUGAAACAAAAGUACUCAUGAACUCCACAAGAAUGCAUCAGGGAAAUAAUGGAGGGCAGUUAAACCCCACAAUCUCAAGUAUCCCAUCAUCUCACUGAAAUUCUAUAGAGUCUGACCACAAGCUCCCUUCACUACAUUGUCAAUCUGCAAAAAGGUUUAGACAGCUCACCACCAUAAGAUGACUCUAAUGUUACACAAAAAGUAAAGCACUCAGUGGAAAACAAACACUUGGGAACCUACGCCAGAGAUUAGUAGUGCUCAUCUAGGUACUCAACUAGGAAAGACACUCAUAAAACAAUAAUAGGAUCCUCACACGUAUUGAGUAUGAGGAACUACUCCUUUUUCCAACAAAAUAAUGAAUUCCUCAUCCACCAAGACAAAAUGAAUUAAGCAAUCAAACAACGUGAAGUACGUGGGAAGCACACUCGAGAAUACGAGAGGAAGUCGCGGAUCUUUCAAGUUUUAGUCCCCAACAUGUCCACUUCUAGAAUGACUUACCAAGAUCUAUGAAAUAAAUUAUUUACUUUGAUUAAGCUAAUUAUGAGUACUGAAAAAUACUUCAGCAAACAAAAGCUGAAGUUAAUUCUCAAUACAUUAAGCCAUUGAAUGCCUAAGCAGAAUAGGACUAUUAGCCAUACAAAGUUUGGCUAGCAAACAACUUUAAGUUGCUCAUAUAGAUCCCCACCGUUACACUGGAAGACAUUUCAGCACGAAUAGUUGACUGCAUUCCAGGACUCUGCAUAAAUAGAUGAAAAAAGUUAAUAAUUAUAGCUAGAGAAGCAGAACUUCUACUUUAAGAAUGGGAAUGCUUGAAAAUUGCAACUAUAACCAUUGGCAUCAGAUGUGGAGCAAAGCUGACAGUGAUCUUUGAUUGUACAGCAUCAAAUAGUCCAAUUCAAUCUAUGGAACUACAGGAAACAAAAAUUAUACAAAAGGUAGCAACCGAGAUUAUUGCAUUUGCCUUAUUUAAUUCGUCAAUGAGUCAGAGUUAUCAAAUUCCUAGACCUAGCUCAAAACAGCAAAGGAUUCAGAAGUCAUCGGCAAAACAAAUAAGAAUUCAAGAACGUAAAUGCCUUAUUGGGCAAAUUGCAACAUCUUCCCCAAUUGUCUUUGGUAAUUUAAGAUGAGAGGGAAUGAAGUAAUAGCAAACAAACAGACAGAGAAUAUAAGUUCAGAAGUAAAUAGAAAAGCACCUUCAAUUCUCCAUGAAGGAAGUAACUAAAUUGCUCAUGUUGCAUAAGAGGUAUCAACAAUUCACUCUAUCGCUAACUAGGCAUUAAUUCCUUUAUUUCAUUCGUCACAAAUCAUGAUUGUACUGCGGUGAAAUUGAAAAGACAUUCCAUAAGGUAUGACUAGUACUCUCAACCACCUCUGCCUUUCAAUAAAACCUAGCGUUUGUUAGCAUCUUCAGUGUGCUCACUCUAUAAGCAAGUUAUGUGCUGCAAAGCAUAUGUUGAUGCGCAACANNNNNNNNNNNNNNNNNNNNNNNNNNNNNNNNNNNNNNNNNNNNNNNNNNNNNNNNNNNNNNNNNNNNNNNNNNNNNNNNNNNNNNNNNNNNNNNNNNNNNNNNNNNNNNNNNNNNNNNNNNNNNNNNNNNNNNNNNNNNNNNNNNNNNNNNNNNNNNNNNNNNNNNNNNNNNNNNNNNNNNNNNNNNNNNNNNUGAUUCACAUCGAUAGACCCCAAGUUUCAGAUUCUGCAGAUUAGAAAGAUCAGAUUGUUAAGCUUUUGAUGGAAUUGCAUCCCCAGAUGGUCAAAUCCUGCAAUGAUUUCAAUUCUCCCAAACCCGAAAUCUCAGUUAGCUGAGGCAAAUCCCGUAGGAACAAAUGCUGGAUCUCCUUCAGACCAGGUAGAACGGGCAGCGUCUUGAGCAAUGGACAAUUGCACAUCCACAAGUCAUUAAAUUUCCGUAGCUCUCCAAGCACCUCAAAUCGAAUCUCUCCUAACGAAUAUCCAUCAAUAUGCAGCUUCGACAAAUUCUCCAAGUUGGAAAAGACUGACCAAUCUAUCGGUGACUGGACAUCCCUUAACCUCAAAUCUCGAAGGCUGGAUGGGAGCUCGAUAAGAGAUUGGGGCUCAACACAACUUAUGUGGAGGUAUUGUAGCUGAGAGAGGGAAUUGAAAUUGGUUGGAGGCAAGGCCAUUCUUCCAACAAGCAGGGUCAUUUCCCUUAAAGCAGGCAGUCUCACAAUCCCCUCCGUGUUGGGUUCUUGCAUUGAAGAUCCGAUUAUCACAAGGUCAACUAAAUUGGUUAGGUUUGAGCAGUUGGGGAUUGUGGUUAGCGAAUCCGAUGUAAGGACCAAAGACGUUAGACUAUUGGGAAGCCCCGGCAGCUGUUGGAUUGAAUUACAAUCCCAUAAAUUAAGUUGUUGGAGAUUUGUAAGCUGAUUGAUGGUUGUCGGGAAUCCACUAAAGCAGCCAUCGCUUAAGUCUAGAAUUUUCAACAAGGAUAGUGCCCCGAUUUCACUUGGAAUUUCCCCCACCAAAUUAUCAGAGCGAGCAUGUAACUCUUCUAGAUUUCCAACAUUCCUAUGGUUUUCGGAAAUCCACUUAUAUGGCUAUCAUUGAGAUUUAGUACCUUCAACUUUUUGAGAUUUCCAAUACAAUCAGGUAAGCUCCUGAUUCUUGAAUAGCGCAAAUCCAACUCGACCAAUGAUUGGAGCCUCCUAAUCAAGUCUGGUAGCUUUUCUAGAUGGCAUUGUGGGAUACGCAAAAAUUUCAACCUUUGAAAAUUUCCAAUCGAAUGAGGUAAUUCACUAAUCUUUGAAUAUUGGACAUCUAGCUCAAGUAGUGACUCCAGUUUUCCAAUAGAGCCAGGAAGCUUUCGAAGUUUCGGGCAUUCCAAGAUUAGAUGCUUCAGGUUCACUAAAUCACCAAUUGAGUAAGGCAAAAUUGAGAUUCUUUCAGAUUUAAUUCUUAGCUCUGUCAUAGAUUUUAGAUUGCUGAUGGACUUUGGUAGUGACUCAAUAUCUUCACACAUUAUUUCUAGGUAAUCAAGACGUUCUAAAUUGCCGAUGGACUUGUCAAUCUUUCUUAGUUGAGAGCACCUAAGAAUCAAUCUCUCCAAUUGCGAGAUUGCAUAGAACUUGGGAGUCUUUCUAAGGAAUGGACAAUUCUCGAGUUGCUUGACUUUCAAUUGUUUUGCUACUUAUAAAAAAAUUGAGCAAAGUCUCUCAAAAGAGCAAGAGUAAAUGUAAUGCAAAAGUAUGUCAUGAGAUCAUACCAUGAUUUGACACCAUCCUUCCCAAUCUUUACAAUGCUAUUCCCAGGAAGAAUGACAACCGCUAAGUUCUUCAACUCAAAUUCGGUUGCUUGGAAUUCGGAAGGGCAAUUGCUCCAAGAGAGAAAUCUUAACUCUGAUAUAAGAUCUUUAAAGUCUCCUUUGAAAUAUCCAUGGCCGAAUUGAAGGAACAUCAAGUUGACCAACCUCGCAAAUUCCUUACGUCUAAANNNNNNNNNNNNNNNNNNNNNNNNNNNNNNNNNNNNNNNNNNNNNNNNNNNNNNNNNNNNNNNNNNNNNNNNNNNNNNNNNNNNNNNNNNNNNNNNNNNNUGCGAUUCAUCUCCGGCAUAUCGUAGAAUGAAAGUUGUCCGCUAUUAGAGGCCAGGGCAUUGUCAUCCUCACCUUCCUUUACUAGGAAUUCAAUGUUCCUUGUUGUUAUGAUGAUUCUACUACCCCCACCAAACCAGUUGGGCUCGCCUGCAAGUCUCAUGAUUUGGUCUUGUUUGUCGAUGUCAUCAAGAACAAUUAAAACUUUUUUGUCAUGAAAUCUCAUCUUGAUCAUGUCAACCCCUUCAUCAAUGAAGGAGAGAUUUGUGAAACUCAAAUGGAGAAUGUCGAACAACAAUUUCUUUUGUAAGUUUAUUAUAUCAUGAAUCCGGACAUCUUUAAGAAAGCAACAAUUACUCUGAAAUUGAGGGGAUAUUUGUCUGAAGACAGCCUCGGCCAAUGUCGUUUUUCCAAUGCCACCCAUACCAUGAAUCACGAUAAACCGUACAUCAAAAGCUUCUAGAUUUAACCGCUUCAUAAUCUCAUCCGUCUGAUCAUUAAUUCCCACCAAAUGAUCAGGCACAUCUGUCCUUCUUGUCCAUAACAAACUAGAAACCUCUUUGACUGUGAGAUUCUUAAGUUCUUCUAGGCUGCCACAUGCAUAACAUGUUAGUGGAAGGUUAUCAUCAAGUUCAAAAUAAUUUGCUUUAAAAGAUACCAACACAGAAAAAGCGAUCUUUAAAGCUUUGAGCCAUUUGAAAAUAAAAGAACCAAAAAAAAAAACAGAUUUUCUCAGAGAGGAGGAGGAGGGACCUUAUUCACGAUUGAAAGCUAAUGCUAUCAAGGCUCUUUGGUCUAAGCAGUGGGAAAAGGUUAUUUCGUGAUAAAUGGUGUAAUUGGGCUUCAACUAGAAGUCACUCCAGCAAAUUGUGACUACCUAGUGCUGUGGGCCAUUAUGUUGAAAUAGGAUGUGGGCCUUUGUUCCGUUCAAUGUGAAAAUUACAAAAUUAGUCAUAAAUUUAUUGUACGAAUGUCAAUUCAAUCAUAAACUUUUUAAUUUUAAUAAUGUUGUUCUAAACCCUUAUACAAAAUUUCAAUGUAACCCCUCCAGCCAAUAUCCACCAAAAAUUGCUAAAGUGGCAAUCUAUGCAGGCUGUCAUUUUAAGUAAAAUUGUCAAUGUCAGCUAGCCACGUAGGACUAUGGGGAUGAAUGGAUGCCAUGUUAGUGAUUUCUUGCCGCAAUUGGGCGGAAAGAUUAUUUUAGAAUUUCACGCAAAUGCUUAUGACCACAUUGACAAAAUUAAAAUGUCUAGUACUCAAAUGUCAUGCACAAUAAAUUUAGAACUAAUUUGAUAAUUAUGCCUCCACUUCAUUUUAUACUUUUUCACACCGGUUGGUUUCUUCUUAUCACACACAGCUAAUAGCGACACCUCUAGAAGUUUGGUUAAAUAUCAAGUCCUGGGUAAACUCGAUCUUGAUAAUCUCUCCAAGCAAUAGGGAUGAGUUUGAAGGUUAACGGAAAAGAGAAAAUCUCACUCACAGUUGCCUUGAAUAUGGGAAACAAGAAUACUAUCUUAAAAGCAUUUUUCUUAACAUACCCAUGGAGUAGAAUACUAAUCGAAAAUGAGGAAGAUUUUCUGGAAUAUAUAUCAACCUUGAUUCGAGUUACCAACAGACAUCUCUCCAAAUAGGUUAGAAAUAAUUUUAGGUUACCCAUUCUUUUUAUAAUAAUGGUAAUGGCAAACUAGUUGGUACUUUAAUCGGAAUAAAUUGGUGAGUAACUCAACUUAGGAUUGGUAAUUUAACAACAGAUUUCGUUGCCUAACAAUGUUCAUAACCAGUGCAAAUAAAAGUUGGUGCAUUAUUAACGAAAGUUGUUAUGAAGGUAGAUAGUUUUGAAACAAAUAAUAAAUACUGAUAAGUAGCUCAAAUAAGAAUGGGUAGCUUAAACUGGUUACUAACCUAAUUAGAGAUUAGUUAAUAUGACAAUCAUAUUAGAGUUAGUAAUUCGGUAAAAGAUUUGGUAAUUUUGAAAUGUGGAGUAAACAAUAUGGUAAGUUGUACAGAAGUUGUAAAUCGGCAAACAAUCUAAUAAACUUAGUAAAUGAUUCACAUAAAAGCCGGUAAGCCAAAACUAGUUUGUAAAACAAUGGAGAAAGAAGUUGGUAAGACACAAAUCAAAGUUGAUAAUUUCAUAUAAGAACUGAUAACUUUAAAAUUAGGGAUGUGCAUGGAGCAUGGGAAAUCCGCGCCCCGCGGUGGUCUACCUUGGAUAAGGCAAUUUUUUUUUUUAGGAAAAUUUUUUCUCCAAACAUUGCCUCCCGGGAUAUUUUGCAAGACACAACUUGCGCAUGGGCAGUAAUAGGCUAGCCCUUCCCAUUCUCGAGGAUUGAAACUAUUAAUGCGUUUAACGAAAGAUAGAAACAGCAAGGUUUAAUGAAGGAUGUAAGUAAGCAGAGAGUAACGACUAGGGUUUACAGAAAACCAUCACAAACUACGAUAGAGGGUAGCUACAUAAGGUCCCUUAUAAUUGUUAAAGUACUUAUCCAUUUUCUACAGGUUUCUAUCCAACCAUAGCUACAACUACUUGGAAGUCCCUUAGAUGAAUUUUUGGUUAAUUAAGAUCUGAGGCCAUGAAUAGGUCCAUGUUUAAAGCAAGAGCAAAAAUCAAUUUUUAUGUUAUAAUAUUCUACUAUAAAUCGCUAUAGAAGAAUAUUCAGUUUAAGGUUGCAGAUCUUGUCUAUGCACAAUUGGCCACUAGAGGAGCCUCUGACCCCUGCCCCACCGCAAUGAAAACAAAAGCCCAAGAUUGAUAAUACACCCGAAGCUAAGUCAGUCCUUUACAAACUAAUCAAGAAAUAAACCUCUAACAGUUUCAGAGAUCCUUUUUUUUUUCUUUUGGAUAAUGGCACACAAAGAUCUUUGUAAUGUUCGGUCUUGUAUACUCAGACCAACAAGAAAAACCAUGACCUAUAGUUUCCCCUUAUGGGGUUGUAAAACUAUCAUCAUAAAGAAGCCCCAUUAUUUUUGUGUAACUCGGGGAUGCGACUGUAAUUAGCCAGUUAACUCAAGGGAAACAGUCGCAAUGCAUAUGAAUUCCCUAUGGCCGAAACUGAAUCCACAAGGAUCGGUUUCUUCCUCUUAGCCAUAAGUUUUUGGAUAUCGCAUAGACUAAGUCUAUGCUAUAAUUUCUGUGUCUCCAGCAUAUUUUUAUGUCUCCCUAAAGUACAUCAAACACUAACAAGUAUGAAAUAACUAUAAUCAUUAAUAGCUUGGAACACGUAAAGAAGCUCCUUGCUGAGCUCUCUUAUUUUGGGCCAAUUCUUCCUCAGCUUUUAUUAGUAUAACAAAAAGAAGAAAGAUUUAACAUCAAACUCAAUCUAAUUUUUCAAGAAAACAUUAUAGGCAUUGGGUCGGGGAAAAUUGCACCAAAAGUCCUCAAAUUUAUGUACGGAAUGCAAUUGAAGUUAAGAAACUAAAAUUUUAACAUUUUAGGCAUUGGGUUGGGGAAAAUUGCACCAAAAGUCCUCAACUUUAUGUACGGAAUGCAGUUGAAGUUAAGAAACUAAAAAAUUUCAUAUUUCACACAUAUAUGAUCUUACUAUUUUAUCACAUCUUAGAUCUUCAUGGAUAUCUUGGUUUUCUGGCAUUAUAGAUUAAUCAAUUAAGUUAAUAUACCUUAACUUUAAUUGUUACAAAAAAUUGGUAUUAAAAGUGAAGAGUCAAUUUGUGCAAGAAACCUCGUCCUCUAAGCAAAACUUCUAGCUCCUCGUUGCGUCAAAUCCAACAGCAGCAAACCGAAUAAGUAUUCUUUAAAGGAACGAGAAAUCAAAAAUCUCUACAAAGAAAAUAAAGACAAUACAGAAGCAAAAAAUACCCGUGAUCUUUUAGAUUCCUUCCUCUAAUUCUGGCAACUUCUCUUAAAGCCUUCUUCCACUUCUUUGCUAAAUCCUUCCCAUAGUCGCUCUUGUGCUUUCGAAGGACUUUCCUAUAUAACUUAGUCUUAAGCUUGACAUCAUCCGCGUCGACGUCGUAAAAUAUAGGGAGGACCACUUUCUCAUUGUUAUCUCUUGAUAGCUCUACUAUGCGUGCCAGCUCACGGAGGCACCAUUUACUUGAAGCAAAGUUUUUGGAGAAAAUAGGGAUGUAAAUUCUGGAGUCAUUGAUCGCUUGCAAGAGGCCACCUUCGAUCUCUUCGCCAAAUCGGAGCUCUUCGUUGUCUUUGAAAGCACGGAUCCCAGCACGGAUCAGGUCAUUGUAGAGACAAUCAGCCAUGGUUAAACGGGUGUCGGGACCUCUAAAACUCAGGAACACCUCGUAACCACUCCCCGAUCCGUCAUCACGGCUCCUGCUUGUUGGAGCUGCCGUCUCCAUCUCCUUUUCCUCCCUCUUUCUCUUCAUUCUGGAAGAACGAUGCAGAGAUGGAUCACCGAAUUGGGUCUGUCCGAGGUGACAAGGGAAGUCCGAGUCUGAUCCUUGUAGCGACUCGAUAAAGCAACGGAGAGAGAUCUCUCACUUUCGCUGCGUUUGCCUAGAAGUUACCUGCGGCCUUCGUUCGUAAGUAAAAAAACCAUUCAGACUGACCAAAUAAUUGACGAAAGUCUGCGAAGAGGAAAACGCGAAGAGAGAGAGAGAGAGAGAGAGACCGCUCUGCAUCACUUUCAACCGCACGAUUUACUUCUACUUCAAGCAAUGAGUGGGGAGUGGGGGCAAUCGCUUCCUCUUAAAAAAUAUCUGAUUAGCCGAUAAUAAUAACCACUUCAUUUUAAUAUUGGGUUAAUUUACUUUUCAAAUAUCGGACGCUUUUUAAUAUUCCACUUAAAAAUAUCUGAUUUCACCGUAAGUAUGGACAGCACAAUUUUGUUAGUAUAUAGAAAGGUCGAGUUGUUCCUUCAAUUAAUCCACAUUUGCUUAGGGCUAUUAGUUUUUUUAUGCAUAUAUCAUGCUCAAAAGAUUCAAUAGUGGCAUAUGCAUGUCCCUAUCAAACAUGAUUCUGCAUUAUGGAAAGUGAGUUAAUUAGGGAUGCAAAUCAAGCGGCUAACUUGAGCUCGGCUCAAUCUUUACAGUUUCAAAUAGCUUGGGUAUCAAAACAAGGAGAUUUUGUUCUUCUCUUCUGAUUCAAAACGUACAUAGAUGCGAAAUUAUCAAACAUGAUUGAAUGCUUCCCGAGUACCUCAUUGAGUAAAUUUUAAAAGAUAUGGAUGUUAGAGAAAUCACUCUUCCGAAAAAUUUAAGUAGUUAGGAAUCAGAGCAAUAAUAGUUCACCUUACAUGAGGGGGUAUGUCGAUUUUUACAUGCAUGACACGUGAUGUGAAUAAAAACAUACGAAAUAGACAACUUACAAAAUUUCCACACUAAAAAAUUCAUCCGAGAAAUGUGGUGUCAAAAAGGCAUUGUUAGGUCAAUUGCUAACCCUACUGCAAGCAUAAUAAAAUCCCUAAACCUUAUAUUUUCGUUUCCGCAUUUUUUUCAAGACAGUUGUCCUUCUUAAAUUUUUAGUUGACCUCCCCUUUAGAAAAUUUUAAAAAGUGCAAAAAAUUACACUGUUUGUAUCCGUCAGAGCUAUGCCAAAAAGAAAAGGCUACUAAUUAAAGUUGCUGAGCGGUAUGCUUGGGAAAACAUAUUUUAAGGGACCAGCGAAUAUGUUUUGCCAUCUUAUAGUGUUACGAUUUGAAUAUAAAUCAUAAGAUCCCGACCACGGGUGGGUCCCGGUCCUCACUGCUACGGGCAAGGGGUGCCCUCGCCUAGAUCUAGUCACAUUGUAAUUUUAGUUGGCCGACAUACUUAGAAGUUCCCUCACUUUAAAUUGACUUAAUUAUUCAAAAAAUUAGAAGACAAUGGUUAAAGUUUUCUAUAUUCUUUAAUUUCAAGUACAUGUUGAUUUUAAUCUUUCACGCAAUUUAAGUUUUGCUUUACAAACUAGGUGUACAGUAUAGAUCACUUUCAUUGAGAAAAAGAGUCCUCACCGAACUUUAGUUGAUUCUUGAUGGAAAUUGCUAAGAUAAUGUGAUUCCUCCUUGACAAUGAUGCGGACAAAGUUGAGAUUUUUGAAACAUUUUAUUCUCGAAUGAAUGUUUUUAUGCUUUUUUUUUUCAUGAUAUCAAUCCAUGUUUCCCGGUAUUUUCCGUGAGCCAAACACGUCAUGCCAGUCUUGUGGGUGAGUCGCCAAGUCUGUUUGAUGUGCAAUUUGGCUGUGUGCAGACCAACGCAUGCUAAGCAAAUUGACUAGAUAAAUGUACUUUAGUGCUUUUUCUUUGCCUUCACAAGAGGAUCAAACAAACACUUGACGAUGGACCUGCGUAUGUUCUAAGCAAAGACAAAAGGCCACAGAUUUGUUUCCAAUUCGAAUUAUGCAAUUCAAUCUUGGCAUGAAUCACGGGAUGCCAAUUGAGAGACUCGCCAUUAAUGAACUUUCUAUUGUUUUAUUCAGUUAAAUAUUUGUUAGUUACAGAAAAUAAAGGGUGAGAUAUUUAAAAUUUGUGAUAUACAUAUGGAAUUACAUAAAUGCAAAGGAUAAAAUUUGAACAUAUUGAGCUCAAACUUGAACUCAUUUUAUAACAUGAUUGUAUCGAGUCUACAUGAGCUUGAUAUCUCGAUUUUUUCUAGUCAAGCUCAAGCUGGAAAUUGAAUACUCAUAAUCAGGCUUUCUUUUUAUGGAAGAAAAAUCUAACAAUGAAAAAAGAAAUGGUGUUUUUAAUAUAUUUGAAACUCCUACAAUAAAGAAAAACUAAAUAUGUGAAAUUGUUAAUUAUGAUAAUUGAACCAUACAUUGAAAUAGAAAAACUAAAAAGAAAGGAAAAUUAAUGAAUUUGGAGCCACCAAUAAAAUUGCAAUUGAUGAUUUGGAGCAAUUUUGUCUUUUUAGUGAAAAUUUGGUAAAUUUAAUUUAUAGGGAUGAAUUUCUCCAUCAAAUUUUUGGUGUGGAUCAAGUGAGGCUUGGUAAUCACUUAUCAAGAAAAUGUGUGUAACUCGAGAAAUAAAUGCAGGCUUUUAAGGUAAGAAUGCAUAAAUUGUGGGAGUGGGGAUAAACUUUGCUAUAUGUGCUCUUUGAAGAUACAAACUUCUGAAAAAUCAGUCGGGAAUUGGUUAAACGAUCGAAACACCCAAAUCACCAUAAGAUCACAAAUAACAUUAGUCGGAUCAUCAAAUGCAUCAAUCCGGCAACGGAAAUCUCUUACAGCAGCCCACCUUGCUGCUACACAAUCACCACAAGAAUUUGUUGCACUAAUGGAGAAAAUCAUUUCCGAAAUUAAGGAGUCCACCAACAGUGAAAAGCUCCUACCAAUCAUAUCGUAGUGGAGAUACGAAAGAAGAUGACUGGUAUGGGGUCGAACUACUAGAAGAAGAACAAAAUCACCAAGAGAAGAUAGCCACCAGAAACUAUAGCAACAUAUGCAUUAAUACUAUUCCCCACCAAACAUUGCAACAAAAUUAUUGCUUACUUUCACUAUGCUAGCAGACUCCGGUACUGACAAACAAGAUGCUGUUCACCUUCAGAUCAUUGCAACAAAAUUUUUGCUUACUUUCAUUGUACAAUCACGUGCAAUUGGUUUUGUUUUGCUCAUUAAAUUCAAAAGGAUUAGCUUUUGUCAGUUGGAGCGAGAAUUCUAUUAUGCUUUUGCUAAGCCCAACAAAGCAGAUCUCCUUAUAUUUAAUUGCAUGAUCAAUUGAUCCUCGAUCAACUAGGAGAGUAAUUAUAUUUGUAACAAGUAUCGUAUUGAAAUGAAAUGCACCGUUAAAAUCUUUGCUGGUCCUUAUUGAUUAAUAACAAAAAUCUAAAGACCCUUUAAUUCAAGAUUUUGAUCUAACAAUUUGAAUCUUUAUUUUGAAAUAUGUUUGAUUUUAAGAAGAAUAACGAUUGCGUAACGCGCCUAUCAUGUCCUAAACAUGUUAUUAUGUUGCGACCUUAUUUUUCGGGGUUUGGACCACCUAUGGUUUGGCUAAUGGAUUGUUAAGCCUAAACUUAACUCGGGCUCUCCCAAGCCCAUACCAAUUCACGACUUAGGUUUGAAUUGUUAACAUGCAAAUUUUUAAUUAGGAGUCGCCACUAAUCUAUUUUUUGAUGGGUCGAUUAGAAACCCAAGUAAAGUAACGGGAGAUUUUACUUUACUCCUACAAACCAGAGACUAUGGGUACGGGGACUUGAUUACGCUAGAAUUCUCUAACGCCCUUUUGGUACCUUUCUUUUUAUUUUGAAAAAAAUGUUUGGCAGGCAGCUUGAAUUGAUUUUAAACUAUCUCCCUAACAUGUGAGGUGUUCAUGCAGGUGUGCAAGCCACCAAUUUAACACCCAAGAAAGUAAUUAAAUAAUGCAUGACUUACCUCCAAAGCUACGAAAGCAUCUGCAAUGUUAAAUUAAAAUCCAUAUCAACAACCCUAGAUAUGAUUUCUAAUUAACAAGCAAUUACUCAAUUUUUGUUUUUCUCUUUUUCAAUGAAAAUAUAGUCCAUAUGCAAUGCAAUGCUUCUAAUCUAAUAUGAAAUGAUAUGGCAUGGCAAUAUGUCAUAAACUAUAUGAAUGAAUAAGAAUUUUUGUAAUUUCUUAAUGAACAUGCAAUAAUUAAAUAUGCAAUCUAAAUUAACCAAAAUGAUUUAAUUCUAAUGACGUGCAAUGCAAUGCAACGACGUACAAAAUUAUUUCAACUAAAAUGACAUGUAACAUGCAAUUUAAUACGUGAGGUAUAUGUCACACGACAUUUAUUGAAUGACCCAAUCUAAUGAACCUAACAAUAAUCACUAAAAUGACGUGCAUUUUAUGAAGCUAAUUCUAUAUGACAUGCAAAUGACAUUUUUUAUUUUAAAAAUGCAAUCUAUCCUAGAAAUUGCAACUAAUUUAUCCUAAGACAAAUUUUAUGAAAUUUGAAAUGAUCUAGCUAGAUUAAGAUUCUAUCUAAUUUAAACUAGGGAUUAAGUCAUAUUAAAUCCUAAUUUAAACUAAGACAUUAUCUAAAUCUAAAAAAGAUGAUCUAAAUUUAAAAUGAAACAUGCAAUUCUAAUCUAAUAUGCACAAUGAUUUUUUUUUGUGUUUGUUUUUUUUUUUUAAGAAAUUCAACAUUAAAACUAACACAUAAUUAAACAUGCAAUUCAAAUAAAAAAACUAACAACCUAAAUGAUUGCACUUUCUUUUUUGGGAAUUUUUUUUUUUAAAUUCAUAAUAAGAUUGCAAUCCUAAAUAUGCAAGAUAACAACAAACCUAAUCCUAAUAAAGAUUUUUUUGAUUUUUUAUUUUACGAAAAUAAGAUUUGACUCAACCAACUUGACGAUAGAAAAUCAAACAAAAGAUAAGAUUGAUAUCCAAAAAUUGACGAACCAUAUCUCACGCAUGAGAUCGGAUUGGCCAAUUUUAAAUUAAAUCGCGAAUCAAAUCUCGGGCUUGAGAUUGGAUUGUCAAUUUUUGUAAGGGAUUGCGAGUCGGAUUUCGGGCGCGAAAAUCGAACUGUCAAUCCCUAACUUGAGGAACUAUUUCAUAUUGGGAUUUCAAUCACAUAUUUAAAGGGAACAAUUUUACUAAAAGAAUAAAAUAAAAAGGAAAGAUAAAAAAACAGUAAGUAAAUAAAUAAAAACUACUGGCGGCGGGGUAGAGGUUCGGAGGUGGAGCGGCAAGGCGGCGGCGCUGGUGCAGUGAGAGGGACAACGGCUACUGGCAGAACGGCGGUGGCGACCAGCGCAAUUAGCAAGGCGAUCGGGCAGCAAAGGUCUCCGGCGAAGGAGUCCCACGAAGAAGAUGCAGCCCUUUUCUCUCCUUUUCUUCACGUCCUUUCGCGGGUCUUCUCUCUCAGGUCUCUCUGUACUCUCUCUCCAGAAGCAAAAGCUUAUGUUGACUUUUCCCUUCUUUUUUUCACCGGUUUCUCUCUCUCACUUUUUCAACUUUUUCUCCUUUCUCGAUCAAAAGAAAAACCCAGCCAAAGCCCCCUUCGUACCUUGUUGCUUUUAUAGGGGGUAGGAGAUAAGUUUUCGAUUUCCCAUUCAAAUCUACAUCCGCGAUACCUUUUCACCAACUAAUCACUAUUGAUAAAAAUUCGAGAUUACGAUAAAUAUUUUCUCGAAAUCCAAAUCUCGCAAAGAUAAAUCACAAUAUUUUUUCACACGUGUGCUCUAUCAAAAAUAUUUAUAUCCCGGAAAAAUUUCAAAAUUUUUAUUUUUCACGAGAUAAUUAGAAAACAUGGGCUUGGGCCAACCAGCUCGCUUCGUGGGCUUAGUCCAACUAAUUUGAACCCAUUCGCACUGGUCCAAUAAAUAAAAUGCCAAUAACAAAAUAAAUGCAAAUAUAAAUCUAUAUGCUAUAAAAUUAACCCCUAAUUUCCUAUGCAAUAAAUAAAUAAACUAAAUCGUCAAAAUUUAGGUGUCAAGAGCUGCCCCUCUUUGAAGGUGAGCUCGAAGAGGUUGCCUUCAAAGACAAAUUGAGACCUAAAUUUUGACUAUGCACACGCAUUGAAUGAUUUUUUGUCGGGAAAUGUAUCCCAUUUUUUAAAAUGCAACUCAUAUGAUGCAUAUAAAUGCUACUGCAAAUGCAUGAUGUGAAAGGAAAGAGCGUACCUACAAUUACUUACCAGUCAGUGUGGUAGAGCAUCUUGAGGUACAUGAUAAAUCCCUAUUUACUCCACAAGUACCCAACUCUCACUCAGGUUCCUUGAAAAGCGUAACAGGUAAGAACAUUCACAUCCAAAGUGAAAUGUUCAACGGAAAAAAUUGAGACAUCCAGAUCAAAACUGAGAUGUCAAGAUUUUUGAAAAACUCAAAAUACCUAGAUCUAGACUAAGGUAUAAUGAGAAGGAUCGAAAAACAUUCACGUCCAAAGUGAAAUGUUUAGACGAAAAUAAUUAGGAAAUCCAGAUCCAGACUGAGAUGUCGAAAUUUUGGAAAUUGAAAUACCUAGAUCUAGACUAGGUAUACGAGAAUAAUUGAAAAAACAUUCAUAUCCAGAGUGAAAUGUUUGAAUGAAAAUAAUCAAGACAUCCGAGCCCAGACUGAGAUGUCAAGAGUUUGGGACUCGAAAUACCUAGAUCCAGACUAAGGUAUAACGAGGAAGAUCGAAGAACAUUCACAUCCAGAGUGAAAUGCUCUAACGAAAAUAAUCAAGACAUCCGGGUCCAGACAGAGAUGUCAAGAUUUUGAACUCGAAAUACCUAGAUCCAAACUAAGGUAACGAGGAAGAUCGAAGAACAUUCACAUCCAAAGUGAAACAUUCAACAAAUAGAAUUGAGACAUCCAGAUCCAGACUGAGAUGUCAAAAUUUUGGAAUGCAAUUUGUUUGCAAAUGGUAAAGGAACUUACCUGGAAUAUCUUACCUUCAAGGAGGGUAGAGUGAUUCAAGAUAGUUGGUGUUACAUGUUCAGGACCCGUACCUUUCUACGGUCGCCUAAAAUAGUAACGAAGAGACUACUUUCCUAGGACCCGUACCUUUCUACAGUCGCCUAGUAGGGCAGCAAGGUUUUGUAAGGAAACUAUUUUCCUAGGACCUGUACCUUUCUAUGGUCGCCUAGUAGGGCAGUGUUUGGUUGUGUCUAGGACCCGUACCUUUAUACGGUCGCCUUGACAAAAAAUCAAUUUUCCAGGAUCCGAACCUUUCUACGGUCGCCUGAAUGGGAAAAUUGUUUUUCCAGGACCCGUACCUUUCUACGAUCGCCUGUUAGAGCAAUAAAUGUUGUCUAGGACCCGUACCUUUCUACAGUCGCCUAAACGGGGAUUCACUUUCCAAGACCCGUACCUAUCUACGAUCGCCUGGAUAAGGAAUCAUUUUCCAGGACCCGUAACUUUCUACGGUCGCCUGAAUUGAGGUAAUUGCUUUUCCAUGACCCAUACCUUUCUAUGGUCGCCUGUUAGAGCAACAAGGUUGUCUAGGACCCGUACCUUUCUACAGUCGCCUAAACUGAGGUUUUGCUUGGCUAGGACCCGAACCUUUCUUCGGUCGCCCAACAUUACAGUAUAGAUUAUCUGACCAAGACCCAAACCUUUCUUUGGUCGCCUUAAUUUGAUUGAAUCUAGAGAAAAAUCUUUGGGGGACAACUCCAUCGAGUGUCGAUUAAAAUGGACUCUAGGCUACGAAAGCACACCAGGUCGAUAUAACUAGACAGCUUGACCAAGUCAAGUGUCGAUACACUUGAGAGAGAAUGCCUGCACAAUGACAAGUAUUUAAGGUAUGGAUAGAGAUAUACUUACCUGGUAUCAUCUCUAUUCCUGAGGGAAAUGUCUUCUGCAAAACAUGGUCAUAGGAGAAGCGAUAUGCAUUUAUGAUCACAAACAUGCAUUGAUUUAAGGGCGGUUCAUGCGUUGUGAUUUAUAUAAAGCCUGCAUCACCUAACUUCCAUUAGGAAGGAUUUCACAAAGAAUGUUCCAAUCUGAACACAUGAGUGUCAUGGAUGUGCCAAAUGGGGGACCUCUUGGUCUGAAAUGAUUUUUCACUCAUCCUCAUUAAAAUGGACUGUUUCAUCCUUACCUUUGAUGUAGGAUUUUUUACAAUCACUCUAUCUUUCAUCAUCAUGCCAAACAAGAAUUCAAGCAAUCUCGCAAGUGGUACGAACUUACCAAUCUGAGAGGUCUUUAACAGGGACCGUAACGCUGGCUUGGUCAACGGCUUAGUAAAGGAGACUCUUUGAGUCAAGGUUAUUAAAAAAUGAAUGAUAUUUCACCAUCAUCGUGGAGUUUACAAGCCACGAAACAUGAGAAAUGAGGCAGAAAUUAUCUUACUCGCACUUCUUCAAGCGAUGCUUCCAAACAUAUGAACUUUUAUGUUAAUUCAAGUGCCCUAAUUUGAAGAGACUUUGUAAGGGACGUAACGUAGGUUGGGUUCAUAGGUUGAGAAAUGAAAGGAUCAUUUGGCUCAAAAAGUGUUUAUGGGGUCGAAGUUAUUGAUCAUCUUGACAUUUCCAACAAUUUUCCUCUCCAUUGUCGAAGAUUUUCUUCACAUCACAACUCCACUGAUUGCAACAUCUCAACAUUUGAGUUUUUUUUUUUCUUUUUUGGGUACCACCUUGUUGGGGAUACGACUCACUUCAUCAAGUGUUUGAUUUUUUCUUUGGGCAUUGGCCUUGCUUUUACCAGGCACACUGCUUUUUCAUGCUCCAUUUUUUUGCACUUUUUUUUUACUUGCACAGCCUUCAUCUUUUAUCAGCAUUGUAAACCAUGCUACUUGAGUGGUUUGAUUUUUCUUUUCUUGCCCCAGUGUGGGGGAUGAUCACCAACUGGGUUUAACAUAAAAUGAAUUCAUAGUCUUAAGGGGCUAUGCAAUGAAUAAAGUGUAUAGGAUAGAGAAAGAACCACUCUUCGUCGUCCUAAGGCACUUUAAAUUAUCGUACAAGUCACACUGUAAAAGCAAUACUUGAAGAUUGAUGCAAGUGUGAGAAAGAAAAUUCCUAUCAUUCAUUUCAAAUCUUGUCCCAAUAUGGGACGACUCUUGACAGGGAUAAUUUAAAAGCUCUUUAUGUGUGUGGGCUCAAAGGGCUAAACAAUGGAUAUACCUUGAGUGUUUCGGGUAGUAGAAGAAACUACCUCUCAUCACCUUAGUUGACGUACCCUUGGCGAGAUCACCCUUUUCCUCGUGGGCAUGGAAUUUUUCACACAACUCGUUGGGGGUCAGUGUAUGAAACAAUGUAUGGAAUAUGGUUUGCCUUUCAUCAUUCCAAAGUAUCCCAUUUGACACAUUCAAUUUAUCUCACAUAAUUCAUCAAGGAAAACAUGCAAUAUUUGCAACAAGUUUAGACAAUUGAAUUUGCAACUCAAUGAGGCAAUUUAUUCAUCAUAAAAUGUUUGCAAUUCAAAACAUGACAUGGCAAAUUCUAUCAUGGGUAAUACUUCUUGACAGCGUCUGAAUUAAUUGGAGUAGAAAACUCAUGACUACCCAUUUAUGCUAGGACGACACCUCCUGAAAGUACCUUCUUUACCACAUAUAAGCUAUAAUUUGGAGCAAACUUGCCCCCAGGAUCUUCCACUGAAGAAUGAUGGUUCUCUUUUACUUGCCCCAAAUCUUUUUUCAUUGCAAGUGCGCUCUAAACCUGUUGAUCACAAGUUAAGUAUAUGAUCAUUGAAACUUGAUACACUAUUCUCAGAUGUCCCUUGUCAUAACAAGUUAUAUAAUUAUGCUCUAAGACAAGAAGCAAAUGAGUUAGAAAAACAAACAGGUUUAAUCUGCUACAAGCUUUGGGAAAAUGUUUAUCUUUUCUUUCUUUUUAACAAUGAAAUGCUUUUGCUUUCGAAAUUUUUUUUGAGAUGAAGCAUGAAAAAGUCCAGCCCUCAGGAUUCCUCCGUGGAUGAUAGUUUUCUUUUUCAUGGUUGGAUAUCGUCAUUGGACUGGUUUGGAGUACCCCGUCAUGCCCUCAAAAUAAAACUUGUAAUUUCAUUGAUAUUCAUCAAUCAAUUACAUUUAUUGAAUGGAAAAUGCGAAUUCAAGUCCUAAAAAGAAAGUGAAAAAGAAGAAAUUGAAAACAAUCGCUAAAUAGAGAUAAUAACUCCUAAAAAGCGAUAAAAUUCCUAGAAAGCGAUAAAAAUUCCCGCGCAGGGGAAUGAGCAAAAGUAAUAAGUUACUCUUGUGGGCCAGGGCCCAUUUCUUCCAAAGUUCCUUCAUCAAUGGCAUUCACCCUAUCCUCAUGCUCAGGUAGAGGAUUCUCUUUGACAUUCGGUUGAGCGGUACUAAAGGCAAAUGCCUUGGUGUCUAGUAAGUUUUGGACCUUAUGUUUCAAAGUCAAGCAUUCAUCAGUCGAAUGUCCUACUUCCCCCAUAUGAUACUCGCAUUUCUUGGAGGGAUCAUAGUUGGAAAGUUUUUCAGCAUUGGGUCACUUCGGCUCAUAAGACAGCAACCCCUUCUUUUGAAGAACCUUUAAGACUUGGGACAGAGGGCCAGGAAGAGGAGUGAAUUGCCUCUUAACAAAUUGCCGAGGGGCAGACGAUCGGCCUUCCCUUUGUUGAUUCUUAGGGACAUGAACAACUGGAGACUUGCUAGAUUGUGCAUAUGUGACAUUGACUUCCGUGCUUGGUUCUUUGUCUUUCUUCAUGGUGAACCUUUUGCCUUGAUUGGUUGGUUCAUUGCACCAUCCAUCUCUUAGCCCAACUUCAAUCUAUUCACCCACCGGGAUAAGUUGGUUGAAGUUCUCAACGUACGUGCUAGCCAUUCGGUUGCGAAACUCAAACGGGAGGGUCUUGACGAACAACUUCAUUAGCUCCUUGUCAGCAGGCUCCGGAGUGACUUGAGCGGCCAAAUUUCUCCACCUCACAGCAUACUCCUUGAACGACUCGCUUUUCUUCUUCUCCAUCCGUUCAAGAUCCUCUCGGGAAGGUGCAAUAUCCAUGUUGAACUUAUAUUGCUUUAGGAACGCAUCAGUCACUUCAAUCCAGGUGUCGAGAAGGUUUAUGUUCUUCAUUAUGUACCAAUUCAGUGCAGGCCCAAUCAAACUAGCAUGGAACGAUUGAAUCAUGAGAGGCUCAUUCUUGAUAUAUUGGGCCAUGCGUACGUGGUACAUCUGCAAAUGAGCUUUCGGGUAGGAAGUACCAUCGUACUUCUCGAACUCUGGCAUUUUAAAUUUCUUUGGCAUCUUGACUUUCUCAUACACUAACAAGUCGAAUGGAAGUGAGCUCCGUGAUCCUUGCAAUUGCUUCACCUUCUCUUCCAGCUUUGUGAAGCGUUCAUCUUGCUUCGUCUUAGGAACGUUAUCAAGCUUAGCCUUUUCAGUGGUGAUUAACGGUGGGUCAUCUUCCAACCCAGGCAUGUCGUCGUUAAUCGUUUGAACCUUGUUUGCUUACUUCGGGAUAACUACUUCAGGAAGAGCGGGUGCAGCCGUUGGAUUUGCUUGGAGGAAUUGGAGUUGAUCCGUCACAAGCUGUAUAGAGGCGAGUACUUGUUGGAGUUGAGUCUCCACAGCGGACAUACGAUCACACAUUUCAGCUUGAUCAGCCAUUCUAGCUCUUAAUCGAGUGAUGAUGGGAGAGCGUGAAGGAUCCGUUAUCACCUAAUUUGAAAUAAAUGAAAAUAUGUAAGCACGAUGUGUAAAUAGAGAACCAAUCCAUGACAAUAAUCUAAUCAAUUCUUCAUUUUUUUUUCAUGAAAAGUUCGUACAAGAAGGGAAUUUGACACCCUAACAAAAUCGAAUUUCAUAGUCAUGAAUCGAAGACAAAUUCUCCAAUUUUUUUAUUUUCCAAAUGAUUCAUUGCAUGGCAAUUUCCUCAUUUCAUUCAUAAUUGACAAAUGAAUUAAAUCAAUGAUUGACCUAAAUCGUCAUGGACCGACUAAAAAUAUGACAAAAUAAGUAAAUUGCAUAGUAUAGGGAUAAAAGACUUACUUCACCAAAGAAACGGCAAUCAAAUAGACAUGCACAUGAGAUGUGGGCUCGAUUUCUACUCUAGACAGGCUUAACAAAGUGAAACCAUAAGAAUGAUCGGACUAGCCGCGGGCAUGCGGAUUAAGUCGGGUCCUCAUGACUUCGGCUUGGUCAAAAAGCCGACCUGGGUCACGGGCAUGCGGACCGAGGUGGGUACUCUUGACACCAUGAAAGAAACUUCGAGAUUGAGAUAGGCAACUCAUACCGCGAGCAUGCGGUCGGAGUGGUAUCCAUCUCAAUACCAUCCUAAAUGAUCCUAUGCGGCCCAGGUCCGGCGGCAGGUCGUGUGUGCAAAGUGUAGUGAUAAAUGCAAAGCAUGCACAGCAGUUUAAAUCAAACAACACUUCGUUCAUGAAAAUAAACCAUACAUUCCUACAUCUCUCUGCAAAAUAAAGGUUAGCAAACACUUCCCCUUAUACCUCCCAUCUUGCAAAAACAUUUAACACCUUAAAUGUUAGGGACGUACCUGGAAUCCUCACUGCCAAACAAAAACUUUUUUCAAAAGAAAAGGAAAAUUGGCCUAAGUCCACUAAGAGUUUUAACUCAAGAUCCCUAGUGGAGUCGCCAAGCUGUCGUGACCUUAUUUUUUCGGGGUUUGGACCACCUAUGGUUUGGAUAAUGGAUUGUUAGGCCUAGACUUAACUCGAGCUCUCCCAAGCCCAUACCAAUUCGCAACUUAGGUUUGAAUUGUUAACAUGUAAAUUUUUAAUUAGAAGUCGCCACUAAUCUAUUUUUGAUGGGUCGAUUAGAAACCCAAGUAAAGUAACGGGAGAUUUUACUUUACUCCUAUGAACCAGAGAAUAUGGGUACCGGGACUUGAUUACGCUAGAAUUCUCUAACGCCCUUUCGGUACCUUUCUUUUUAUUUUGAGAAAAAUGUUUGGCAGGCAGCUUGAAUUGAUUGUAAACUAUCUCCCUAACAUGUGAAGUGUUCAUGCAAGUGCGCAAGCCACCAAUUUAACACCCAAGAAAGUAAUUAAAUAAUGCAGGACUUACCUCCAAAGCUACGAAAGCAUCUGCAAUGUUAAAUUAAAAUCCAUAUCAACAACCCUAGAUAUGGUUUCUAAUUAACAAGCAAUUACUCAAUUUUUGUUUUUCUCUUUUUCAAUGAAAAUAUAGUCGAUUUUUGUAAGGGAUUGCGAGUCGGAUUUUGGGCGCGAAAAUCGAACUGUCAAUCCCUAACUUGAGGAACUAUUUCAUAUUGGGAUUUCAAUCACAUAUUUAAAGGGAACAAUUUCACUAAAAGAAUAAAAUAAAAAGGAAAGAAAAAAAACAGUAAGUAAAUAAAUAAAAACUACCUAAUUUUCCCUUUUCCUUUUUUUUGUUUUUUGUUUUUNNNNNNNNNNNNNNNNNNNNNNNNNNNNNNNNNNNNNNNNNNNNNNNNNNNNNNNNNNNNNNNNNNNNNNNNNNNNNNNNNNNNNNNNNNNNNNNNNNNNNNNNNNNNNNNNNNNNNNNNNNNNNNNNNNNNNNNNNNNNNNNNNNNNNNNNNNNNNNNNNNNNNNNNNNNNNNNNNNNNNNNNNNNNNNNNNNNNNNNNNNNNNNNNNNNNNNNNNNNNNNNNNNNNNNNNNNNNNNNNNNNNNNNNNNNNNNNNNNNNNNNNNNNNNNNNNNNNNNNNNNNNNNNNNNNNNNNNNNNNNNNNNNNNNNNNNNNNNNNNNNNNNNNNNNNNNNNNNNNNNNNNNNNNNNNNNNNNNNNNNNNNNNNNNNNNNNNNNNNNNNNNNNNNNNNNNNNNNNNNNNNNNNNNNNNNNNNNNNNNNNNNNNNNNNNNNNNNNNNNNNNNNNAGCGGCUGAGCAUCAGGGAGAGCUGAGCGGUCGUCGGGUGUAGUGGCUUCGUCGGAUUGGUGGAGCUUCAGCGUCAGCGGGGCAGAGGUUCGGAGGUGGAGCGGCGAGGCGGCGACGCUGGUGCAGUGAGAGGGACAACGGCUACUGGCGGAACGGCGGUGGUGACUGGCGCAAUUAGCAAGGCGAUCAGGCAGCAAAGGUCUCCGAUGAAGGAGUCCCACGAAGAAGACGAUGCAGCCCUUUUCUCUCCUUUUCUUCACAUCCUUUCGUGGGUCUUCUCUCUCACGUCUCUCUAUGCUCUCUCUCUAGAAGCAAAAGCUUCUGUUGACUUUUCCCUUUUUUUUUCACCGGUUUCUCUCUCUCACUUUUUCAACUUUUUCUCCUUUCUCGAUCAAAAGAAAAACCCAGCCAAAGCCCCCUUUGUACCCUAUUGCUUUUAUAGGGGUAGGAGAUAAGUUUUCAAUUUCCCCUUCAAAUCUACAUCCGCGAUACCUUUUCACCAACUGAUCACUAUUAAUAAAAAUUCGAGAUUACGAUAAAUAUUUUCUCGAAAUCCAAAUCUCGCAAAGAUAAAUCGCAAUAUUUUUUUCACACGUGUGCUCUAUCAAAAAGAUUCAUAUCCCGGAAAAAUUUCAAAAUUUUUAUUUUUCACGAGAUAAUUAGAAAACAUGGGCUUGGGCCAACCAGCUCACUUCGUGGGCUUAGUCCAACUAAUUUGAACCCAUUCGCACUGGUCCAAUAAAUAAAAUGCCAAUAACAAAAUUAAUGCAAAUAUAAAUCUAUAUGCUAUAAAAUUAACCCCUAAUUUCCUAUGCAAUAAAUAAAUAAACUAAAUCGUCAAAAUUUAGGUGUCAACAAUAUAUAUAUGAUUUUAUGAGAUUACUACCAACUAUUCUAUUCUGAAAGUAUAAGCUAUUAGAUAAAAGCUUAUUUAAUAUUUGAAUAUUCUAACAAUAAAGUAAUUGUAUAUGUUAAAUAUUUUAUCGAUAUCAGUGAUUAACUUCACAAAAAAAAUUAGGCUUCUCAUACUCGUGCUUCAAUUUUGGAAACAAGAAGUGAGACAGAUGAGACUCACAACUCAAAUGAAAUCAUAUAUAACUUUUUUGGCAUGAAUCAAGGGAUCCUAAUUGAGAUGCUUUUUCUAGUGCUUUUGCUUUUAGACAAAAUUGAAUUAUGAUCAUUAUAAAAAAGAUGAUUUGAAUUGGUCACUUAGCUCCACUCAAGUCUGGCGUGACCACAAAGGAAGCAUAAUGGAUCCCCUUUAAUCUCUUUCUUUUUUUCGUUUUUAGGGAGGAAUCUCUUCCUUCAUUUCUAGGCUAGAAAAACAUAUUUUGAUUGCUUUUGUUUUCCUCAUUAAAUUAAGAAGGAUUAGCUUUUCUUAGCUAGAGCCAGAAUUCCAUUCUGCUUUUGCUAAGCCAAAGAAAGCAAAUCUUCUAAUAUUUAAUCCCAAUUUGCACUAAUUGGCAUGAUCAAUUGAUACUUGCCUUUUUUCCACUCGCUAAUCUUUUUCUUUUGCCAUGUAAAAGUUGUGAAAUGUGAAUUCGGCUCUAGGUUGCCUUCUGCUUUCAAGAGUCGUAGAACGAUUGAAAUGCAUGAAGCACCAUUAAUAGAUUAUUUGAGAAAACACACAAAUUUUCCCAAAUUUACUAAUGGCCUUCUACAUUCGAUCAUCUUGGUAUAUUCAUGAUCAUAGGAAUAAUUAGCAUGCAUAAUAAAUAUACAUUCCUUCUACAUAGAAACAAAAAUAUUAUCCCAUUGUGACUUUUAAUUGUCCCAUUGAAUUUUGAUAAUAUACUUUUUUCCAUCAAUUUCCCUAGAUAGUCGCGUUUAUUUGGAAGUCAUAAUUCCCCGAGAAGAUGUGCGUGACCCUCCUAUCAAGGAAGAGUUUACAUCACAUAACAUGGAGUUCAAUGUCGGAAAUACUAUUUGGCCCAUAAAAGUCCUCAUACAUAUAUCGGACUUUGCACGCCUAGUACUAGGGGUGAAGUUGAGUCCAACUUACGUCUAAUUCAAGCUUGACUUAAUUAUUAGUUGAUAUCAAUUGGUCUAGUUUCGAGUCAAGCUUACAUUUGGAGCUACGCCAAGUAUUUCAUCGAGUCAAGGUCAAGCUUACUAAGACUUUGCCUGAGAGACUCGCAAUUCUAAUCCAAUUUCUAUUAUUUUGUUCAAAAAAUAAUCGAUAGUUACGAAAAUAGAGGGUAAGAUUCUGAAAAUUGUGGUAUACCUCAAGCACAUAUAUGUAGAGGAUAAUAUUUGAAGUUAUUGAGCUUGAGGUCAAGCCCAUCCUUUAAUUUGAAGCUCGAGCCGAAAAUUUAAUACUCCAUGAGCAUCGAAUAUCUAAUAGGAGUUGAACUCGAGCUUGGGCACUACUAUAUUGGCUCGAAUCGAAAAUCUGACUUAGUAAUGUACCUAAAUACUUAAAAGUUGCAAAAAGUUUAUUUUAAUGAUAUAUAUACAUAUUGUCAUGGCACGGACUUUGUAACCAGACUAUACCUGCAUUGCUCUAAUAUAAUAGAAAUCUCCAAGAUCUGGCAACAAGAGACCCAUUAAAUUACAGCACCAACUAACUUGAUCCGAAAACACUCUGCCUGAUAUGUAUUCCACAGCGGACCUCAGGCAGGCCCAUGUUUUUCCCCCGAAUUCAAACUUAAAUUGGCUCUUACUAAACAUAAAUAGUCAAAGGUGAAACGACACAAAAUAGCUGGACCCCACAUUAACUCAAAACUGGUGCACCGCACACAGAAAGUGAAAACUCAAGCCCAAGAGGUUCUCAAUCAAAAUCGUUUACAUGACAGGCUUUGUGUGAUGCUGUUAAUCUAACUAAACCUAAGUAAAAUACUCAUAGUCAGGGUCUCAACCAUUGCGAUCACAAAGCGAUACAUAAUUCAUUCACCUAAUCGAAAAUAGUGAGAUCAAAGUCAUACUCUCAUCUCAGCCGGGAGCACACAUUCUGCUACCUUGAUCCGAGCUGAAAAGAUUCCUCUAAGAGGUCUUUGGCAGGAGCACCACCUCGACGGAUUCUUUUUUGGUGAACAUCCCAAUUAUACACAUGAGCAAUCGUAACCUGCCAAAUAAAAAUUCACCUCUCAAGGGCUGUUUCAAACACCCCCCCCCCCCCCUCCCACAACAACAAAAAAAAAAAAAAAAAGAGAAAGAAAGAAAAUUUCCCAGGGCCACCAACUUAAUUACCAUGAUAAACUAAAGGAUAUGGUCCUACAACAAGCUUUGAAUUUUUUCAAGUUCACAUACGUUUGAUAUCACCGCCACAAAUCAGCAUGUCUUCCCAAUUUAUAGCUUCACGCCAGUUACAAAAUUCAGAGCAACAGUAGUUCCACCCUAAUAGACCUACCCAAUUCUGACAUGGUAAACAGGUUGAAACAAACAUGGACCUCCAAGUUCCAAAUAAGUCUGACUUACCUGCGUGAUUGUUACUUGGUCCCUUAAGAAUUGUAUAUGAGCAACAAGAACUUCUAAACUUGCUUUAGUAUUUUCUAAGUUCUUUUGUAGAAGGGCUGUGGCCUGCAACAUAAAUUUAUGCAAUAAAUAAUAUACUUGACAUCAUUAUUGAAGAGAAAGGGACAUUGCUUAAACUCGAAUACAACCUCUUCACAAGAAUACUCCAACAUAACAUUUUCUCCCAGCCAUAAACAUACUGACUCAGCAUUUUCAAUUUGAGCUCGUGAAUGCCUUCAGAGACUUCAAAAUCAGCAAGGAGUGCCUGCAGACAAAAUAAAGAGCCAUAAACACCCGUCAGCUUGGUGCCUAAUUUGUUUUGCGCCGUAGAAGUUUGGAUAGUCUUAGGUCCUAAAGCCCAAUACAGUAAUCCUACCCCAUGUCGGUUUCUAAUUGGACCUUCAGACAUCGAAGCAACUAGCUAAAUAUUACUGGUGAUAUUCAGGUGUUCAAAUCUAAAACCACCUCAUUAUUGAGAUCAGCAUGGGCUCUUCAAAGGACUAACCUAGAUUAUUAGGAAUAUUGCUUCCAGAAGUGCAUUUGCAAAGGAGAAAAGACAAUCGGAUAUUUCAUAUCAUGUCAACCGCACCAAAAGUAGUUCCUAGUAUGGCAAGAAUUAAACUAGCUUAUCCUCCAUUUUGCUUUGUAAAGAAAGAAAAGGGGUGAUAUGAUCAGUUAAGAGAACAUCGAGGAGCAAGAAGAUUUUUUUAAGAUAAUAUUUUCUAGCAUAACACGAUCAUGAGGAAAAUUUAGUUGACAUUAUACAUAAAAGAUGACUGAUAGACUGUCGCGGAUUCCAGAUGAAAAACAGAAAAUGCAAAGUAAAACAUUGGUGGAUUCUAAGACAAUACAAAGAACCCCAGGGGAUAUGAUAAGCAAGAACUCCAGAUUGAAAAAAAAUAUGAUCUGGUCACGUGAUAACAAGUUUACUUUGUAAAAAGUCUCAAUAGUCAACAGCAUGAGCCUGACAGAUACCCAUUAAGUAUCCUCAGUAAAAAUACACGCGCCGAAAAGCGUUCAGCUUGAAUUUCCAAAUUAAAUUCCAGUUCUGAAGCCAUGAUUCAAUCUUACUGUAAUAGAAACACAUGCUUAUUGUGCACGCAUACAAUGGCAUCCUCAAUCACAGGUCACUGUGCUAUAACAACUAAGCCAGUUUGCUUCAGUCGUUAUGCAGCUUUACAUAUCAAAUAAACAAAAGAGGAAAUUGUUGAGGUGGAAUGGAGUGGUGAAGUAAUUGUUGCAACAAGGUGCCCCAAUUUGAAAUGAUUGAUAAAUUCAAAUCCUGGAUUUUUGUAUGGAGAGAUAUAUCAGAAAUGGUCAUAGCCUAUUUGAUGGACUACAAAGAAAGAUGGAGGCAGCACAUAAUAGUACUUGUGUUUGUGUGUGUUUGCGUGCGUUUGCAUGUGUCUGUUGAGAGAAAGAGAGAGAGAUGGAGGCAGCACAUAAUAGUACUUGUGUUUGUGUGUGUUUGCGUCCGUUUGCAUGUGUCUGUUGAGAGAAAGAGAGAGAGAGAGAGGGAGGGAUCUUGGUGGAGGGGUUGAGAAGUCUAGCAACCUCAUAGUUGAUGUUUUGGAAGGACUAAUUGUGCGGGAUAAAUCUCACAGAUUCUUGUCCACUGCAGAGAUAUGGAUUUACAGCACAUGAGCAGGAAACUUUGUUGAUGGCAGAAGGUAUUGUUAGGAUUCACCAUUUAUGCAGAGAGUGGUAACCAGAAGAGAAUGAGAUGGCCAAAUUUUUAGUUCUCUUACAAAAGAUAGCUGGUAGUAAAGAAACAAGGAAGGACUCUGUCCAAAGAAAGCAAGGGGAUAUUAGCUGCUUAGAUGAAAACAAUAUGGAACUAUUCGGCAUCACAGGUUUUCCACAUGUGUGAUUGCCUGGGGAGUGUUUGCAAAUAGCCAACAUACAAAAAGAAACCAAAAGCAAGAAGAAGAAGGGUGCAUACAAACAGAAACUAGCUAUCGCAAGGUCAAUGAGAAUCCUCAGAUCACCCACUGAUAUGUUGCCCUUGGACUAAAUCUCCUUGGGACGUAAAUAUGCAGGAAAAGAUGCAGAUAAGAUAUGGUGACCAUGGAAUUGAAUCAUACCAAAUCCAAAUCUCGACCUUUUCGUUAGUCUAGAGAUAGAAAUAAGAGAGCCUUUAAAUGUUGCAUCAAGGAAAAGGAUGGCUUUAGACUUCACAUAUGGUUAACAAUUUCUAAGACUAACUUCUUAUGCCAAGUGUGUUAGAUUCACUCUGAUGUAAAUAAGUCUGUUAAAAGGUUUGCUUGAUAAAGCUAUUGCUUUCUGAAGAAUAUUCAAUCAGCAAGAAAGCAUUCUCCUAUUUAAAUGAAGGGAUGCAUGAAACAAAUGAAUUGUUUAUUUCAUUCUAUACACAAGAUACUGAUACCAGCUCUGACCUCCCUCAAGGGUUCAGCGAAAAAAAGAAUAACAACCAAUGAGAAACAGUUUAAAAAGAACAAAAAAGAAAAACGAAAAAAACUCCUGAAUUAGAUAUAUCUCCGCCUUUCUUUUUCAGAUUUUUGCAAUACCAUUAACCAGGCUCUAAACAGAAUAACAAGCAACACAAUAUCUCUUCCUAUACUCUUGCACUUUCUCGAAGGAUGAGAAAUAUCCGCCAAAGUGAUUUCCUUUUCUGAAAAGAACCUAAAUGCAGGUAAUUCCUACUCAUUUUAAGAUAAGCGAUUGAAAGCCUCUAAUGCACGAUCACCAAAUAUGGAAGAUAAUACCAACGUUUCUCAAUGACAAAACCAUUUGAUGUGAUAAAGUAAAAGGAAGAUUUAUAAGAUAUAACAAGCAAGAUGCAACACCUAAUCAGCAUGUUCCCCGUACCUUUAAAUGAGAAAAAUUCCUAACGUGGAGAGCAUAAACAAGGCUUACUAUUUACUGAUGUGCACCGACAUUUCAUUUCCAUAAAUAAGCCAAGCAAGCAUUUUAGAAGUAUAGUCUCUUUCUCAUUCUAAUUACCUGUGAACAUCUUGACCUAAUUUACUCAGAGGUAAGUAACCGCAAUCAUCUCAAGAUUUAAAACCUCACAAUUUCAACACAAGGUCGUCAAUCAAUUGGACAACCAUCAACUAAAUUACCAAAAUCCACAGCUUGUUGUUAAAAAGCAAAUAACCACCACUUCCCUAUCAACUUGUGGAAAUAAAUGGAAAUUCUCCCAAAAUCUUGUUCACGUAGUCAGUAGUAUGAGUCGCGUGAGACAACAGACCUCACCAGAACCCUUCUUGGCCUGUAGAGCGGCGACUAUGUUUAAACACUUCUCAAUAUCAUGAAUUUUUUGCCUGGCAUUUAAUAUAGACAUUGAAUUAACAACCCAGUAAAAAGAAAAUGAACAAGUAUCAUGCUGACAGAGUAACAACAGGAUACUAACAAAGUGAUCAAGCUCUGUGGGAACAAAGAACCACAUGCACUCGGUUCUAUCAGGUCAAUGUAAAGAGAAAUUCAUUGUGAGACAUCAAGAGGUGCUGACCAUCUGGAUUUGUUUUAACUUUUUAUUCUAGAUUAGAUCACAAUAACUGCAACAGUAAGCCAAUUUCUCAUCCUUUUUUAGGGGAGAAGUAAAACUCCCUCGAAUUGAGACGAGGUUUAAUUUGAACUAGAAAAACAGAAACUAGAUGAAAGAAAUAAGGAGAAAGAAAUCUGCAAGAGAGUGUAGCAACCUUCAUAAUUGAGGACAUGCCCAUUCCACUAAUGAAAACUGCAAGAUACUUAAUAAACAAUGCACUACGAAAGACAGAACUCAGGGCGGACAAGCCUCUUGUUGUGUUGCUUGUUUGUCUCAACCCAGUAUAUUUCUUUUUCCUGAAACUAUAUAUUUAUCGUGAUUAAGCCUUUGGUAUCAAUAUCUCUAAUCAUGUCUUUAUACUAGGGGUGAGCAUGGUCCGGGUUGGUCCGGGCCACCCCCUAACCCUAGGACCAACCCGUACAGUGUCGGUCCUCAAUUUUUAGGACCGAGGACCGACCCUACUGAGCCUGGGACCAAGGACCGGACCGACCCAAUGGGUUCGGUCCGGUUCCAGGGUCAACCCGGGACCGAUCGAUAAUUUAUUUUGUCUUGUUUUUUAUACUCCCUAAAAAAGUAAACCUACAAAUUCAAAUUACACAUCCAUCGACAAUGUGGUAUUGUGCAACUAAACUAUAAAUACCAAUACAAGAUCUCAAAUGAAGCACAAAGUAGAUAUCACUAGUCAAGUUGUGUUUGGAAAGCAAGGGCAAGCUGAGCAUUAGGGUUUCUAAUUAGGGCUUCUUCUUUUUUCCUUUUGAUUUACUCGGCGAUAAGUGAGGCGACCGGCCUGAGUGGCGAGCGCAAGCGUCAAGUGUUGAGUGGGGUGAGCGUCAACUGGCAAGCGGCAAGCGGCAAGCGUUUAGUGAUGCCAGCGGCAGUGACGAGCGUUGAGCGAGCGGCAAGUGGUGNNNNNNNNNNNNNNNNNNNNNNNNNNNNNNNNNNNNNNNNNNNNNNNNNNNNNNNNNNNNNNNNNNNNNNNNNNNNNNNNNNNNNNNNNNNNNNNNNNNNNNNNNNNNNNNNNNNNNNNNNNNNNNNNNNNNNNNNNNNNNNNNNNNNNNUGAGGAGAUUUACGGCAUAAACUUCGCGCCAUUUUGGACAUUGCGAGUCCAUGACUAUGAGGAGUCCUUGGUCCUUCGCGCCAUUUUGGACAUUGCGAGUCCAUGACUAUGAGGAGUCCUUGGUCCUCACGGUGAAGAAUGUACUCUGGAGUCUAGACUAUGGAGGAGGAGGCCGUGAAGACCUUUACAACGUAAACUUCAUGCCUUUUGGAAUUGGAUGCCAUCUGUCUAUGACUGUGAGCAUGAGGAAUCAACAACUUUAACAUCAUUUACUUAGGUUUGAAUAUAUAAAAGAAUUAUAUAUAAUAUAAUAUAACAUAAAUUUUACUUAAGUUUGAAUAUAUAAAAGAAUUAUAAAUAAUAUAAUAUAAUAUACAUGGUUGGUCCAGGGUUGGACCGACCCAAAACUCUCAGGACCGAGGACCAACCCGCACAGUGUUGGUCCUGGAAUUUCAGGACCAAGGACCGACCCAGUCCCCUUGGGAACCGGACCAAGACCGGCAGGGUUGGGCCGGUCCAGGGUCGGUCCAGGGUCGACCCUAAACCGCUGCUCACCCCUACUUUAUACCUCUUGAGAAUCAAGAAAAAAGUUGCACACUUAAAUGAUUCAAAGUUCUAAAAAUUGCACGUACGCCCACCUGCAUGGUAACCGUUGCACAACCGUUUAGCACUGCAUUGGUUGUACUAUACUAGAAAAAAAAAAAAAAACAACAACAACAAAAAAACAAAGAAAGAGAGAGAGAGAGAGAGAGAGAGAGAGUCAAGGUCCGGUGGCAGCACAAGGGCAGAGAGGAGGGAUAGUGUCUAUGGUAUUCAACAGUGCAUCUGGGUCUUUGUUUGUGAUCACACGAAGAAAAUGAACAACGAAAUGUAACUCAACAGCGAAUUCAAUAGCAGAUAUCAUGAUACAAAAUAAUCAGUCGAUGAGAAAUUAUACACAAACAUCUAUAGGGAUGUCGAUAAUAACAUCUCCUUCACCAGCACCUUCAGCCUAGCGGAAGCAAAAGCCCCAAACUCAGGAACACCUCGUAACCCCUCCCCGAUCCGCCAUCGCGGCUGCUGCCUGUCCCAGCUGCCGUCGCCGUCUCUUCUCCCUCCCUCUUUCUCUUCAUUCUGUGAGGACGAUGCAGAGAUGGAUCUCCGAAUUGGGUCUGCCCGGUGACUUGGGAAGUCCGAGUCUGAUCCUCGUAGCAACUUGAUCAAGCCAUGGAGAGAGAUCUCUCUCACUUUCGCUGUGUUUGCCUAGAAGUUACACGCGACCUUCCUUCAUUAGUGAAAAAGCCGUUCAGAUUGACAAAAUAAUUGCUUCGAAGAGGAAACACGGGGAGAGAGAGAGAGAGAGAUGGUGGCUUGGCCGAGGUGGGACGCGAAACGAUCGGCGUAGGCGAUGGCCGGGGGCGGCUCGACGACGAGGGGUGACGGCACGGGAAGGGGAGUCGACGGCGACGGCGACGCGUGGCGGAGGCUUGCGGUGACCGAUUGGUGGUAGGGAGAGACUGAGGGAAGAGUAGGGGAUUUUUCAGAGUCCGGAUAUUCUUUUUAAGGAAAAUUCGUCAAAAAAGUGAGGGCAGUUGGGUCAUUUAGGAGGGUAACCGCACCAUGCGCACACGGCGAGUGAACAGAUUUACCGGAGAUUCUCCAUAGGUUUUUUUUUUUAACAUGAGAUUCUCUAUACUUAAGGAGUAAUUUAUCUUAUAUUUUAUUCCUGGAGAAGUUGACACCACAUUUAACAUAUUAAUAAUGUCAUCAUGUCCUGAAUAUGUUAUUUUGUCAUAUUCAAAGUGGGCAUGGAAUUUGAGAUCUAACAUUAUGGGAUUUUAUAAAUGCAAAGCAAACAUAUGUGAAAUAUUUUAUCAGUAUUGACAAUUAACUUCACAUAAAAAAUUGGCUUCUCAUACAUGCACCUCAAAUUGGGAAACAAGAAGGGAGAAGGAAGAGGCAAAUGAAUCCAUUUGUAAUCGUAUUUAUUUAUUUUUUUUACCACAGAUUUACAUUUAAUUAAAUUAUGAAAUGCAAUCAUUGCGUGAAUCACGGGAUCCUAAUAUUGACACUUAUCUUAAUGCCUCCCUAGAUAAAAUUCAGCACAUUAAUAAAUAUGAACACCCACAGAAUCCAAUAGCUAAGAUGAAGUAAGCCCCUAUACAUCAGAUGCAUAUAAGAUUUUGCUCCUUCCACACGCGCAAACUCCUAGGAGGCAACGUGCGCAGAGGCAGACUACUAGAUGUGAAAACGAAAGGCCACCAGUUUAUUAUUCUAUUUGGAUCAAUUAAAUUUGUUUGUAAGCCUAUUUUACUUCUAAAUGGAGAAAUAGUGACUCCUUAAGGCCAAUUGGAAUAAUAGGCCGGUUGUCGAGGCCAUUAGGGAACAUGCGUCGAGGAUCGCUAGAAGUCAACUACUGAGAAAUUAUAUGAUAAGAUGAUUUAAGCAGUCAAAUUCACAAAAGAGAUGAUUUUAUUUGGCGCAUUAGCUCCACAUAAAGCCCAAUCGGACUCAAUUGCCAUUUGGUCUCCCGCCGUUCGCGGAAAUAAUUGUAGGCUUUUAUCAUAAAUAAAGUAUACAUUGGAAAGGUGGCAAUUAUUUACACGGGAGAUGAAAAAGAUCCACAACCCUCACAUUAAUCUUGUGAUGCAAUUAUUUCAUCCAUUACAUAAGCGGUAAAAUGAGUCUACGCAAUUAUGCCAAGAUACACAUGUACGUUUUUCAACAAUUUAUUUCUAUACAUGAGUUCACAGUUUGUUAUAGGUUUGUUAUGUUUAAAAGGAAAAAGAAAGGUGAUUGACUCGUUUCAGUUAAAAAUGAUCUUGUUACAACUAGCUACAUUUUAGGCGGCUAAACAUUCAACAAGGCAAAAUGCCAAAUAAAGCACCUUUGACUUCAGCUAUUUGGCUCUUCAUUAUCAAAUUCAUCGCGCAAAUUUCUUUGCUCAGCUUCACAAAAAUGCCCCCUCAAUUGAUAUUGCAUCUUCAUUUAUUUAUGCUUCCAUUAUGGAACUCCAUCCGGUAAAAACUGAGAAAUUAUACAUGAGCAUACACCAAAGAAUUAAUUCUUCAACAAAAGCAAACGUCGUGUCAUUAUCAACAAAGCUUGGCUUAGAAUUAUCACAACUACCAAUUUCACAGCCCUUUUCAUCAUCAUAUGAUGUCUAAAGAAAAAUAACAGAUAUAUGGAGCAUCAGUUCAUGUAUCAAACACCGUUUGUUUUGCAAAAAAUGAAUAAUUAAAAAAUUAAUUUUCUAAAAAUAAUCAUUUACCAAAAUGAAUGAACGAAAUAUAUAUUUCCCUUGUCCAUGAAAAUAUUAAAACAUAAAUUGUUAUCGAUAACAAAAAUAUUUUCCAUUUACUAAUUAUUUCAUUAAGCUAUUCUUUGCUUCAAAUAUUUUGGAAUAUUUUAUUCAUUCUCCUCCAUAAAUUCAUCAUAUAACUCGUCAUACAAAUAUGCUGGUUUUUUUUUUUUUUUUGCCUCUCCUCCUUUUGCUCCCCCAAUCUAAGGUAAUACACCAAGGAGAUUGUAUAGUUGACAUCAAAUAGUUGAUGUGUUAUAGAACAAUUGAUAUAUUUUAGUUUAUUUGGGCCAAAAUUACUUUAUCUAGUUGACUCAUAACAGGGUAAGCUUUGUGUGAUUGGACCUCACUAAGUUUGUUAACAGGCUUAAGGUUUCAGCUUUAACUUGCAUACUUUCCACGGAUGAUAGAAAUAGUGAUUAAGUGACGAAGUCCUUCAAUUUAAUUUCUCCUGGUGCAUUGACUACCAAUGACAUCUAUAGUACUUAUGUUGACUAGUUAAGAGAAAUGGACUACUAUUCCAAAUUAUAAAAGACCAAUUCGAUCAAAUCAAUUAAAAAGUGGUCUCUCCAAUUCACGUUGCCUCGUUCUUGGGAAGUCUUGAGUUUGAUCCUCGUAACAACUUGAUGACGCAAUGGAGAGAGAUCUCUCACUUUCGCUGCGUUCGCCUGGAAGUUACCUGCGGCCUUCCUUCGCAAGUGAAAAAACCAUUCAGAUCGACAAAAUAAUUGCUUCGAAGAGGAAACACGAAAGGAGAGAGAGAGAGCUGUGCAUCAGUUUUCACCUUCAAGCGAUGAGUGGGGAGUGGAGGACCAUCGCUUCCAAUCUCGCCAAGCCCAGAUACGGGCCUCGUCGGCUUCGGGCGACCUCAGAUCUGGUGUUGCCCACGACCGCGAAUAGACGGAGCGAGGCUGCCUCGAGGAGAGAGAGUCGGGGACAGAGAUGGUGGCUUGGCCGAGACGGGACGCGAAACGAUCGGGGCAGGCGAUGUAAGAAUUAUCGUGGCCCACAUGAUAUGAUUUAUUAUAUGAUUUAACAAUAAUUGAAAUGCUAUAAAAUAAAUAAUGUAUUGGUUAUGAGAAGUUACGACUCUAAUAAAACAAAGAAGUAAGACUUUUAUGAAAAUUGAAAAUGCGCUUUAAUGGAAGGCACCCGUUAAAAGAACAUAUAAAUAGAGUCCGGUCCUCUCUCCGCCUACAACGAACAACAAUAACAAAAAAGCACUUAGUAUUCUCUCCUCCAUCAUUUGAAUAAAUUAAAGUUUAGUGGGUUAAGGGAGAGAAAUCAGAUUUAUUCAUUUGAUUCGAGUUGUUUGGUUUUUCACAACGAUUAUCAUCAAAGGGUAACGCUAUGGACAAAGGUAUGUUUUCAUCCAUUUAUGAAAAUCAUGAAUAUCAAAUAUCACUGUUUUAUUAUGAAUUUCCGCAUUAAAGAAUCAUUUAUAUUAUCUAACAGGCGAUGGCCGGGGGCGGCUCUACGAUGACGACAACGGUGAUGAAGAGGUGGCGGAGGCUUGCGGCGACCGAUUGGUGGAGGGAAGAGACUGAGGGAAGAGUAGGAGAUUUUUCAAAGUCCGGAUAUUUUUUUAAGGAAAUUUGUCAAAAAAGUGAGGGCAGUUGGGUCAUUUAGGAGGGUAACCGCACCAUGUACACGCGGCGGGUGAACAGAUUUACCAGAGUCACGUGUUUGGAGUGCUUUGCAAUAAGAAAGGAUUAAAACUAAAACUAGGUACUUUGCCCAAGCUUUACGCGAUAUCAUAAUAAAUGUACUUUAAAUAUGUUUAUUUUCAUUUUUAUUUUUGUUAAUGUCGAAAAGUUCGGAUUGUGUAUAACACUUGUUUCUUAUCCAUUAGGUAUAAAAUUACCAAGUAAAAUCAUUUGUCAGAUCAAGCAUGAAAAAUACACAUGAAAGUUUUAAGUCAAAUUUAACUUUUCAUAAAGGUAUAAUAAUAAAAUUUAAAAAAUUGAAUAUUGCUACUUUCUAUACCAAUUAUGUAACAACCUGAAUUCUCAGAUUUCAUUUUCAAUUAAAUAAAUUGAGCAUUUUGUCGACGCGCCUAUAGUGCUAUUAUCUGAGUUGAUUACUCACAACAUAAUUGGACUAUCUGGGGAAGCAAUUAAGGAAUCUAAAUGCAAUAAACUUGAGAAUUCGAUCAGGAAUUGAUAUCUCGAUCAUGUUGAUCUGCAAGGGUCAUUACGGCAUUGUCGAAAUCGAUCAGAGACCGGAGAUAGGUCGAUUUAACUAAAAUAUGUGAUUAGAGUGUGGGUGAUUCCACAUAAUUGCAAAAUACUUGUCGAUCGACACUAGACCGAUUUUUCUAUCAUUUUGGUACCCGGUGUUCAUAAUUGAAAUCUUGAGAUUUUCACGACAAUCAAGAUUCGUCAAUGUGUCGAAGAUGUACAUUAUGACUCGAGAUAAAUCGAUCACAGGUCAAUUGCACCAAAAAUUCCUAAAGGUUACCCAGUAGACUAGGUCACGCUAAAAUUGCAUCGGAUUGAAAUUAACCGUGAAUUUGAACCCGAUUUCAGAAAUUGAAAGUUCUGUCGUGUCAUGAUCUAUUUUAGAAUUGUCGACUCAUCAUCCAAAAAGUUUUCGGAGAUUCCGGGAUUUUUACGGAAAAAUCGAUUUGGACGUUGCGGAAAAUAGUGAAAAUUUUGAUGGGCUAAAUUUAAAAAAAAAAAAAUUGGACUUACAAGCAGAGCCUUUGAGCGUUAGGGACUUACAGAAAAUUGUUAGGGAUUUUUCUUCAACGAAAUCGGACAUCGAUCGGAGAAUUUCGGAAAGAAAUUGAACCUAAAGUGGUGAAAUUCGGACCUUAGGAUGGGGGUGUGCAACAUUGGUAGCAAUUUGGAUAAUUGUGGAUUUAUACUUCAAAAAAAUAAUUGGGGGACAAUAAAUGAUAAACAUGAAGACUUUAAAUGCCGAAUUACGAUGAUUUAGAUAUUUUUUAUUGGACUUUUUUGUGCCCCUUUCUCUCCCCUUCGCACGCCUCAUCCAUUCCUUCUUCAUCGUGCGAAACCUCUCUCUCUUUCAUUGCAACCCACCGAACCAGCUUAUCUCACUUUCCUUUCAUUUGCUUUUUUUUUUUUUUCCUCUCUUUCAUUUUACUUCAAGCACCCCACGUGAGUCAACCUUCCAACAACAAACUUUGGUUUGUUGACCGCCCCCAUCAUCUUCGUUUUUGCGCCACCGAAGCAGCUCCGUGUCCCACGCGUCCGAAGCUGCCUCUUCUUCCUUCGCACGCGACUUCCCCCUUCGCAGCUUCUCUUUCUUUUUUUUCUUUUUUUUGUUUCGGCUCUCUUUCACUUUUCCCUUGAAGCAGCCCCUUUCUUCGAACACUGCAGCUCCUUCCUCUGAAAUUUUGAGCCCACGUUCCUCUGCCCACCAGUGGCCGAAGCCCACCGAUCUUCUCUCUCUCGCAUUGCUGUCCCCACACCGGUCAACUCCAGCAAAUCUUCUCCACCUUAGUUGACCCAACAGCUCCCUUUGUGCGCCAGCUGCCAGCGCUACCAGCCUGCUUCCAUUUGCUAGUUCGUGAGUCCAGCGAAGCCGUAGCAGCCCAGCUUCCAUGCCCGUGAGAUCCACCGAAUUAGUAGGCCCAUUCUAUGCAGCCAUCUGAAGCCGAAGUCCAGCCCAUGCAGUUCUUUUCUUCAGCCCAUUUCCAGCAGAAUUUCAACCUGCGAGCUCAGGCCCAAGUUCAGCCUAAGUUUCCAGCUCACUUGAGGCCUGUGCAGUCAAGCCCGCGAUUUUGAGGUCCAUUUGAAGCCCGCGAAGCAGCCCAACUUGGGUCCAGCCCAAAUCAAGAACAAAUCUCAGCUUGGGCGAGAUUUGUUGGGCCGGCUCUAGGCCCGGUCCAAGCCCAUUAAUGCCGCCGCAAACCCAAGUUUCGGCCGUCGUUGCAUCAUCGUCGCGGUGAACCAGUUUCUGAGAUAAACCAGUGAGUUUACGCACUAAACUCUUCUUAGUAGGCUAAUAACGUUUAAUGGGUGUUUAGAUUUAUUUAAGUGCAAUUAGUUUAACUAAUAAGUUAGUUAAAUUAGGAUAGUUAGAUAAAGUGAUUAGGUGGUUAGAAAUUUAUAGUUAAUUAGAUUAGUGUAUUGUUAUAUAGCUAGGGUGCUUAGAAUAAUUUAUUUAGCUCAAUAGGUGGUUAGAUUAAAUUUAUUUAGCCUAAGUUAGAAUUUUAGUAUUUAAUGCAUUUAUUUAAUAAAUUUUAGAAAUUAUUUAAUUAUUAAAUAUUUUUCCAGAAAUUAAGCUGGGAUAGUCGGUGACCGGAAUUUCGUGUUGAUUGCAAUGGUGUGGUUAAUUUUUGCAAUCGAGUGUUAAAUUGUGAAAUUUGAGUGUUGAUUGAAAAUUUGAUCAAUUAUUCCAAAAUUGGUGAAUUUUGACAUUUAUCUAGAAAAUCCUGGGUGUCGGGUUUUAAACACCAAAAAUGGUUUUUAUAUACUAUAUAAACUAGUGGGAUUUUUUUUUUUUUUAAAAAAAGAGGAUUAUGAAUUUUCUGAGUCCAAUCUAACCGUAUACCCACACAUGACUAUUUUCAUCGGGUGUUUUUACUACGAAUGAAAUAAGCAAGGAUCACUAUUUUAAUUGAGGCAUUUGAGUGCAAUGCACGGUGUCCUGGGCCGAAAUUAAGUGGUUGUGUGUUGGUUAAGAGAACUCGUCCCUGAACUGUGUCGAAUGGAUGUUACCUUAUGUGGGAUACCCAUUUAUUGGAUUUUGGGUCGUAGUAGAGGCUAGAUCUAUACUUCUUCGGGAAAGUCGUCUUUGAGAGACGUAACCGUGCUCAAUGGGUUAAGACGAUGCCUGGCUACGCCAGCAGACCGCCAAACUUCUACUAGGUCGUACCCUAGAGUGGGCGAAAUUAUCAAUUGGAACGCAUGUUGAGUGGAGUAAAUGCGCUGGAUUAUGGGACAAAAUUAUGUGACAUAGUAUGGGACGUGUCAUAAUAAUUUAGCCUUAUAAUGUGGACCCCUGUGAUUUAUUGAGUUGAGUAAUGCGUUUCAAUUGUUGUGUGCAUUGAUUUUAUGCAUAAUGUGUAUAAACUAUGCUGGCCUGCAAGGUGAAACUGAGGCGAGGUAAGUCAUCUAUACUAAAUGCGUGAUUGAGUGGUUAGGACACCCUUGGGUGUAUUUCCCUCCUAAUCGGGGUAUAAAGCGUGAACUCGCUAAGAUUUAUAUCUCACCCCGUCGUGGGAUAAAUUUUCAGAGUUGUCGAGUGGAAGACUUGAAGCCGAGAGGAGGUGAUUAGAAGUGUAGGUUACUUAGGACUGUUUCUUUUUGGAAAGCCAGUCUGUGUAGUCUUUUGGUCAUAGACCUUGUACAUGACUCAAUGUGUAUAUAAAAGUGUGUUUUGUUUGUGAAAUUGUUGUCCUGCUUUUUUAUCAGGGGAUUUAUUUUUACUUCCGCAUAUAUAAUAAAAUGAAAAGGGUCGGCGACUCACCUAGGAAGUCGCAAAAUUUUAUUGACCAGAGAGGGAUGGGCAUACGUUCGGGGUUCGGGGCAUGACAAAUUGGAUUCUAUUUUCAAUUUAGAAUAUGUGGAUUUUUUUUUAUUCAGUACCAUAUCUCCAAAGGACAUUUUAAUUUGAUCUCAAUUGUUGAGUUAAACCUCAAGACCAUCUCAACUUGUUCCUUGUAUAAAAAUUCCUAUGUGACAUCUAAGAUUGAAAGGAAACCCCAUUAGAAUAAGUCAAUUUUGGAUAGUUGAUCGUCAAGACUAAAAAGCAUCUAGCAUCGAGUCUUUAUCCCAUGCUCACAAUCACAUUACAUCUAUUGCUUGCUAUUAAAUGGUUGUUUUGUAGAAAAGAAAAAAGAAAGGGUAAAAGUCAUCCAAAAUCCUAAAUUAUAUUUAUUGUGAUACAUUUACUCUAAUUUUUUUUUGUGACACUAGGAACCUAAACUUGUAUCUAUGUAACACAUUUAUCUCAAAUUUGUAUAGUGAGACACAUUUAUCCAAAACUUCUUUUUGUGAUACCAAAAAUCCUAAAUUUGUAUUCGUGUGACAUGUUCACCCUUAAAAUUUGGCAUCGAUUUUAAUGUUACAAAAAACAAUCUAGAAUAAAUAUGUCACACAGAUAUAAGUUUGGGAUUUUUAGUGUUGCGGAAAAAAUUUGUGGUAAAUGUAUCACACGGGUAAAGUUUGGGAUUUUUUUUUUUUUUGACUUUUUACCUUUUAUUUAUUUUUUUCUUCUCUAUAUGGGCUAAAGAACGUAGAUCUUUAUACAUUGACAAGCAGUGAUUCACCUUUUCUCUCACCACGAUGAAAAAGGUUUCUUUCUGUCAUGCCCUAAAUCUUAAGUGUGCGCACAUCCCUCGGUGGUCGAUAAAAUUGCAACGUCCCGGGACGUGUUGCUGACCCAUUCAUUUUAUUGUACAUGCGGAAGCGAAUAAACAAAUCCUCAUACAACACAAAUAUGGGAUUGAAGAGCAGGACCGCAAUUUCACCAAAACCCAAAUUUUCAUAAACAAACUAGUCUGUCUACAAAAAGAUCGACUUUAAAAAAGAAGCUGUCCUACGAACUACUAGUCGGACACGUUUGCCGAUCCUUCGGACUCCACCUCCACAGCUUCGGAGGCUUCGGGUCCUCCACAACCCCAUCAAGAGGGUCAAUUGCACCCUUGCCUAGAGCAGUGUUGACCGCAAUGAUGGGGAUAUCAAAACCCUGAACGGGACCUUUCUUAUAUCCAUUGAGCCCAUGGUGAAACCACACCCUGAAUCGAUGAGGUACCCUUUGAGGUAAGCCCUCAUCAACCCAGAUAGUGGUCACAACAAGCUCAUGGAUCCAGUGACUCUCGAGGAUAGGGACAUCUAUACUCCACUCAAUAACCCCCCAAGGCUAUCUAAAAGAACCAGAGGGACUGCCAUCUAAGGACCUGAAAAGGUUAAGCCCAUGACCAAGGUGAGACAACGUCUCAGCAAGUCUCCCUAAACCCCAAUUUAGAAAGAAAAUACGCCUAGAGGUAAUCUAACCACACAUCACAGAAGACUUACCUUGCCUGUGUUCCUUCAUGCACGUUAGUACAAUUCAUAUCACAUAUAAUUGCAUUAAAAGCACUCAUCAAUCGGGAUGUCUCAACUUAUAACCCGAACAAUUAGGGAUGUCUCAACUUAUAACCCAAACAAUUACAGGGGUCUCGAUUAUAAGGCCAAAUCAUUAUGACACGUCCCAUUCUGUGCUACACAAUUUUGUCUCAUAAUCAGUUGCGUCAAUUUCAAUCAAUCAUGUGUCCCAAUUGAUUACGACCCAACGGCCACAGUCAACUCAACAGUUAGUAGUCCUUCGGCAUAGUUGGGCGUCGUCCGGCACCAUCGAGCACGGUAACGUCUAUAUCUAGACAGCAUUCCAUAUAGGAGCAUUGGCCUAGCCUCCAUUGCGAUGGGCAUUAGUUGACUUGGGGCAUUCCCGAAGGAGCAUUGUCUAGCCCCAAAGGCUCGUGACGGGUUCUCAUAUCAUUCAUGCACCCAUCCAAUCCCAGCCAAGACAUAGUGCUUUGCACUCAAAUAUCCCAAUUAAAAUAAUGUAUUUGGCCCACUUUCUUCGUAUUAAAAACACACGGUAAAAUAAUCAUAUGUGAGUACAUGGUCAAUUUAAACAAGAAAAAUUAAUAUCCUUCUUUUUAAAAUCCCACUGUUUGAUAUAGUCUUUAAAAAUAUUUUAGGUGUCAAAACCCGACACUCGGUAUUUUCUAAUUACAUACCAAAAUUUCAUAAUUUUAAAAUAAAUACUCAAAAUCGCAAUCAUCACUCAAUUUGCACAAAUUAACAAUUAAUUGCAUAAACUAAGCACACAAUUGCAAUCAGCACGAAAUUCCGGUCACCAGCUAUCCCAGGACAAUUUUUGGAAAAUAUUAAAUAAUUAAAUAAAUAGCAAAAAUAAUUAAAUAAAUGCAAUUUAAUCCAAUUAAUGCAAACCUAGGUCGGAAACGCUAAUUUAACCACCUAAACGGGCCAAGAAAAUUAAUGCACUUAUCUACAUAAAUAGUACAAUCUAUUUAGCCCUUAAUCAAUCUAUUCUAACCACCUAACCAUCAUAAUUAAGCAAUUAAAUCAUUAAUCAAAACUAACUAACCACCUAAGCCAUACUUAGCCUAAUCUAAUUACAUACUAAACAUCAUUAACUCCCUAGAUUGGUGAGUCCAAGGUGACGAUGAUGCAGAGGUGGGCGACACACAAGCCUGCAGCGACACCAAGCGUGUCACGCCCCAAUCCUCGACACACGCACAUCCUUCACACUUGGUCGAUUUUAUAAUGCGAUAUCCCAGGACAAUGUAUCGCCGACCCUUUCAUUUAUUAAGCACAUGCGGAAGCAGUUAAAAUCCCCAGACAAUAAAACGAUGGGAUAGAAAAGCAAGGCCAUAUUUUUCAUAUUGAAAUUUAUAACUAAACUUUUAUACAAACACAAACCAGAGCACUUCAGAACUUUUUACUUUAAACUCUAUUCACAUCAAAAUGAAGAUCUCAAAAGAAGAUAGAACUUCAGUUCACCCGGGCCGUACUCAAGGCCCCUCUCGGGAUUAUCUUCUUCUCCCAAAAAUCCUUCUUAGACUCCUCCUCCUCAUCUCCUCAGCGGGGUCCUGAAAUGAUUUCCCCAAACCGGGAUGAGACUACGUCUCGGCGAGUUCUACCCAACUAAGGCCAGAUUAGUAAACUAUUAUACUACAGGCUGCCUAAACACGCACAGGGCAGAGGACUUACCUUGGCCUCAGAUCUCACCUGCAAGUCAGUACAAUUCACAAUAGGCACCCAUUUACUCAAAACAAAUCGAACCAGUCGAUUACAUGUCACACAAAUCACUCUCCACGGAGGAGUAUUUAAAAGCGAGGCCAGGUGCAUUCUCUAGGACGACAUUCCAAGUCUCCGAGUCCACGUGCCUCGAACCUUGGGCCCACGUGCAUUCUCUCAGGCGACCUCUUCGCCAAAGUGAUACAUCAAGUCACCGAGCCCACGUGCCUUUUUAGAUGCCUGGGCCCACGUGCAUUCUCUUAGGUGCUAUCUCACCAAAGUGAUGCAUCAAUUCAUCGAGCCCACGUGCCCUUUUUACGAUGCCCGGGUCCACGUGCAUUCUCUUAGGUGCUAUCUCAUCAAAGUGAUGCAUCAAUUCACCGAGCCCACGUGCCCUUUUUACGAUGCCCGGGUCCACGUGCAUUCUCUUAGGUGCUAUCUCAUCAAAGUGAUGCAUCAAUUCACCGAGCCCACGUGCCCUUUUUACGAUGCCAAACUCUGUCACCGAGCCACGUGCAUUCUCCAGGAUGACAUACCGAGUCUUCGAGCCACGUGCAUUCUCUCAGGCGACCUUUUCGCCAAAGUGACAUAUUCAACCACUGAAUUCACGUGUAUUCUCCAGGUGAUAUUCCAAUUCACCGAGCCCACGUGUUUUCUUUCAAGUGAUUACCAAUCUACUUUCAAUACCGACAACCAAUGCCCAACAAUUUCUCAAUCAAAUAAUUAAAUCAACUCAACAAAGCAUAUAAAUGCUGAAUAACAUACUUGGCCAUUUACCAGUCAACAAUUCAAUCUCAAUCAAUUCCAAUCAAUUUAGGGUAAAUCCCUAAAAUAUCACAAUUUAUUCAAUUCCAUACAACGUGGAGCUCAAAUAAAUAAACGGACUGCGCCACGACGAUCAGCAUGAGAUUUCGGUCUUCGGCCAUCAAAAUCUUAAUUUCCGAAAAAUAAUUAAUUAAUUAAUUAAUUUCGAAAAUUAAUUAAUAAAUAUUAAAAAUUCAAUUUAGCUCAAAAUAAAGCCCGAUUAAAUAAACGGACUUCACCACGGUCAUCAGCAUAAUUUUCCAGUCCCGGGCCAUCUCAGUUGAAUUUUCGGAAAAUAAAUAAUUAUUUAAUUUAAUUCCGAAAAUUAAUAUUUAAAUACUAAAAAUUCCACUUAGGCCCGAAAAGCCUAAUUAGAGCCCACUAAGGGUCGGGAAAAAUCCCGAGGUACUUCCAAUAAUUAGUAGACCACGUCUACUUGUUAAUUGCGCAAUCAAUUUAUCUAAAUCGCAUCACAAUUGACUAAUAAUUGCUAAUUUAUUCUAGAUCUAACAACCUAAACAUAAUUAAUUAAAUCUAANNNNNNNNNNNNNNNNNNNNNNNNNNNNNNNNNNNNNNNNNNNNNNNNNNNNNNNNNNNNNNNNNNNNNNNNNNNNNNNNNNNNNNNNNNNNNNNNNNNNUGGGGAUUCGCACGAGGGGGGGAAAGGGGAGAGGAGAGAGAGAGAAAAGAAAGAAAAGAAAAGAGAGGGGGAGAGAGAAAAAGUAAAAUAAAAAUAACACCAUUUUUCUUAUUUUCUUUUCUUUUCUCUUUCCCUAUUUAUUUCCUUUCGGUCUUCGAUUUUUCCUCCGCUAAUUUCUUUCUUGAAAUUUCGGACUCGGCAAUAAAUUGAUGGACGAUGAGACGGUCCUAAAAAUGAAUUGUGACACGCCCGAAUAUUCGAUUCUCAAAACCGAAUUAAAUUUCAUGAUUAAAAUCGAUCGGAUGCGAUUUUAGUCCAAUCCAACCAAUUAGGUAGCUUUUAGGGAUUUUACCGCGGUUAUAUCCCUUAACGGCUUCACCCAAUAGGUUAGCUAACUCGUGAGUGAUCAACUCAGAGAAAAAGGACCAUAGACGCGCUGACGAUAUGCACAUUUCACUUUAUCGAAACGGGGUCGAAUUUUAGGAUGUCACAAAGCGAGGUCCGGAAGAGACCUAAAACGGGCCACGAAGCCUAACAGCCACUGCUGGCCUUCGGUUCUGUCCAAGGAUCGAAGGGGCUGGGUCGAGUGCUGGAUCGGCUAGAACAACCAAGGCGGGACGGCGGCGACUGUUGUAAUAUCUUGAAAUUUUCAUUUCUACUUUCAAUUAAAUUAAGCGUGCCUUUCGUCAACACGCCUAUAGUGCUAUUCUCAGAGCUGAUCACUUCUGAAAUAAUUUGACUAUCUAGGGAAGUCAUUAAGGGAUUUUAAUGCAUUAGACUUGAGAAUUCGACUAGAAAUCAGCUACUCGAUCGUAUUCAUCGGCAGAGAUCAUUACGGCAUAGUUAAAAGUCAAUUAGAGAUCAAAGAUAGGUUGGUUCGACAGAGAUUUGUGGCUAAACAUGGGUGAUUCCACUAAAUUACAAAAUUCUCGUCGACCGACACUAAACUGAUUUUUCUGUCGUUUUGGUAUCCUGUGUCUGUAUUUGAAAUCUCGAGAUUUUCACAACCACCGAGAGUCACCAAUAUGUCGAAGAGGUUCAUUGUGACUUGAAGAAAAUCGGCCACGGGUCAUUUGCACUAAAAAUUUCUGAAAGCUACCCAAUAACCUAGGUCAUCCUAAAAUCACACCAGAUUGAAAUUAACUGCAAAUUUGAAUCCAAUUUCAUAAAUUGAAAGUUUUGUCAUGUCACGAGUCAUUUUAGGAACGUUGACUCAGUCUCCAAAUAUUUUUCUGCAAACCGAGAUUUUGGCAGAAAAAAUCGAUAUGGGGCCGUUUUCGACCGAAAAAUGUGGAGGACUAUUUUUUUAUCGCGAAAGUGGGAUGCAAGUAGGAUCUAUUGGUGAGGAAAAAUGCCAAGUUGAUUGAGGACUCAACGGUUGAAUUUUUAGAAGCCAAAUGGAGUUGAUUCAAAGAGGAAUUGAAGUCCAAUUUGGGGAAAUUCCAAUCAAAAUUCAUAGCUCCCCCUUGGACCCAACAUUUGGACCACUCCAAGGCUUCUAGAGGAAGAAUUGGUUGCUAGAAAUUGUAGAGGAAUCCAGCUGGGCAUUGGUGGGACACACCAAGGGGACAAAGAGAUGAGAGAGAGGCCAAGGUGGCCCCCCUUAUAGCAGUCGGUUCCCCUCCUUCUCCUUCCUUCGGUCGAGCCUCCAUUUCCAGUAGCUAGAAGACUUCAAAAUUUCUAGCAAAACCAGAGAAACCGCAGCCCCUUCCCCCUUGACCAUUCGAGCAGUCCGCUGGAGCCCAGAGCCACCGUCGCACCGUUUGGCCGUCCGCCGAGCCACCGCAUGCCAGCCUCACGCCUGCACGUCUCUUGCUGUCAUCCCUACCCGUUCCCACUUCCAGUAGCUUGCCGGGCCAGGUCAGGCCACCGUCAGAGCUUCCACCACCGCUGUACGCCAUCGCCUUCGCCCAUCCAAGCCAUAGCAGCCUCAUCGUGCCCGUUUCUAGCUCAACCGACCACCAGAGCAGUCUUCUUUGCCCUUGACCAAAACCGGAGCUAGUGGGUUUUCAACCCGCUGUUUGGCCCAUUUUCGAGCCUUUCCCGGCCCCGCUUGGUGGUCCCGCUUUGGAGUUUGUUGUUCCUCUCCGCGUCCCUGUCGUUGUGGUCUAAGCAGAUCGUUAAUCAAGUGAGUUUAACUCACUAAUCCCUACUUAGUAAGUUAAUGAUGUUUAAGGGUUGAUUAAUUUAGACUAAGUAUGGAUUAUGUGAAUAGUUAGAAUAGAUUAGUGAAUUAAUUUAUUGUUAUUGUAUGUUAGGUGGUUAAAGUAUUGUAAUUAGAGCCUAGACAAGCUCUAGUAUUUAUCUAGAGUGGUUUAGAAAUUUUCCGGGCCCGUCUUGGCUUUUAUUUAGGCUUUUCUAGCUUAAGUGGUAUUUAUCGGUAUUUAAUAAUUAAUUUUCAUAAUUAUUUAAUUAAUUAUUAUUUUUCGAAAAGUAGACCGGGAUAGCCGGUGACCGGAAUUUUGUGAUGAUUGCAAUGGUGUGAUUUUUUUUUUAUUAAUUGACUGCUAAUUUGUGCAAUUGAGUGUGAUUUGUGAUUUUUGGUAUUUAUCCCAAAAUUUUAUUUAAUUUCAGCAAUUAAUUAGAAAAUCACCGGGCGUCGGUUUACAACGCGAAAAAUGAAUUUGAGGACUAUUGAAAUUAGUGGGAUUUUCAAGGAGGAAAAUAUUGUAUUUUGGCUAACGCCGGUACUCACACACGAUUAUUUUUAUCGGAAAUGAUAAAAAUGGUGAAAUGGUUAGAUGAUCAGGAUGGUAUACUAUAUCAACUUGCAGGCUCGAUAUGUCAGCUUAGAGUGAGCAGUAUAUCGAUAUAUUAUAUCAACUUGCGGGCCUUGAUAUGUCAGCUUAGAGCGAGCAAUGUACCUUAACAGCUUCUGGUGAGCAUUAUUAGUAUACUAUAUUAGCCUACGGGCCUUGAUAUAUCAACUUAGAGCGAGCAGUAUAUUAUUUAUCAGCUUAGAGUGAGCUAUACUAUCUAUUUAUUAGCUUAGAGUGAGCAGUCCUGGUUAUGAUUGAACUUUAUAGAUAGUAUGAUUGAGAUGACCGGGGAAUGGUCUUGAUGAUAUGAAAUCGGCUGAGUCGAUUAAUCGAUUGUUCAAUAUGAGUGGAUGAAUUAUUGGUUGAAAUGAUUGAAUGGUUAUAUGAAUUGUAUUGACUUGUAGGAAGAAAUGGAGGCAAAGGUAAGUCAUUUGACCCGUGCUUGUGCUUAGACAGCCCUAAGGGCGUAUUUUCUUCCUAGUUGGGUCUUAGGGGGUGAACUCACUGAGACGUUGUCUCACCCCAUUGUGGGAUAACUUUUCAGGUCCCUAGAUGGCAGCUUCUCCCAAGCAUUAACUUCCGGUAAACUCUGCUAAUCAUAGGGACCAUCGGGUAUCAGAGCUUUGGUCCAAUGGCUCCUCCUAUAGGUGGUAGGGUAGGGUGGGUGGUACUGCUCAAAUUGCGGCCAAUCUUCCUAACCGCGUGACUUUACGUUUAACUGGUAUUGACUAUAACUGCUAUUGAUCUCCCACUACACUGUCAGUAAUAGAAGGAGCAAAGAGUCUACUAUACCUUGGCCCCUCCUUCUCUAAUCUUUAGAUAAUUCUCAUGGAAUGUCUCCAAAAUGAUCGCCCGUGUUGACGCCAUUAACAGAGUCUACAUUCUAACCAGAAAAUCUUGGAAUAGGUGGUUCUCUCUCCAACUUGCUAGGGUGACGAAUUAUCCUCGUUGGCUGAGGAAUGACUCUUCUGAUUUCUUGUUUUUUCCAUUAACAGUUCCUAUGAAUGGAACACAAUGGUCCCAUUGGGUGUGCCAAAAAGAUGUUUGUCGAGGGAAGUUCCCUCGACAAAAUCUUUCAUCAAAGGGGUAAAGUUUCAACUUUAUUAUUUAAAAUGGAUUAUGUGUCACUCCGGAAAGGAAGCAACUGAUCUAAAUUACAGGCAAACAUAGAUGCAGGAAAAAAAGGAGACAAAAUAAAACUACGAUUCAAAUUAAAAGUGUGAUCAAAGAAAUAGAGCGAUUGAAAAGUAGAUGAUCAAUUAUUGAUUUGGGAAAUUGACCUUUCUAUUGAUGCCUCUUCGGCUAUUUAUAGUGGCGAUUUAUGGGUAACUGCUCUUUAGUGGUUAUCAUUUCGAUAUUCAAAAUGUUUCAGAAGCUUUGGCUCCUUAUCGAUAACCACUUUGCCAUAUCGAUAUUUUCAUUGGUAUCGAUUCCCGUAACUACUUCCUUUCUUGUCUCGCUUGCCUUGGCAAGUUCUAAUGUCACACUAUUCGAAAUCUUCGUUGUUGACUAUUGGUGUUUUGGCCCACUACCCAUGAAUUCUUGUGUGCUAGGCCUGCUUUACUCUCUUCUAUUUCCAAAGCCCAACAAGCAAAUUUUGGAUGCCAACAGAAGCACAUGCAAGAAUAUGAGAGGAAGUCGUGGAUCUUUCAAAUGUCCCCUGAAUGUGACUAAUUGACCAAGAUCUAUAAAAAAAUAUAAGGUAGUUUGAUUAAGCUAAUUAUGAGUGAAAAUAGUACUUCAGCAAACAAAAGGUAAGGUUAGUACAUUAAGCCGUUGAAUGCCUAAGCAUAACACAACUCUUAGCCAGAAAUAGUUCGACUGGUAAUAAUUAUUGCUCAUAUAGAUUCCCAACCAUUACACUUGAAGACAUUCAGCAUGAAUAGUUGAUUGCAUUCUGGAACUCUGCAUAAACAGAUGAACAAAGGUAAUGAUUAUUGCCGGAGAAGUAGAAUUUCAACUUUAAUAAUGGGAAUGCUUGAAAUUGCAAUUAUAACCAUUGACAUCAAAAGUGGAGUAAAGAUGGUGGUGAUCUUUGAUUGUGCAUCAUCAGAUAGUCCCUGCUCAAUCUUCAAAACUACAAGAAACAAAGGUGAUACAAAAAGGAGAAAUCUAAGUUAUUGCAUUUGCCAUAAUUAAUUCACUAAAAAGUUGAGUCAUCAAAUUCCCAAACUGAGCUUAAAACAACAAAGGAAAAAGAAAAGGACUUGUCAUCCGCAUAACAAAUAAGAAUUUUAAAAUAUAAAUGUCUUAUCGGGCAAAUUGAAAUAUCUUCCCUAAUUGUAAUUUAAGAUGAGCAGGAACGAACCAAUAGCAAACAAAUAGAGAAGAAAAUUGUAGUUUCACUCUCUUUUGGAGGUGAACAUUAAAGAGAAUUGAUAUAGAGAAAAUUUGAGUUAAUUGAUUGUUCAAAAUACCUCUUGUCAAACCUAAUUUUGUAUGUUGACCAAAAAAAUAAUAAUUUUGUCUAGUAUACCUAACAUUACUUAAAUAUUUUUAUGGAUCAAAGGGACUAAUUAUAUUCAUUCCUUUUCUCACCAUGAUAACCCAUGAGAAGUUUCCAUAUUGACAAUUUCAUGAACUGAGCAAAGUAGGUGAGUCACCUAAAUCUUUUAAUUAAGCAAAGUCUUAGUAAACAAUGAUACAUACCUCAUCCAUCUUUGUUGAACCUCAGGCAGUAACUUACAGUGAGUUCGCAAGAUUUUGGCACUCCCAACAUGCUCUUCAGUGAUUCACACCGAUUGAAAUCCAAUCUUUUUAGAUUUUGUAAAUUAGACAGAUCAUAUUUGUUUAAGCUUUUGAUGGAAUUACAGUUCCAAAUCCAUAGCGUCCGCAAUGAUUUCAAUUCUCCCAAACCCUGAAUCUCAAUUAGGUGAGGGAAUUGACGCAGGUACAAAUGCUGGAUCUUCUUCAGACAAGGCAAAAUGGGCAGAGUCUUAAGUAAUGGACAGUCGAAUAUCAUCAAUUCAUUGAAAUUUUGUAGUUUUCCAAACCCAUCAAAACGAAUCUCGCCUAGCCAAUAUCUUUCAAUAAUCAAUCUUGACAAAUUCUCCAAGUUGGAAAAGAGCGACCAAUCUAUGGGUGAUUGGACAUCGACUAAAGUCAACCGUUGAAGGCUAGAUGGAAGCCUGAUAAGAGAUCGAGGGUUGGCAUAACUUACAGAGAGUUCUUGUAACUGAGAGAGGGAACUCAAAUCAGUUGGAGGCAAGGUCAUUUUUCCAACCCACAGGGUCAACUUUCUUAGAGCACUUGCUCUCAAAAGCCCCUCUAUGUUGGGUUCCUGUACUGUUGUUCCGAUUAUAUCAAGAUGAACUAAAUUGGUUAGAUUGGAGUAGUCAGGGAUUGUAGUCAAUGAGUCCAAUGAAAAGCUUAACGACUUUAGACUCUUAGGAAGCUCUGGCAACUGUUGAAUUGACCUACAGUCCCAUAAAUUAAGUUUUUGGAGAUUUGUAAGCCGAUUGAUGGUUGUUGGCAAUCCACUAAAACAGCCACCUGAUAAAUCUAGAAUUUUCAAUGAGGAUAGUGCCCCAAUUUCACUUGGAGUUUCCCCCUCCAAGUGUUCACAUGAGGCACUCAACUCUUCCAAAUUUUCCAACGUUCCUAUAGUUUUCGGAAGUUCACUUAUGCGGCUAUGAUCUAGAUUUAGUGCCUUCAACUUUUUGAGAUUUCCAAUACAAUCAGGUAAGCUCCUGAUGUGUGAAAGACUCAAAUCCAACUUGACCAAUGAUUGGAGCCUCCCAAAUGAGUUUGGUAGCUUUUUUAAAUAGCCAUUUGGGAUCAUAAAAAUUUCCAACCUUCCUAAGUUCCUAAUGGAAUAAGGUAAUUCUCUCACACUUGUAUGUCUGACAUUCAACUCAAGUAGUGAUUCCAAUUGUCCAAUAGAAUCGGGGAGUUUUUGCAAUUCCCAACAUGACAAGAUUAGAUGCUUCACAUUCACUAGAUUGCCAAUCGAGUGAGGCAACACUAAAAGUUCUUGAGAAAAUAUUUCUAAGUAAUCAAGAUGUUGUAAAACACCGAUGGACUUGUCGAUCUUUCCAAGUUGAUUGCAUCUAAGGAUUAAUCUCUCUAACUUGGAGAUUGCAGAGAACUUUGGUGUCUUUCUAAGUAAUGGACAAUCCAGGAGUUUUAGGACUUUCAACUGUUUUGCUACCUAUAAAACAAUUAAGCUGAAAUUAGAAAAGAAAAAGAGUAAAUGUAAUGCAAAAAUAUGUCAUGAGAUCAUACCAUGAUUUGACGCCAUCCUCCCAGUCUUUAGUAAUAUUAAUCCCAGAAAGCUCAAGAACUGCUAGGUUCUCCAACCUAAAGUUGGCAGCAAGGAAUUUCGAUGGGCAAUUGCGCCAAGAGAGCCAUCUUAACUCGGAGAAAUGAUCCUUAAAGUCUCCUUGGAAGUUUCCAUGGUCCAAUUGAAGGAAUCUAAGAUUGACCAUCCUUGCAAAUUCCUUGUGUUUAAAUCUAUACGUUGCAUCUGGUUCAGGUGUACCGAGAUUAAGUGCCACUAUGUUCUUAGUUCCCUAGAAGAUAAAAGUAGCAACCAAUGAGUACAUGUGUCAAUUUAAGUUGACGUUAGAUUUAAAAGGUAAUGAUAUUGAUGGAUGGAGUGGACAACAUUUAGAGGUAAAACUUACCUUUUUUCUUUGCACCAAAUGGAAGGCAUCCUUGGGUAACCAUAGUCUACUACCCCUUAAACGUAUGUUGCAACUUUCCCGGUGGAUAAUAUCUCGCCCGAGGUCUCUAAGUUGGUCAUGCAUCCACAAUUCAUCGUAGUCUAUGAUCUUUAUCAGAGACAUACGUGUGAGGAUAUUGACUUCGAUUUCGGUGGGAUACCCAAAAACCGCAUCCCAAUAUUUAAUUGCAGUUGUUUUCUCUUGAUUAAUGAAGAAACAUGCAAUAUCAAGAUAUAUUUGUUGCUGAUUAGGGUCCAAUGCUUCAUAGCUUAUCAUCAACUUCUUCUUGACAUCCUCGUUCAUCACCUUCUUUAACUUAGAUAGAACAUUUUUCCAUGUAAUUUGGCAUUUUCCACGGAGUGUGGAACCUACGACGUCGAGAGCCAAUGGAAGUCUUCCAAGUGCAUUGAUUACCUUUUCUGAAAUAUCGAUGUAAUCAGCCGGAGGCUUGGCACAUCCCAAGGCACGCUCACAAAAAAGUUGAAGAGCAUCAUCCCAAUUCAUCUCAGGCAUAGUAUAGAAUGAAAAAUGUGUAGUAUCUGAGAUUGGGGCAUUGUGGUCUUCACCUUCCUUUACUAGGAAUUCAAUAUUCCUUGUUGUUAUGAUGAUUCUAGUACCCUCACUAUACCAGUUUGGCUUACCAACAAGUCUCAUGAUCUGGUCUUGGUUGUCGAUGUCAUCAAGAACAAUGAGGACUUUCUUCCCAUGGAACCUCGUCUUGAUCAAGUGAGCCCCUUCAUCGAUGAAGGAGAGGUUUAUACAAUUGAGUUUGAGGACAUCAGACAACAAUUUUUUUUGUAAAUUUAUUAUAUCUUGAGUCCGGACAUCUUUAAGAAAACAGCAAUGACCUGAAAACUGAGGGGAGAUUUGCCUAAAGACAACCUUGGCCAAUGUUGUCUUUCCAAUGCCACCCAUACCAUGAAUCGCGAUGAAUCUCACAUCAAAUGCUACUAGAUCUAACUGCUCCAUAAUUUCAUCCAUCUGAUCCUUAAUUCCCACCGAAUGAUCAGACAUGUCUGUUUGUCUUGUCCAUAACAAAUUAGAAACCUCCUUGAUUGUGAGAUUCUUAAGUUCAUCUAGGCUGUCACAUAAUAUGCAACCAUCUCAGAUUCAAAAACCACAUAUAUGGAAACUUUGCACGCAUUUCAUGGCACNNNNNNNNNNNNNNNNNNNNNNNNNNNNNNNNNNNNNNNNNNNNNNNNNNNNNNNNNNNNNNNNNNNNNNNNNNNNNNNNNNNNNNNNNNNNNNNNNNNNNNNNNNNNNNNNNNNNNNNNNNNNNNNNNNNNNNNNNNNNNNNNNNNNNNNNNNNNNNNNNNNNNNNNNNNNNNNNNNNNNNNNNNNNNNNNNNNNNNNNNNNNNNNNNNNNNNNNNNNNNNNNNNNNNNNNNNNNNNNNNNNNNNNNNNNNNNNNNNNNNNNNNNNNNNNNNNNNNNNNNNNNNNNNNNNNNNNNNNNNNNNNNNNNNNNNNNNNNNNNNNNNNNNNNNNNNNNNNNNNNNNNNNNNNNNNNNNNNNNNNNNNNNNNNNNNNNNNNNNNNNNNNNNNNNNNNNNNNNNNNNNNNNNNNNNNNNNNNNNNNNNNNNNNNNNNNNNNNNNNNNNNNNNNNNNNNNNNNNNNNNNNNNNNNNNNNNNNNNNNNNNNNNNNNNNNNNNUAUUGACAAAAUUGUAUAUGUCAGCAAAGAUAUUACAUUGUACAAUUUUGGAUAGAUUGAUAAUAUCCUCCAUUCAUUUUAUACUUUUUACACCAGUUAGUUUCUUCUUGUCGCACAGAGCUGAUAUCAAGACCUCCAGAAGUUUGGCUAAAUAUCAAGUCCUUGGUAAACCAGUCUUGAUCAACUCUUCAAGCAUUUGGGAUGAGUUUGAAGGUUAACGUAAAUAUUUAAAAAAAAAAACAAAAAACAAAAAACUCACAAAGCAGUUACCUUUUAGUAUUAAAGUUAGUAAUUUGGUACAAGACUUGGUAAUUUUGAAAUGUGGAGUAAACAAUGUGGUAAGUUGCAAAAAUAUUGUAAAUCGACAAACGAUCUAAUAAACUUAAUAAAUAAUUCACAUUAAAGCCGGUAUGCAAGAACUGGUCAGUAAAUUAAUGUUAAAAAAAAAAGUUGGUAAGAUACGAGUUAAAGUUUCGUAAUUUCAUAUGAAAACUGACAACUAUAAAACUAGGGAUGGGCAUGGGGUAUGGGAAAUCUGCACCCCGCGGUGGCCUUUUUGGACGAGGCAAAAUUCUGUCUUGAAAAUUGCCUCACAGGGAAUUUUACUCUCGGCACGGUUGGGCAUGGGCACUAAUAGGCCAGCCCUUCCUGUUCUCGAGGAUUGAAACUAUUACCGUGUUUAAUGAAGGACGGAAACAAGGGUUUAAUGAAGAAAGAUGAAAGUAAGCAUAGAAUAACGACUAGGGUUCUUUACCAAAAAAAAAAAAAAAAGCGACUAGGGUUUAUAGAAAAACUAUCACAAACUAGGGUAGAGAGUAGUUACAUAUCUCAAGGUAAUUAAAAUGAUUAAAUUUCUUAUCCAUUUUCUAGAGGUUCCUAGAUUUCUCUAUCCGUAACUACAACUACCUAGAAGUCCCUUAAUUGAAUUUUUGGUUUAUUAAGAUCUGGGGCCAUGAAUAGGUCCAUGGUUAAAGCAAGGGCAAUAACCAAUUUUUUUUUCACUUUUUACUGGACAGAAAUGGGUCCAAUAUUGGCAAACUUUAGAUCACUCGUAGAAGAAUGUUCAGUUUAAGGCUGUAGAUUUUGUCUAUGAACAAUUGGCCACUAGAGACGCCAAUGACCCCUACCCCGCUAUGAUGAAAGUAAAAGCCCAAGAUUGAUAAUACACCUAAAUCUAAGUCAGUUCUUCACAAACUAAUUAAGAUGCGAUAAGAUGUGUACUAGAAGAUUGAACAUCUAAUACAUGCAGAAAUCUUUUUUUUUUCUUUUUGCUCUUUUGGAUAAUGGCAUGCAAAGAUCUUUUUAGUGUUCGGUCUUGUAUAUUCAGACCAAAUAGGAAAACCAUGACCUAUAGCUUCCUCUUAUGGGUAUGUAAAACUAUCAUUAUGAAGAAGCUCUAUUAUUUUUGUGUAACUCAGGGGUGUGACCAUAAUUAGCCGGUUACCUCAAGUAAAACAGUAGCAAGGCAUAUGAAUUCCCUAAGGCCGAAAAGGAAUCCACAAGGAUCACUUUCUUCCUCUUGGCCGUGGAUUUUUGGAUAUUGCAAAGACUUAGUCUAUGCUAUAAUUUCCUUUUAUUCCUGCACAUUUUUACGUCUCCCUAAAGCACAUCAAACACUAACAACUAUUAACUAACACCGACCAUUAAUGGCUCGGAACACAUAAAGAAGCUCGUUAUGAGCCCUCUUAUUUUGGGCCGAUUCUUCUUCAGCUUUCAUUAGCAUAACAAAAGGAAGAAAUUUACAGGAAAACAUUGCAGGCAUAGGGUUGGGAAAAUUGCACCCAAAGUCCUUAACUUUAGCAAAUAAGUCUACUAGAAGUCCUAAAACUUGUUGUGAAAAGGGAAUCGAGUCAUAAAACUUGCAAAAACCGUAAUCAAGCCUUAAAACUUAUCAAAUUAGUUGAAUCGAGUCAUUCCGUUAACUCCGUUCAAUUAAGCUAACUGAAAAUGCUGGCGUGUCUUAUUUUAUUAUUUUCUUAAGACAUGUGGCGAUGAUGUAGCGCCCACCAAGUGCCACAUCAGAAAUAAAAUUUAAAGAAUACAAACAAAAUUAAAUUAAAAAAUAAAAAAGCUAAAAAUUUUAAAAAAGAAAAAAAAUCAAGUCGUGGCUAAGCCUCGCCCUAGCCUUCUCGAAGCCUGGGGACCCUCGUCUGGGCAUGCCAAGGCUCGCCAGGGCCGGCAAAGGCCUAGGCGACCUCACUAACCCCUCUCGGUGGCUGUGGCAACGGCCACCAGCAAGGGCUUGGCCAAGCCGUGGGGUGAGUUUUUCUUUUAAAAAAAUUUAUAGCUUUUUAUAUUUUAAUCUAAUUUUGCUUGUAAUUUUUAAAUUUUUUCUAAUGUGGCACUUGGUGAGCACCACGUCAUCGGCACUUGUCUAAUAAAAAAUAAAAUAAGACAUGUUCACAUUUUCCGUUAGCUAAUUGGACGGAAUUAACCAAAGGAUUCAAUUGAACCAAUUCGACAGGUUUUAAAACUUGAUGGCAUUUUUUGCAAAUUUUAAGAUUCGAUUGUACUUUCAUGAUAAGUUUUAGGAUUUUCAAUGCACAUAUCCUUAACUUUAUGUACGGAAUGCAAUUGAAGUUAAGAAACUUAAUUUAUUUUUUUCACACUUAUAUGGUCUUACUAUUUUAUCGAAUCUUAGAUCUUCAUGGAUAUCUUGGUUUUUUGGCAUUAUAGAUUAAUUAAUUAAGUUGAUAUACCUUAACACUAAUUGUUAUCAAAACUUAGUAUUAAAAUUGAAAAUUCAAUUUGUGCAAGAAACCUCUCCAUCUGAGCAAAAUUUCUAGCUCCCCAUUGCGUCAAAUCCAACCAUGCAUUACAUAAGGUUGGACAGCAGCAACCUGAAUCUAAUUAUUCUUUAGAGGAAAAAAAAUCGAAGAUGUCAAUAAGAAAAUAAAGUUAUGGAGAAGCAAAUGAUACCCAUGAUCUUUUAGAUUCCUUCCUUUAAUUCUGGCAACUGCUUUCAAAGCCUUCUUCCACUUCUUUACUAAAUCCUUCUCUGAGUCACUCUUGUGCUUUUGGAGGGCUUUCCAAUAUAAAUUAGUCUUAAGCUUGACAUCAUUCACAUCCACAUCAUAGAAGAUAGGGAGAAUCACUUUCUCAUCGUUAUCUUUCGAUAACUCCACUAUGCGUGCCAGCUCAUGGAGACACCAGCGUAGUUUUUGGAGAAAAUUGGGAUGUAAAUUCUGGAUUCAUUGAUCGCUUGCAAGAGGCUGCCUUCAAUCUCUUCACCAAAUCGAAGCUCUUCAUUGUCUUUGAAAGUGCAGAUCCCCGCGCGGAUCAUGUCAUUGUAGAGAGAAUCAAUGAUGGUUAAGCGGGUGUCAGGCCCUCUGAAGUUGAGGAACACCUCAUAGCCCCUCCUUGAUCUGUCAUCACGGCUGCUGCUCAUUGGAGCUGCCAUUUCUGUUUCUUUUCCCACCCUCUUUCUCUUCAUUCCGUGAGGACAAUGGCUAUUGAUCUCUGAAUUGAGUCCGAUCCUUGUAGCAACCUGACAAAAAGCAACAGAGUGAGAUCGCUCGCUUACUUCCACUACGUUCGCCUGUAAAAAAGACCAUUUAGACUCGCACAAAAUAGGAGGUUGAGGCAACAAUUGAUCAAAGACUUCGAAGAGGAAGAGGUCGUCCCGGGGAUGUUUAUUUUAGCUGAAGUGCAACAUGAUUGAGAGUAUAUGGAAGCAUGUAAUUGAUCAUAUGGAAACAGAUAGCUCAUAUGUAAUUAUCACACAUAAACACAAGUUGUCCUGUGUAAGUCACAAUUCUAUAUAGUCAAGCUAUCACUGACCAUGUCUUCAUCUUCUAACAACUUGAUAAACAAACAGAGUGAGAUCACUCACUUCCACUGCGUUUGCCUGGAAAUUGUUGGGAAAAUAUGGCUUCGAAUUGGGUAGAACAAUGAAGUCGGAUCUUUAGAGUACUCAAGUCGGACUUUGAGGCGUGAUAUUACUUUCUUUAAGGAUUUAUUUGCCCCACUACGUUGCUAAUGGUUACCGGCAAAUUUCCUCCAGGAUACAACAAAGUCUCAAGUGAGAAUACUAGAUAGCAAUUCUAGUAUUUCUCCAGGGUCUCUCAUGGGAAACAAUUAGAAACAAUGGCUGUAAUUUCUUUUGAAAGAAGACGAAAAUUGAAAGAUGAUUAUUAUUUGAUCUCAAAACAAACGUACUUAUAUAUGUCUUUCGAAUAGAGGCAACUCUUCAAAAGAUUACAAAUGAACAAAGGCAACCUUUCGGGAAAGAUUACAAAAUGAAUAAGUAUGUCUCAAAAGUUACGUUGAAAAGACAUAAGAAAUUCGAAAUUAAAUAAAUAAAAAAUAAAUGUAACUUUUCGUGAACAGUCGCACUGUUUCAACAAAACUUUAUAAUUAUUUUUUUUAUAAAAUUAAAUCCGAAUUUUCAAUAAAUAAAAUUAACGAUUGUUGGUUAGUGCCAAAUCUCGUCCACGUGCGCACUCACAUCUUUUCGAUGUGGGACAAGGCACUUCUUCAUUUGUUUUAUAAACAAAUUACCAACAAUCCCCCACUUUUGUUUAUAAAACAAAAAACAAAAAAAUAAAACGUUAAAGAUAUACAGCCAAAAUUUCCGUGAGAUUAAUAUACAUACAUAAAGGUCUCUUUCGAGUUAAACCUUUACUUAGUGCAAGCAUCUCAAAGCUCCAUCAAAGUGACAAGUAGCUCGGCUUUAAACUUGUACUUUUAUAUAAUAAAACCGGACAUACCGCACAUACACUAACCUCUUGUUUCAGCGAGAAGUUCUAUAUUACUCCGCACUAUUAUGGCCUUGUGCUUGAUCCUGUUUCAUGAGCUCUCUAGAAAGCAACCCUAACUUUCGUAAGAAGCGGCACCACUUCUAAGCUCAUAUAGGUGAAGUAUCUACCAUGUGUUUUUGUUACUAUCAACACAUUACAUGUUUGUAUUAUACUUCAUUAAGAAUUUAAUUCAACCUACAAAACGUAACGGACGAUACUGACUUCUCAUAUCAGGGCCAUGUCAGUAUCAAACAAUCACAUUCAAUAACUUGUUCUUACCCAUUAAACCUUGUAACUAGUGAUAUUCUAGAAAAAGGUCGGGUUACCAUUAUUGGUGAUUUCAAUUAAAGGAUUUUAGCCCCGUUUCUUAUGAGGUCAUUAUUACCAUGUCUCUUGGUAAAGCCUUUAUCAAAUGAUCGGCAAGAUUAUUACUUAACCUCACAUAGACAAUUGUUAUGGUACCAUCUUUAGUCAAUUGUCUCACAUAUUCAUGUCUUAGACUAAUAUGUCUAGACUUUCCAUUGUAGGUUCUACUAUAUGCUCUUACCAAAGUAGCUUAACUAUCACAGUGGAUAGAAAUAGGAGGGAUUGGGCCAUAAUUUGAUAUCCAACAACAGAUUUCUAAUACAUUCGGCCUCUUUCCCAGUUGCUACCAAGUAAUGAUUCAAAUGUCAUAGUUGAGUGAAUUAUGCACAUUUGUUUCUUGCUCGCCCAAGAAACAACACAUUCACGUAAUGUGAAAAUCCAUUCAGAAGUUUCAUCUCCCACACUUGUAAUCCAAGUAGCAUCGGUGUAUCUUUCUAAUACAUCCGAAUAAUUAUUAUAGAACAAUCACAAUUUUUUAAAAAAAAAUAAAUAACCAAAACUCUAAUAAUAGCCUUUCAAUGUUCUAUAUUUGGAUUACUAAUGUACUCACUCAACUUGCACAAAAUUAGAUCUAGUUUAAUGCAUCGCAUACAUUAAAGAUCUUAUAGCACUAACAUAUUUAAAUUGUGCUAUUGCUCUACUAGUAUUUUAAUAACCAAAACUCUAAUAAUAACCCCCACUAUUUUUUUUAAUUUAAUAUUUAAGAUAGUAUUGUUUCACCCAAAUCUUUCAUUUUGAAAAUGAAAGUCAGAUACUUCUUAAUCUCAAUGAUUCCAAUCAUAUUAGUUCCAAAGUCCCCUUUAGACAUAACCCCACUUCAAGAAUAUUCCAAGAGGUACUUAAUCGAAAAUAUGCAUCAUCAAAUUUUCAUCAUCGAUGAAAUACAUACAUCAAAAUAGUAAAUCAAUGUAAUUAUACUCUCUUGGCUCAUUUAUGCUAUUCCAUAGAAUCAAAUCUACGAGGGGCGAGGAAAACAAAUAAAACACAUUAGAACCAAGCAAGGGGCACCUGAAAUCCCAUUCAGUAUAUCUAUUUCACCUCCAUAAAUAGAGCGCUACAUAUUAGCCCAUGCAUGUAAUGACAUUCUCUAACAAUCCAAUAAAUGCGAGCAAAUCGAGUAUGGAGGUAUCAAAAGCACAUAAACUAGGAUUGAAAGGGGAAAAACAAUUCUUGGAACGGAAUCAACAACAUCAUAUAAGCCGAAACCUUCCGAAAUAUACAAUAAGAUCCAUACCUUGGCACUGAUCAGCAUCAAGACCAACGUCAUCAAACACAAAUCCAAUAGACCUGCAUGUGUCACGGACAAUUUUCUCAUAGUCUUCAUUGGCCUUGGUGGUAAUUUCUCUGAACACCAUGACCAUGUUGGUCUUGGUGCAUGUUUCACAAGCAACCUUGCUGUCGGGGUUCGGUUUUGUAGAGUUUAAUGUCUCCAUCCCCGGCAAGGCUCUUAUCAAUAAGAUUAGUCUUAUUCCCAAGUAAAAGCCACCGUGGAUAUCAAACAAAGGAAGCGCAUGCCCACUUUCUUCCUGCCAGUGAAUUUGACAAUCCAGUGAACGAGCCUCCCCAAAUAAUUUGGCAUCUUGCUCGGCUUUUGGAGCGGCAACGGAGGAAGCGGGGUCGUUUGGAUUUGCAACCCAUCAUUUUGGAGGAGCAGCUUUUGUUGUUUUAGAGAUCCAUAGCUACCAAAGCGUAUUCCCAAUGACCCUCUAGUCAUUGUUCCUCCAAACCCAUAUUUGGCGUUAUCAUCUCUCUCCUCGUUUUGCCAAACAAAUCAAAAAAUAGAUUCCAUCGAUUCAAUGAAAUCUGAACAAAAAGAAUGAACGUCACCUUUGCUUAAUCAAGCCAAAGACUCAGAGGGUGCCUCCGGUCCAUCUGCUAAACAAUAUCUUUCCCCCGGUAAGUGUUCACGUCACAUGGCAAUUUUUGCUAGACACGCGCCACUGACAAAUUUUCGUGUCUAAUUCAUCGGCCUAUUCCGAUGCGGGUAAUAAUCAUCAUUUAGGCCUUGGAUCCAGCAACAUCAUCUCACCCAUAACCACCAUUAGUAACCACGGGGCAUAAAACAUAAGACAAAGAAAAUGAUGAAUUAGAAAACGCAUUUGAUCAUUGAAAUGACUGAGAAAAUAACUAACAUGACUUAAUUCAAGUCAAAAACAAAACCAACUAGCAUUAGAGAUAUCGUGACAAAAAGUAUUAGCAAAUGGAAAACAUCAUCAGCACAUGAUCAAACACAAAACUUGGCGAUAGUGUUCGACCACACUUGAACUACUUACACAGAAUAAUCAUCAAGAAAAGUUUCUUUUCUAUUGGAAGAAUGAUCGAACGCACCGUGAGUAUGAAUGAUUUCUAUAAUCACCAGAGAACAAUUGCAAUUGUAUGGAAGUAGAGGCGCUGACCAAUUUGCGAGCAGCCUUUGCAAGAAAUAGUUCCAAUCCUCUGGUCAUUGAUAGAAGCAAUCUUCUGCGCCGUCAUUGCUCACCCAGGAGGAACCCGCAUGGGAUGAACCGGCACCUUUGUUCCCGUUACCAUGUUUGUCCCUUAAACAUGUGCCAAACGGCGGGAUCAUCAAAUGGGUUCGGGUUCCGAAUCCCGUUGUCAGACCAAGGAGUGUUGUCAUUGGACUUCUAAAUGAAUUCCGGAUCGAGGAGCAACAGAUCAUCCUCGAGACUAUGGUUGAGGUUUAGGAGGAGAUACUCAAGAUAGUCAUCGCCCUUCAUGAUCCUUGUCUUCUCGUUCAAACAACGGAACUUCGGAUCUUUCCAUCUCCGCGUCUGCAUACGCUUGAUAUAAAAACGAUGGCUUUUACGUGCUCCGCCAGAGAAAGGCGAUUCGCAGAUUUUUCCUUGCCGGUCUGCGAUCACAGCAUUGACAUCGAGCAGUGCCUCAUAUUACUCUGGACCAAAGGAUCGCUGAAUCUCCUCCCGAACAACCAAUUUGCAUCAGAGACGGAGUUGGUGGAAUUCAUGGCGACCUGGUUCUUGGUGGCGUCGUCGAUCAAUUUAUCUCAUUUUUCUGCCAUCGAUUCCUUUGUAUGCACAUCCACACCCUUCGGACAUCUUUCUCGGACGAUCAGCAUGGACGGAUGUGGGAAUACUCCAAGAUACAGAGAGACAAAGAAUGACAAAAAAAAAAAAUGCUCAGAUUUUCAAUCUUAAUGACAAAGAAACGUAGGCAAAAUUAAAGUCUACGCAAUAAUGAGAUUAUUAAACCACAUCCCCUUCUCAGAUUUACACAAAAAUCGCAAAUUACUUUAGCAGGGAUGUCUAAAAGAGCAUUUUGACAAACCAUUCUGUGCGGUUCAUCCACUUGACUCCAUUGUUGCGAAAUAAAUCCUUAAAAUUAUUGGGGAAAAUAUGGCUUCGAAUUGGGUAGAACAAUGAAGUCAGAUCUUUAGAGUACUCAAGUCGGACUUUGAGGCGUGAUAUUACUUUCUUUAAGGAUUUAUUUGCCCCACUACGUUGCUAAUGGUUACCGGCAAAUUUUCUCCAUGAUACAACAAAGUCUCAAGUGAGAAUACUAGAUAGCAAUUCUAGUAUUUCUCCAGGGUCUCUCAUGGGAAACAAUUAGAAACAAUGGCUGUAAUUUCUUUUGAAAGAAGACGAAAAUUGAAAGAUGAUUAUUAUUUGAUCUCAAAACAAACGUACUUAUAUAUGUCUUUCGAAUAGAGGCAACUCUUCAAAAGAUUACAAAUGAACAAAGGCAACCUUUCGGGAAAGAUUACAAAAUGAACAAGUAUGUCUCAAAAGUUACGUUGAAAAGACAUAAGAAAUUCGAAAUUAAAUAAAUAAAAAAUAAAUGUAACUUUUCGUGAACAGUCACACUGUUUCAACAAAACUUUAUAAUUAUUUUUUUUUAUAAAAUUAAAUCCGAAUUUUCAAUAAAUAAAAUUAACGAUUGUCGGUUAGUGCCAAAUCUCGUCCACGUGCGCACUCACAUCUUUUCGAUGUGGGACAAGGCACUUCUUCAUUUGUUUUAUAAACAAAUUACCAACAGAAAUUACUUGCGGCCUUCCUUCACAAGUUAAUAAAAUAAAAUAAAAUAAGCAUUCAGGCUCGCGCCAAAUAGAAGGCCAAGUUGAGGAAAUAAUUGAUGAAAGUCUUCAAAGAGCAGGAGGUUGUCCUGGAAAUAUAUUUUUUAACUGCAUGUUGGUUAAAGUGUUGGAUGUAUUGGACAACUUGCCAUUACUUUGUCAUUAUUCUUCCUUUUGUAUGGAAGUCACCUGCGGCCUUGCUUCAUAAGUUGAAAAAACCAAUUCAGAUUCGCACCAAAUAGGCAGCUAAGGGAAAUGGUCUGACCAACUGGAUGAGUGGAGUCCUCGAACGUGGUCGGUGCAUGACCCGAGACUCCAUGUAUGUGAUAAUUUUUUAAUAUGUAUUGUAAUGUUAAAAAAAAAAAAAUGGCUUUCCGGUGACACCAACUCCACUUUUUGAAAAAUUUGCAUCCAUUCAUUGAAUGCCAUGGAUUCAUUUUCUGAAUGUUGACUUGCGACAUGAAAUUUGAUGAUUGCAUGUCGUUGCAUUAUGAAGGAAAUAUUGUAUUUUAAUCAAGUACAUCAUGAUUAUGCAUGUUGUCGCGGCCCAGCUGAGGUGAAACUUGAGAGAAUUCAAUUAAUUGCUAGGCGGAGACAUAUAACUCUCUUGCAACUCGGCGCUUACGCUUCGUAUGGCUCACCCAAAUCCUAUGGACCACAACUUGAUUUCUCUUUUAAUGUAUGAUUGAAUUUUGAUCAGAGCUGUCACUAAUCUAUUCAAGGCCGGUUGUGAGCUAAGUGAGGAAGAAGAGCUCGUCCUACUUCAGCAAAUCAAAGAUUUUGGACCGAGGAUUUGGUUAAGUUAGUUUUGCCUAAUGCCACCACCAGUAGCUUUUUUUCUUUUAAUAAAAAAUUAUUUCAUUCAAUAUAUUUUCAGUUUCUAUUUCUUACCAUGUAUAAGUACUCUUACAAUAAAUUUAAACAAUCAAUGAUGAAGUCAAAGAAAAAUAAAGAACAUAAUAAAGCAACUCAAGCAGUAUCGGACAAAACAAUACAACGCGCUUUGAACUAUUCAUAGGAAUAGACUUGCACUAUUCUAAUAAAUGAAAAUUUCCUAAUUUAUGCCAUGAGAAAUGAAUUCUGAAUACAAUAUGACAAAACUAGCAAUAAUAAAAAUUAGUCUCAUCCUAUAAUGUACCGCGAAGAAGGCCUAAACUAAUCAAAAUGCUUCUUUUCGUACUCUUUUUAUAAUAUAUAUAUAUAUGAAAAAAUUAAACUAAACUUAAUUAAAGGAAUAUAAUAAACGCGUAAUCAGAAAGAGACGACAUCUAAACUCUAAGCCGGAAGGGAGUAUGGGGGAAAUUGAUACCUAUUUGAACAUCUCUGUUUUCACGUCUGCAGAAAAGACACGUGAAUGCAAACUCAUGUAUAUGAAAAUGCAAUAUGCUGGAAUUUCAUGAAAAGUGACUCGAAAUGUGUAACUAUAUUUUAUGUGAUGCUAAAACGGACUAAUAAACAAAGGGGGAUCCCCGAGUACCGCUUCGGCGAAGAGCAAACCAACCGGGAUUGGGCUGGAUGAACAAUGUUCAGACAGAAGACGGUCUGGACAAUGGACAUUCGACCUAUCCCCGAGUUUAAAAACAGACCCGAAGCGGGCCUUGACAAUCCUAGAGCAAUUACAAACCAAAGGGACCAUCGAGGACCAACCUUGAGAGUCUCAAACAGACCAAAAGUGUUAUUAAGUAUUAUCAAACUCAAGUGAAGUCAGAGUCUGAAUAUUGACAGUAAUAUGAUAAUAUUCACUAGCGUGCAAAAAUAAUAAACGAAAGUUAAGAAAUAGAAGAAAUUGCACAUAAGAUUUACAAUGCUUCGGCUUAGAGUAAACCUAUAUCCACUCUCCCACACUGACAACCUACUAGCUGAAUUUCACAAGAUGUUAUAGAAGGGAGUGAUGAUACUCAGGUUUGUGAUAUACAAUCACUCUUUCAAUGCCUCUCAAGGAUUACAAUUUGUAGCUCACGAAAGGCAAGUACAUAAGAUUGAAGUUCUCUUGGACUUUGAAAUUUUUAAUUCUGACCUCUCUCUUCUCUUUGGUACCUUGGUCUUCUUCUAUACUCCUUCACUUCUAAUCUAAUGUUGGACAAUUUUUAGAGAAAUAUUAUCCAAUCAACCCAUUGGACAAAAAAGAUUGAGUAGCCGUUGAGGGAUAAGAUUUUAAUCUCCAUCUAUUUUGUUGCCCAUACAAGCAAAUAUUGGCUUCCAUAAGUAGAGUUCUUCAAUGAAGGAAAGCAGCUUACCUUUGGAGUGACUAUCAAUCAAUCAAGAUCAUUUGCAUAGAGAUUUUGUUGGCAAACAGUCUUUAAAAUUGAAGAUCAGUCAAUGCAUUCUAUUUUGGAAAUCUAAGCCAGGUCACUAGCUAUGACGAUAUAAGAAGUGGGGUUUGUGUCUAAACAUAUCGUCAUAAAUAGAUUUCGUAAUAUGAUAUUCAAAUUUAGCUAAGAAUCUAAAAACAUCAAGUAAUAUGAUGAUAUCUGUGUAUAAGCUAUUACGUUGAUGAUAUUUCUACAUAAGCUCUGUUGAUAUCCUUACUCUUGCUCUGAUGACAUUUGCAUAUAAGUUUUGCUAAUAUCCUCACUAUUGCUUUGGUGAUAUUCAUGCAAUAAUAUUGAUGAUAUCCAUGAAGUAAUUGUCUUAAACUUCAAAGGCGAUACACAAACAGCAAUAGAUAGAUUCUGAAUGUGAUCAAAAUAUAUAUAGAUUUAUCCUUCAUGAGUAGUUCCUAAAAUAAAACACUUAUGCAUUUACCAAUAUCAAUAUAACCUUUGCUGAUAUCCUUAAUAUUUCCCAUUUCCGACGUGAGGUUGGUACGCUUGUGGGCCCAUAUAGUUAGGCAAUACUUAUUGGCCUUUUGUGCGGGCAUCUUUGAAACGGGGUCAUGUACGGAGGACUCCCCGCCUUGGUGCACUUUCGCUUCCAUCUCUUCGUUUCUUUUUUAUUUUUAAUUUGGUUUUAUUUUGAUAACUAUUUCUCUUUUCUUUUUACUUUGGCUAUAUGAGCUCGCAAGGAAAUGAGAAAUGAGAGAGAACCUUUGUUCCUAGCUCGAUCAUGAUGGCUGGGAGUCUCUUUGAACCCGAGAAUGGCGCUAGUUGAGUAUGUAAUGUAGACACCGAAGAUUUGAGCAAAGUUGACCGAGAGUCAAACUUCAUUAAAAGUUGAGUCGAAGGGCAUAAUUGGGUUGUACUUGUCUAGAGCUUUCCAAAUAUACCCAAUUUUCCCAAAUUGAACGGCUAAUCUUAAGAUAUCAAGAUCAGAAUCACAAAGAUCAGAAUUUUAUGGCAAAAAUAUUAUAAACUUUUUGCUAACUUCAUCCAUUUGACCUGGCUGCCCAAAAUCCACAAUCCGAGGUGGACAACAUUUUAGCUUUCCGCGUGGGGAAGGAGAAGGGGGGGUGUUUUGGGUUCAAUUGUACAUUAUACGGAAAAGUUAUGCUCGCCCAAGUUCAAUCAAAUUUUGGUAAAAAAUGCGUAAACAUUAAUUUUUGAGAUUUAAAAAAAAAAAAACAAUGUUGAUGCUCCGUCGAAGAGGACAAUUACUGGAAUAUGUACUACUUAUUUAUAAAACACAUUUUUAUCCUAUUCGUUGUUUAAUUCAAUUACUUCGGCUAAGUUUAAAUUAAUUGUUCUGCCUAAGCCUACAUCCAGAUAUAAUCAUUUUUAGCUUUAAAUGUUGACACAAUAUAUACAUAGCACAGGGAAAUAACACGUAAGUAGGGGAUGACAUGUAANNNNNNNNNNNNNNNNNNNNNNNNNNNNNNNNNNNNNNNNNNNNNNNNNNNNNNNNNNNNNNNNNNNNNNNNNNNNNNNNNNNNNNNNNNNNNNNNNNNNNNNNNNNNNNNNNNNNNNNNNNNNNNNNNNNNNNNNNNNNNNNNNNNNGAUUUUAGUUGGCUGACCUUCUUCGAAGUUUAUGUACUUUAAUUUAACUUAAUGGUUCAAAAAAUCGAAAGAUAUUGGUUAAAGUUUUCUAUAUUUUUUAAUUUCAAGUCCACGGUAAUGUUAAUCUUUUACCCAAUCUGAGUUUUGCUUUGCAAACAAAAUGUACAAAAAGGAUCCCUUUUGUUGAGCUGAGAGGGUCCUGAGAGAGAAACUUUAGUUCAUUCUUUUUGUGGAAAUUGUGAAGAAAAUGCAGUUCCUCCUACAUAAGGAGAUCAAUAAAGUUGAGAUUUUCAAAAAAAAUUAAUAUUGAAUGAGGGUAUUUAUGCUUUUUGAUGAUAUCAACCUGAUUUUCUUGGUAUUUUCCAGGUCUUGAAAUUGCAAAACACGUCGUGCGUGUGAACACACGAACAGAGGAAUCUAUUUGAUGUGGAAUUUGGCUGUGUGCAAACGAAUUGACUAGACAAACAUACUUAGGUGCUUUUGUUUUUGCUUUUGCUUUCACAAGAGGGUCGGACAAAGACUUGAGGAUGGACUUGCGUAUAUUUUAAGCAAAGAAAACUUAUUUCAUCUUUAUUUCUUAAGGAAGUUCACUCUCUCUCCUAACUCAUAUAGACUUCAUUGGAUUAGUCUUGCUAGUACUCAGAUCCACAUAAAUCAGGUCCAUCACAAAAUUGCUAAUCAAAUAAAUUGUACAUGGAUCACCAAAAAAUAUAUGGAUGUGAUCACAAUGGGUCUACAGACCAUGAUCUAUGCAACUAUUUUCAUGUAAUGGUUAAUUGAUUAACCAAUAUUAGUCAUAAUGCAAACUGUUGCAAUUUGUAAAAACUUGAAAAGCUUUAUUUCACAAUUGACAUCCAUUACUUUGUGAUGUAACAAUUGGGGACCCUCCUAGAAUUCGUUUUGGAAAGAUCGUAGAAACAUCCACGUAAGGACCAAAUAUUUUUUUCUUUUUUCUUUUUUCUUCUUUUUUUAGCAUAAUUUUCUUUCUUAUUGGAGCCAAACCCAGACUUUUGACUUAAUCAUGGUUAAAAUUGACUGCUUUUCGCCAAUGUCAGGAAUUUAAUCUAGGCGAUGACGUCUCUAAUGGAUCAAUGGAUUUGAACCUUUCUCUGGCUCCAUUGAAUGAAGUCUAGAUUUAUUAUUCACACACGCACAUACACAUAAAAUGUUACCAUGUCCUGAACAUGUCAUUAUGUCUUUUUUAAGAUGGGCACCAAGUUUGAAAUCUAAUAUUAUGCAAUUGUAUUGAAUCACUAUCCAUGUGUGCAGACAUCUAAAAUAUUUUAUCAAUGUUGAUUAUUAACUUAAUAGAAAUAUUAGGCUUCUCAUACAAGCAACUCAAUUUAGGAAACAAGAAGUGAGAGGAAAGAGGCUCGCGAAUCAAUUAGAAUUGCAUCCACGAUGGACUAGUGGUGGUCCUACUUACGUUAUGCUAACUUAGCUAGAAAAACCUAUAUUUAUCACCUAAUUUUCUGCAUUUGUUGCAAAUGUUUUGUAUGUGUGAUGUACUUUAGAUCGGUAGUAAAGAGUAGCAUAAAUUCAUCACAUGGAACAACUUUUCAAUGCAAGGAUUCAGCCUCUACCUCUUGUUCUCCCAUUUUUCUUAUCUUUCUCUUGUUCUCUCUGAAUAGAGCAAGAGUUCCCAUUGGCAAGAUAGUAUCUCCUGCAAGGGUUAAUUUCUACACACGACUCGACUGCAAUUGGGAGUAUAAUUUUAAAUGUCAUUUUUUAGUAUCAACUUUUAAAAUAUCAAAGUUGUGACUAUUUGAGCUUUCUACACAGUAGUGGCGUGGGUACUGCAUUGAUUGACUUAAAAUAAACAUCUCAACAACUAGGCUUCUUGCAAAUAUCCAGCUCAAAGCGUGAGAAAUACUUGUCCAGACCUUGACCCUUGGAUCACGUGCAAUCAUAAUCAUUAAAAACUCAAGGGAGUUCUGUAAACCCAGGUCACUCACAGCUAUGGUUGACUCCAGGUCACACUGAUUGUGCUUGAACAAUGUCAAGACAAAAAAUUUAACCCCGAAAUACACGCAUAUGUAUAUGUAUCAGCAUCACAGUGGCUCCUCCUGCACAUAUGACCAGACAAAAAAGUCUCCUCCAAAAUCAAUGUAAAAGGAUCGUUGUCCAAUGACUAAUGAUUCUUGGAAACUACUGGAGACAAGAAAAAGUAGGGCAACUUAGGCUUUGUUCAUUCGUUUCAUGGAAAAUGAACAAGUCAAGAAAAUCAUUCUUUGCUGUUAAAAAAAAACACUUUCAAAAGUGAAGAAAAUAUUUUUUACAUUUCAAAAAGUGCAAAACAUUUUCCAUAAUUUCUUUCACCUCACUUUCUUUCACCAAACACAUUUUCUUUUUCUUUUUAUGUUUUCUUUUUAUUUUUUAUUUUUAAAAAAAGUGAGUUUUUAAUUAUUUUUUCUUUUUCUUUUUCUUUCCUUUUCUUUUUCUUCUUCCUUGGUUGGUCGUUGGCCACAGGCUAGCUCGAGCCUUGCCACAAGUCAGUGAGGCUCAAGCUCACUAGAUACCGGCUAGGCUUGAGCUCGCCAGCUUAUGGCAAGGCGAGUGAGGCUCUAUCUUACCUAAUCCAAUGAGCUCAAGCUCACCCUCACCAAAUUUGGCAAGGCCCAAGCUCGCCUAGCUUGCCGGAUCUGAUAAGGCUCGAGCUCGCCCGACCCACCUUAGGUGAGCUCGAGCUCGCCAACCUUGGCGGAGCUUAGGCUUGCUUGGAUCGACUGAGCCUUGAGCUCGCCGAUCCAUGUCUUGGUUAGUCACCAAGUAGCUAGCCAUCAUCAAGGCACGUGGCGGCAGAGGAAGGAGGAGGAAGAAGGAACAAGGAAGAAGAAUGAAGGAAAAGAAAAAGAAAAACAGAAAAAAUAAUAAAAAUAAUAAAGAAAUCAUUAAAAAUUCAAAAUUAAAAUAUAUAUAUAAAUUAAAAUUAUUUUUCUGGUCAAUUUAGAAAAAUUCAAAUUCAAAUUUUUUGGCAAUAUUUCCAACAAAAUCAAAUCAAAUACCGAACAGUGAAAAUUUCCACUUCAUUUUUAAGUUUCAGUCGAAUACCAAAAAAUAUUGUCAUAUUUUUGGAAAAUACUUUUAGUUUUUGCAAAACAAAUGGAGCCUAGUGAAUGGACAAUGCAAUCAAGGUCAGUGACCGAUGGUUGAUGGUUUUGCAUGGUACUCAUUGUUGUGACUUGUCUGCAGGGAAAAGAAAGUCGUCCUUCGAAAGUGACUUGUCUGCAGAAAAAUCAUUGUUGUGACUUGUCUCCUUUCUCUUGAUUAUUAUUCUAUUCAACUAGAAACCGAUCAAUUAGGUUUUUCUAGCUUCGCUAGCAUACCGUAUUUUAAUUCAAGCUAUGCAAUUCGAACAUGGGAUCUCAGUCUAAACGCUUUUCCUAGUGCCUUUCAUUUAGACAUAUAUAGGAUUAUAAUAACAUAAGAUGAUGUAAAGUGGUUUGGCUCCAAAAACAUACUAUUUUGCGCGACCUCUAAGAUAGCAUUGUGGAUCCCCUCUAUAUUUUUUGUCUGUUUUGGUUUUGGAGAGAAAUCUCUUCAUCGAUUUCUAGGCAAAAAAAUAGCAGACUGUAAUUGCUUUUGUUCUGCUUAUUAACUUGAAAAGGUUUAGCUUUUCUCGGCCGGAGCCACACUUCCAUUCUGCUUUUGCUAAGCCAAACAAAGUAGUUCUUAUAUUUAAUCCAGAUUCGCGCUAAUUGGCAUGAUCGAUUUGCCUUUAUUCCACUUACUACUUCUUUUUUUCCUUUUGUCAAGGCAAAAUUGUGAAAUGUAAAUAUGGCGCCAAGUCGGCUUCUGCCCUUGAGAGUCGUAGAUUGACCGUAAUGCAUGAUGUACAGACAAUUGUUUGUGCAAUCCCGCAAAAUUUUUCCAAAUCUACUGAUGGCCUCUGCACUUUAUGGCCUUGUUAUAUUCAUGAUGUGGGAAAAAUUACCGUAGAUAAGAACUAACAUUCUUUUUUUCAUGGAAAAGAAAAUGUAUCUCGUUGUAACUUUAAUUUACAAUUCCCUAUUAAAUUUUUACCAUAUACUUUUGUCCAUUAUCUGUUCGCGCAAUAACUAGCAUGAGGGAGAGAGAGAGAGAGAGAGAGAGAGAGAGAGAGAGAGAGAGAGAGAGAGAGAGAGAACAAAAAUGGAAAAGAAUAGAAAACAAAGACAAACAACCGUGAAUCCAAGUGCCUACAAGGCCGGAGGCUGUAGAGAGUGAUGGAAGCAGAGCUCGACGACUGGAGACGAUGGCCGAAGGUGAUAGGCAGAGUGGAGUUCGAGGGCGGUAGAUUGUUGUCGAUGAAGAAAGUUAAGCUUUGGAGGUGUGAGUGCAUUCAGGAACAAGAGUACUGCCGGUCCAAUUUUGAGGAUAACGUUUGUGUGCUUGGUGUUUUUUUAAGAUAUAAAGUGGUGUUUUGGAAAAUAGAGGAUGAAAAGUAGUAGUAAUAUGAAUAGUGCGGGCAUAUUCUAGUACUUUCCUAACAGAAGAAUAAGAGAACUUAAUGGAAAUUAGUGCGCACUAGGUUGGUCGUGUAUAUUUUUUACCUUCUUAAAAGAAAUAAAUCUCUUUUACACGCUCUAUGUGUAUAUUCUUUGAUCAAAGAGAUAGAUUAUUAUCUUGUAAAAUAUUUUGAUUGGAAAAAUUCUCUCAAAUGAUGAAAAUUGUCAAUGACAUCAAGCAUUCAAGAUCAAAUGGUUAAGUUAAGAAUAGCAGUUCUAAAAACUCCCUAUGAAAUUAGUUUUAGUCCGAAACAAGUUUUUCCAUCUUUGCGAGAGGACCCAUUUUCCAACUUGAGUGUUCAAUGUCACUUUCACUGAGAUUGACUUAUUUAAUUGAUCAAUUACACUGAAUUUCGUUUACCUUGCAAUUCACUAUAACUAAUCUUCCUGGUAACUUUACACACGGUGAGCUAUGUGGCAUUUUUGGCCAUGUAUGCACAAAAAAUUAAAAAUUAAAAAUAAUAGAAAAUAGAAAAUAAUUAACGCAGAGAGAGAGAGAGAGAGAGAGAGAGAGAGAGAGAGAGAGAGAUGGCAUUUUUUGCCAUGUAGGCAAAAAACUUGAAAAAGGAUAGAAAAUGAGAGCGAGAGAGAGGGGCUUAACAUCACUUUCCACAAGGUGAUUCCACUUAAAAAAUCUCAUUACUAUUUUUUUGAAAUGUCUAAACUUUAAAUUGGCUUCAUCAUUUGAAAAGUCAAAAAGUGUUGGUUAAAGUGUUGUAUAUACUUUAAUUUCAGGUCCAUGUAAUAGAUCCUUUUUAUUGAGUGAAGGAGUCGUGAUAGAGACUUUAGCUAAUUCUUUAUGGAAACCACGUGGACAUUGUGGUUCCUCCUUCACAAUGAUUCCAACAAAGUUGAGAUUUUUGAAACAUUUUAUUCUUGAAUGUGUAUCUUUGUGCUUUUUUUUUUAUGAUAUCAACCUGAGUUUCCUAGUAUUUUCGAGGAACUGAAAUUGCAAAACACAUUGUGCUUGUGUGAAAUUGACUAGACAAAGCAUACUUCAAUGCUUUCUCUUUUGCCUUCACAAGAGGGUCAGACAAAGACUUGACGAUGGACUUGUGUAUGUUCUAAGCAAAGACAAAAGGUCAAAAAUUUGUUCUUAAUUCGAACUAUGCAAUUCAAUUAUGGCGUGAAUCCUACAAUCCCAAUCAAGAUAUUUUUCAUAGUGCAUUUCUAUUUGGACAUACACAGAAUAAUAAUAACAUAAGAUGAUUUAAGGGGAUGAUUCAAAAAAUAGAUUAUUUCAAUUGGCACAUUAGGUCCACUCAAAUUUACAAAGCAAGCAUAAUGGAUCUCUUCCUUCAUUUCUAGGCUAGAAAAAACAUUGAUUUUGUUCUGGUAAUUAAAUUAAAAAGAAAAAGAAAAAGAAUUAACUGUUCUCAGCUGGAGCCAAAUUCCAUUCUACUUUUGCUAAGCCAAACAAAGCAGAUCUUCUAACUUUCAAUCUAGAUUCGCGCUAAUCAGCGUGAUCAAUUGAUUCUUACCUUUAUUUCACUUACUACGCUUGAUGUACAACUAAAAUGCCAAUUGUUUAUGUUUGGUGUUCACACAAUCUUAAAUUUUUCAAUUAGAAUUUUGUUCAUGACCACCCUCCCCCCCCCCCCCCCCCAAAAAAAAAAGAUCUAGCUCAUUAAUAUUCUAUUUGAACGGCCCACAAUACUAAUCAAGUUUUUAUUAUUUUGUUCAGUAAAAUAUUUGAUAGUAACAAAAAAAUAAAGGGUGAGUUAUUUAAGAUUUGUAAUUUACAUAUAUAAUUACAUAAAUGCAAAGGAUAAUAUUUGAACUUAUUGAGCUAAAGCUUGAACUCAUUUUAUAACGGUGAUUGUAUCGAGUCAGACUUGAGCUUGAGCUUGAGCUUGAUAUCUUGAUUUUCUAUUGGUCAAGCUCCAACUAGAAAUUGAUUUCUCUAUAACUUGAGUGGAGUUUUGAGUGAUCUAAUAUUUGAUAGGAGUUGAGCUCGAGCUUCACACUAACGGAGUAUUAUACAUCUGAACAUUGGUAGGUUAGAGUGCGAAGCAAUGGUACUGAAAAGAAUAUCAAUAGUCGUUAAAACCAUAAAUAAAAAUUCAUGUCAUUCUAGAACUAUGUAGGGGUUGAAAGACAAGCCCAUGGAAAGAAAUAUGAACAUGCUGGCGACUCUCGAAUAUUUGUGCUUAAUUGUUUCUACGAGUAAAAAAAAAACAUCUCACUAACAAAAAAUAAAAAAUAAAAACUUUAACUCAGAAUAUACAAGAAGGAUAAUUAUUGCAUGAAAACUCAUUAAGAGGAAGUCCGCUGACAUAAUGCAACUCUGGCUUCACAACGCUAUCUUCUUCUGAACUGAAGCACUUAAACUGUCUUAGAACAUCAACUUUUAACGUAACCCCACUUUGUCCUUCAAAUCUCCACGAGCUCUUCAUAGUAAAAAGGCAUGCUGCCUGAUACCCUCAAUAACAAAUUGAAAGUAAAAUGAUUGCUUACCGGACAGACCAGACCAGUCAUGUAUAAUUGUUUAGGGCUGGGCAAUGGGCCAUGUCAGCCGUGUGGUCCAGACCCGUUGUGCUCCUAGGCCAAAUCAAGCUCAUGGUCCCUAAUUAGCCGAUCCUGGCCCGACAGAUUUUUGAUGGACCAGUUGAGGCCACAUGGGCCAAACCUUAAGGAACUUUGGGGCUCCAAAAAUACAGUCGUUGGACAGUCACUUAUCUAGUGACCCAAUCCGGCCCAACGAUGGGCUACUCACUUGGUCAGGGAAUGGCCGGAAGGCCCCCAAUAGUUGAUUCGGAUUUUCAUUAAUUUUCCUCAAUUACUUUGUUUAUUAUUCACAUUUUUUUUGGUUUAAAAAAAUCAUUAAAUUAAAAACAACCCAAGCUCGAGCCAAUAGUGCCUUGGCCCGACCUAGUGUCUACUCCUACUGGCAAUUGGAGUUCGGGUCAGCAAUUUAAAGGCAAAUCGAGGGAAGACGUGGUGGAUAGUCCUAAAACCCUAUCGGCAACUGUAUUUACUUUUGCGAUAGGUAAGUAAGAAUGUAAAGGAGGAGGUGGUCACAAAUCCUCAAAAUUCUCUCCCAAAAUCCCUCGGGCUUCUCCAUCCAAAUCCUCAGUUUAAAGAAGCAGAAGUUGCAGCAGCAGAAGAAGAAAAUCCAUCGGAAUGUCGGAAUGUCAGCAUCAACAAUGAACAAUAUGGUUUAGCAAUCGUGGGCAUCAAAUUCAGUGCUCCUCGAAUUGGCAGUCAUGGCAACGAGAAACCUCUACGGUCUUUUCUUCUUGAAGUACAAAUCACAGGAUCUCUUUACAACCUCUAGCCAUGGUUCCGAAAGUUUAACAAAGAAAGUCUUUGAUACAAACUUCUCCAUAUUUCCAUAUGGAGAAAGAAUGAAACUUAAGCUUUUUGAAGGAAAUAUAGCUCUUAUGAUAUUUCUUAAGUACUUGAAGUUGUGAAGGACAUAAAAAAGUAAUAAAAUAAAUUUUUUGACUAGGAACUAGCCAGAUUUGUCUCAUCUGCAAAAGUUGGUGCCUUUACUUGUCUCUCUUAAAAGCAGAGGUUAUGAUUGUCCUAAAAUGUAUAGUUAAUACCUCUUAGAAGGAAAAGCAUGUUAUACAUAAGACGUUGUGUAAGUAUAUGUUGUUUAUAGGAUGGAGGGGCCUAUCACCAUCUUCUGUUACCAUCUAAGAAAAUGUUGUCCAUGGUCACCUGCAACUUUAUAAAACUAAAAGAACUAUUUGCUGUUGUAAUUAUGGUUAUAAUUAUGGUUAAUAGAUCAACGAAAGCCAAUAAAUUAAGAUACAUCUUUUUUGUUCAUGUAUCUCUUUUGGAUUCAUGAAUUUCCUAAUCUUUUAUGUUCACGUAUUUAUUGAGUUCAUGAAUUUUCUAGAUUCAUGUAUCUUUUAGUUCAUGUAUUUAUUGAGUUCAUGAAUAUCUUGAAUUCACGUAUCUUUGGAUUCAUGAAUCUCUUGGAUUCAUGUAUCUCUUUAUUAAUGAAUCUCGUGGAUACACUCGUCUAUUUAAUUCAUAUAUCUCUGUAGUACAUAAACUAAAAAGCUCUAUAAAUAGAUAUGAGCAUAGAGCUUCAUUAGAGUUUUUAGUUUUUGGUUUUGGUUUUUUUGAAUCGAUUCCAAAAAGGCUUUGAUAUACUUUUCUACUCUUCUGUUUUAUCUGGAUGUGCUGGUUCAAUUGAACGGUUCGACUGGUUCAAUUGAACGAUUCAACAGAGUCCUGUUUGCAUAGUGCUAAUCCAAAUAGGUUCGAUGCGUUGUAUCUUGGGAGGCAUAGUUCAUGAAUCUACGGGGCACCACUACGGGGCACCUUUGGCAGGAACUAAUCGCCUUAAGGAGAUUCGGUUAUUCGUACAUCACCUCCAAUUUUAUGUUAUUUUUCCAGUGAUAUCUUAUUUUAUUAUUUUCCAAGAUUUGUAAGUUUACAUAAAAAGAAUGAUAUUAUAUAACUGUUAUCAUCUUCUUUAUAUUGAUGUUCUGAUUACAACAAAUAGUGUGUAUUCUCUGGAUAUAAUUUUCAACAUUUGCUCCUUCCUUCCGAGACUCCCAUAGCCCCUAACUUAAUUUUCCAUCACUGUCUUUAGGAAAGCAACUGUUUGCCUAUGCAUGUGACAAUCACAAUCGCCGAUCCUCAUCUCUCUCCUCCUCUUAGUUCUCAUUGUCAUGACUCAUGGAGAGAAAAUGGAUUUAGAAUUAACCAACAGUCCUCAAUCAACAUAAGUUCUCCUAGGCUCUUACUUUGCAAGAUAUUGGGAAGUCACUUCAUUUUAUUAACCUAUCAAAACUGAGUCACUAGUAGCUACUAAGACUAGUUAGAGCCAAGUGAGAUGUAGGAAUAUACCUCACAUCCAACACAAUCAAAGAUCUAAGUACGAAGACUUAAUUACACUAAUUAUCCAAUUAAUAUUAUUUCCGUAUCUAAACUUGAUUAUUUGUCAACCAACUGUCACAUGCAAGUUUUUUUUAUUUAUUUAUAUAUCCAAUUAUGAUUCUAAUGUUCUUAUUUACUAAAUGUACAUGCAACGUUUUUGCAUUUAUUAUGAUCCUAAAAUACAAUCUAACCAUUCAACUAAAAUGAGGAAAUCACCACAUUGAAGCAAUAUAAAAGAAUCAUUUCAUCAAAGAUGGUAAUAAAAGAAAGAGUAAAAGAACAAAAAAAAAAAAAGGCAAUAAAAUAAUCCGAUGCAAGCUGAGUAAAGAAUAUAAUAUGACAUUAUUAUUGAGUAUCCAAAGAACAACCCCAUGAGUUAAAUUCAAAACAAAUCCAAUUUCUUGAGAAAGGGCUAAUCUAUCUAAACCCAAGAUAUCCAUUAAAAUCCCUAAACUAUAUGUAUACCAACUAUGGUCCAGCCUAAGGACCUUAAACAAAAGCCGUGGUUAUCGGAGCCCCCGUUCCACGUAAAUAAAAUGGAAGGGUUAACCGUGGGGGGAUUUGUAACCAAAUUUUGGAAACACCCCUCGGCUUGAUCCUAGCUCUGCUGCAUUGGGCUCUCGACGACUGCCAGUCCAGUAUCUUGGAAAUGAUGGCAGUAGGAUAUGAAACUAAAUAUAAUAUUAAAAUCUACAACCAAAUGAAAGCCUGUUUUUCUAAUCAUUUUCGAAUUCUUUGUAUUAGAAUUUUUUUUAUUGGGCCGGCUUGUACGGAAGCUUGAUCUCUAGGUGGAGUGGGUUAGAAUUUAAGAAAACAUGUAGGCCCUUGUAAACGAAAUGGGCUUACUUGCUAAAGCCCAACCUGCGUAUAGCCUAAACAAAGUCCAGAUCUAUCAGACCAAAUUAGGCUCAUAUUCACCAAACCAAGCAAAGCCCAAUUUCAUUAAGCUAAUAAAACCCAAAGCUCAUUAAGCCUAAUUAAGCCUAUUUUUUUAUUCUCUAUUUUUCUCUUUUCUUCUCCCUUUUUUCAAGUUUAUUUUAUGCACUAUGUCUCCUCACUUUGAAUUCGGUGCUCUAAGCCAAAGAAGCUGUGGAAAUAGCAGUUGCCAAAAUGCCGUGACUGCUCAAAAUUCGUGGUUGGAAAUCGCAAACCCACCUGAUGAAUUGUUCUAUAAAUGCCGCAUCCCCAUAUAUGAGAAUGAGACUAUUGCAAGGAUUAACUACAAUAGCUGGAUGAUAGGCCACUCUCAGAAUCUGCAGUUAAAAUUCUGACUGGAGGUGCACAACCCUAGUCUUGGGGAGAGAUGAUAGAAUUCAACGAAUGAAGAGAAUUUCUAUGGGGUCUAUUCUCGGCAUCAAAGACUGAUGGCCUUGCCUUGGAAGCAACGAACUUUAGAAGCGAGUCAGUUAUAGUUGGCUUUUUCCCAUGCUGACCUCUGCUAUCGAGAAGAUCGUCAACAGCUUGAAGCUGUGCAUCUGAAAGCAAAGCUUGAAGAUCCACUUUGCUGAAUCCUUCUAUCAUAUGAGCUAUAGCAUCAAAGUCCACAUCACUGGCCAAAGGAAGCUGCACAAGGGCAUUAAAGCAUACACUUAGCAAAACUUCAACAUUGCCUGAUGGUUGCCAAUUUCGCUGACUGAUCAUACAGAAACGGAGAAAUAUAAUUAAUUGAAUCCACCCAAUAUCUUCCUAAUUAGUGAAAAGAAAAGAAAAGAAAAGGAGAGGAUGGUGAUGUCUCAGAAAGGUUAUACUAAAUGAUACCCAAAGGUAAGUCUUAGUCCCGUCUCAUGGAUUUUCAGCUAUAAAAGCCUUUCUCAUUUUAUUUUUUUUCUGAGCAUCAUCGGUAGAUGUUAAAGCUACCAGUCUCAAGGUCCGAGGUUGAAAGUGAUUUACUACUGAUCAUCUAAACUUUACCUGAGCCUCACCUGAGCAUGUUGCAGAUUCAACCCACAACGCCUUUUACAAUGUUCUCUUGUAAUUGACAAUGUUUAGGGUGAUUUGGGGUGCAAGGACUUUUAGAGAACUCCACAGAGAAGGGGUUUUAACUUUUAACUCAAUGUGUUUCGCCAAAUGUACUCUGUCAGAUGCCAUAAGUUCUAAACAGGAUCUUAGCUGCUUAAAUCGACUCUGUUUCUAACUCUUUUUGUUUGUUUUAAGCAAUUCCCUGUUCAUAUGAAAUCUCUCCUAUGCAUCUUUCUAGAAAAAAGUAGGAUUGUGGUAAUAUAGUUCUUUAACAAGCAAUCCCAUAAAUUUCAAUAUGUGCAACUUGUUUCAGACCAUGUAAAAAAUGAAAUGCUAAAAGCAAAAAAACUGGCAUAUGGAUGGAAGCUAAGGCCCUGUUUGGUAAAUUUUGUUUCUAUUCCUCGGAAUAACUAUUUCUAUUCUUUUGUUCUAGGGAACAAGAAAAGAACAUAAAACUGUUUAGUAAAAUUUUUGUUCCCAUGAAACAAAAAAUCCAUUUUUUUUUGUUCUCGAGAAUAGAUUUGAAAUAGAAGUAAAAGUAGAAAAAACAAACUUCUUGUUCUCGGGAACAAUUUCUUAAAUUUAUUUUUUUUUCUCUCUUAUCUCUUCUUCUCUUUCUUCUUCUUCUUCUUCUUCUUCUUCAUUUUGGCCGGUUGCUGGCCAUGGCCGGCGACCUCUCUGGAGCGUCGCCGACCCUUGGAGACGUUGAGCCACGGCGAGGCUCGUCGGCCUGAGUUUUGCCAUGGCUGGGCGAGGCUGGCCUUGCUAGGCCACCUCUAGGAUGGUGUCGCUUGGCAGUGGCCCGACAAGGUCGAGCCUCGCUGAUAGCUAGGUGAGCUCGGCCUCGCUAGGUUUGGGUGACGUCUACCUCUGUCAUGCCCCAAUUCUUGGGGACGCGCCCAUCUUUCGACUUGGUCAAUUUUCUCAAUGCGAUAUCCCAGGACUAUGUAUCGCCGACCCUUUCAUUUUUAAUACACAUGCCGAACUAGUUAUAAAUCCCUAGACAAUAAAAUGAUGGGAUAGACAAGCAAGGCCAUAUUUUUCAUAUUGAAAUCCACAACCAUACUUUUAUACAUAGCAUAAUUCGAAGAGCUUCAGAAAACUAAUCACAACUUUUUAGUCUCAGUCUAUCCACAUAUAUACAGGGUUCACAAAAGAGGAUGGGAUUUCAGUCCUCAUCCAGAUAGACAAGAUCAAACUGAUCCUUAUUCAAUUCUUCUCCACUAAGCUCGUUUCUUUUAAACUCUUCAUCAUCUUCUUUAAGCUCAUUCUCGGCUCUAGAUGCUGGCUCAUCCUCACGUGAUCUGGGGGCCUGAAAUAUUAUCCCACAACCGGGAUGAGACUACGUCUCAGCAAGUUCUACCCCACUAAGACUCGAUUAGGAAACCAAUACGCUAUCUAGGCUGCCUAUGCACACACGGGUCAGAGGACUUACCUUGGCCUCAGAUUCCACCUACAUAUUAGUACAGUUCAAUAAGCACCCAAGCAAUCACAUCAUAGAUCGACAUCUCGAUCAAUCGACCUAGUCAAUUACUUCUUAAUUGAACCAUCCCAAGGUCAUUUCCAUUCAAUCAAUCAAUUCACGAAAUUAGAUUAAAGCAAUGAUCAAUCCACUUAGUCGGUUACAUAUCAAACAGACCAUUCUUGGUCAUUUCAAUCAAUACUAUUCAUUCUCUAAAAUAACCCGUCGGGUUAUCAAGCCAAUAAUUUAUACGAUUCAAUCUCCGAGAUGACACACUAAGAUGACACACUAAGUCACCGAGUUAUUAUAACAUACUAUUCAUUCUCCAAGAUAAUGUAUUGAGUUACCGAGCUAGUAUAUUAUAAUAUUCAUUCUCCGAGAUGACAUAUAGAGUCACCAAGUAUAUUCAUCAUAACGUACAUUCUCCAAGAUGACAUGUUGAGCCACCGAGCUGUUAUGGCAUGUCGUCCAUUCUCCAAGAUGAUCUAUAGAAUCACCAAGCCGACAUUUAAUAUAGUCCAUUCUCCAAGAUGACCUAUAGGGUCAUCGAGCCGAUAUACAAGCAAUUCUUUCUCAAAAUGACAUGAGAGUCAUCGAGCUGUAAUAGUAUAACGUCCAUUCUCUAGAUGAAAUACGAAUCAUCGAGCCGUUAUAGUAUUUUUUUGUUCCGAAGACACAAUCAAUUUCACCAUUUUCAUCAUAUUUGAUAAAAGUACACGUGUGUGGGCACACGGUCGGCUUUAGCCAAAAUACAAUAAUUUCAUUUUUAUUCACUCACUCCCUUCAGCAGUACAAAAAUAGAUUUUUGACGCUGUAGACUGACGCCCGGUAAUUUUCCACUCAAUUACCAAGGUUAUUCAAUUUCUGAAAUAAACACCCACAACUACUAUUUGCACUCAAUUUGCACAACCAGGUACUCAAUUAAAUAAACAUAGAGCACCACUGAAAUCAGCACGAAAUUCCGGUCGUCGGCUAUCCCAGCCUAAUUUCCGGUAAUUAAUUAAUUAAUUAAUUAAUUAAUUUCGAAAAUUAAUAAUUAAAUACUAAAAAUCCAAUUUAUGCCCGUAUUGCCUAAUUGAAGCCCAAUAAGGGUCGGGACAAAUCCCGAGAUGCAUUCAAUAAAUAGUAUAGGCAGCUCUCUAGCUAAGUACACUAACCACCUAACUAAUAUGCAACCCUUAAGCAUCUUUAGUCUACUAAGCAAGGAUUAGUGAGAUUACUCACUUGAUUUGCGAAGAACGGAACACCGCGACAGCGGCCGAACUUGGGCCUACGACAAACUUGGGCCGAGCCAAUAAACUUUACAAGCCCACAUAAAUUUCUGGACUUGGUUGUGCUAGAAAUCUUGGGCUGAACUUGAUCUGGGCUUCAAGACUAGGCUGAAAUGGGUUUGAAACAAAGUUGAACUGGGCCUGUCUUCGCUGAAGCUGGGCCGGGCUUCAAGUGGCUGAAUUGCUGGACUUCACUGAAUUGGGCCGAGCUUCAAGACUGAAGACUUGGGCUGCUGUGGAAAUUUUUUUGUGGGUUGAACAUUUUAGGAUGCUGGGCCGAAUCCUUGCAGCCUCGUGACGCUGAGGCAGCUGGGCCGAUAGGCUGAGGAAAUGAAAACGGCUGAAGACACGUGAUGGAGGAAGGUUGGCAGGGGGAAGGACGUUCGCCGGUGGGGACGAACGUUGUAGCAAGCAGCUGGGCUUCGGUCUUCGUAGCUGGGAGUCAACACACGGCCAGGGGAUGAAGCAGAUGAGUGGUAGACGGGCUCGCUGGUGGAGCAGUUUCUGCUGUGGACUGCUUCAAUGGGGCUGAGGGCAGACGGAAGACACACAGAUGGAAGCUCGUUCGGUGGGCGUGUGGGGAAGGCACUGACUGGAGGCUCACGGCCAAAUGGCAGCAAAACAAAGCCGCUCAAUCAACCACUGAGUUUCGGUGGGCUUGCUGUUGUUGACCGAAGGAGUUCGGGCCAUGGAUGCGUGGAGUUGUGCGUGGAUGGAGAGAUCGUGAGCUUCAACGGCAGAGAACGUGGCUUCUUUGGGCUUGCUGCUGGCAAUUCGGCAAAGGGGAAGAACAAUCGUGGGCGUGGGGAAUUGAGCUGGCCAGUUCGCUCGGUGAGGAAGCAGAACCAAGACGAAGUAGCAGUUAAUCUUUGUUGCUGUGGGUGCGCGAAUUCCCGGGAAGAAAGAAUUGGCUGCACGAUCUGAUGGGGGGGAGAGGGGUGAGAGAGAGGAUAGAUAUGAAGGAUGAGGGGCCAUUUGCUUUUAAUUCUCACACAAAUAUCUCCCAAAAACCAUUCUUAGCCAUAUAUAGUUUCCUUGGCUCACAAUGGACCACUCAUGCACUCUUCUAGAAGCCAAAAUGGUCCAAAUGUUGUGGCUUGGUGGGGGUACACGAAUUUAGAGGAGGAUGGACUCAAUUGUACAUCAAUUCUCUCUUGAUUUACUUUCAAUUGAUUCCCAUAAUUUCAGUUGGUACUUCAAUGCCUCAAUUGAUAAUUUUCCUCAUCCAAGAACCCAUCUUGCAUCUCAAUUUUGCCUCCAAAACUAAUCCUCGACUUGUUCUGCACAAAAACGGCCAUGCGAUGACUUUUCCCCAAAAAGUUUCGGUUGUCAGAAAAAUCUUCUCAGACUGAGUCGAUACUUCUAGAAUUUAUUGUGACAUGAUGGAAACUUCGAUUUCCAAAAUCGGACUUGAAUUCGUGGUUAAUUUCCACUUGGCGCUUUUUAGCGUGACCUAAACUAUCAAGUAGUUUUCAGAACUUUUUAGAGCAAAUGACCCAUGGUCGAUUUUCUUUGAGCCAUUAUGAACCCACUCAACUAAAUGGCGACUCUCGAUUGUUGUGAAAAUCUCGAGGAUUCAAUUACGGACACAAGGUACCAAAACGAUAGUAAAAUCAAAUUAGUGUCGGUCGAUGAGAAUUUCCCAAUUUAGUGGAGUCACCCACGAUCGGCCAAACAUCUCAGUCAAACAGAUCUAUCUCUUAUCUCAAAUCGAUUUUUUUAACCGUGCCAUAAUGGCCUCUGAAGACAAUCACGGUCAAGAAGCCGAUUUUUAGUCGAAUUCUCUAGUCUAUUUGCCUUAAAGUCCUUAAUAGCUUCCCCGAAUAGUCUAGUUAUCUCAAGAGUGAUCAGCUCUGAGAACAACUCUAUAGGCGGGUCAAUGAAAUGCCUGAUUAAUUCAAUAGAAAACAGAUCUGAAAAUUCGAGAUGUCACAACUCUUCCCCUCUUAUAAAAAUUUCGUCCUCAAAAUUUAAACCUUACAUACUUUGAUAAAAAAAAAGGUGGGGGUACAAUUCUCUCAUAGACUCUUCAGUUUCCCAGGUCGCGCCUUCUGUACCGUGGUGUUGUCAGACUACUUUGAAAAACGGAAUGGUUUUUGUACACAGAACUUGCUCUUUACGAUCAAUAAUCUGGACUAGGCUUUCAACGUAUGACACACGGUCAUCCACGUCCAAUUCCUUGAAAUUGAGCACGUGGGUCGGGUCAGGGUCGUACUUCCUUAACAUCGACACGUGAAAGACGUCAUGCACUUGCGCCAGUCUUGGCGGCAAUGCAAGACGAUACGUUAGGUUCCCAAUUCUUUCAAGAAUCUCAAACGGACCUACGUACCUCGGACUCAGUUUGCCUUUCUUACCAAAAUGCGAAGUUCCUCCCAUUGGUGACACUCUCAGAAAAAUGUGAUCACCAACUUGGAAUUCCAAAGACCUUCGACGCUUAUCUGCAUAACUUUUCUGCCUGCUUUGCGUUGUCUUUAAUCUGCAUCUGAUCACCGUCACAACAUCUACUGACUGCUGAACCAACUCUAGGCCUGUGAUUUUUCUUUCCUUAACUUCAUCCCAACACACCGGAGUCCUACAUGCUCUGCCAUACAAUCCUUCAAAUGGAGCCAUCUGGAUGCUCUGCUGAUAACUGUUAUUGUAAGCGAAUUCCACUAGAUGAAGUUGAUCUUCUCAACUUCCUUUGAAAUCUAUUACACAAGCUCUCAACAUGUCCUCGAGAGUUGGAAUUGUCCUCUCAGACUGGCCAUCCGUCUGAGGAUGAUACGCCGUACUAUACUGAAGUUUUGUACUUAGUGCACUCUGCAAGCUCUUCCAAAAAGCAGCAGUAAAUUUCGGGUCUCUAUCUGACGUUAUCGUAACCGGCACUCCAUGCAUACGAACCACCUGACGCACAUACAGGUUUGCAUGUCUAUCCAUACUCAGGUCCUUUUGAAUUGCAAUGAAGUGAGCCGACUUCGUCAAUCUAUCGACCACUACCCAAAUUGAAUCAUUCCAUCUUUGACUCCUUGGUAGUCCAGUCACGAAGUCCAUCGUAAUAUGCUCCCACUUCCAUUUUGGGAUCGCGAGAGGUUGCAGAAGUCCUCCUGACUUGUAAUGCUAGGCCUUUACUUGCUGACACGUCAAACCUUUGGCGACAUGCUUGGCAAUGUCCGCCUUCAUACCUGACCACCAAUAGUGUUGACGCAGAUUCUGAUACAUUUUAGUACUUCCAGGAUGAAUGCUGUAACUACUACGAUGUGCUUCAGAUAAAAUUUCUUCUCUAAGCUCCACGAGCCAAACCUUUUUAUACAUAUGGUAUUAAAGUUAUACCUAAGCAAACCCGUCAAGUACAACUAUAGUCAGAGAUUCAUCUUUCUACCACUUUAUUACAACAACAAAAAAUUUUACAACCUUCACUCAAAAUUCUGCUACACUACUCUGAUAAAAACACCUCAAAAGCAUUCUUCCAUUGCUCGGUGCCUAAUUGGUCCAUUCUUGUUUCUUGCGUCAUUCUAGUGGUGUUCUAUCUGCGGUGCUUUCUCUUUGUCCGGUCCUUCGGUGAUGGCGUACACUCUUCCCUGCUUUGGGGAUCUGUUCCGCAUAGCCGUACCUGUAAUCGCGUCAGGCGCAGCUUUUGCCUGACCUUGUGUGAUGGCAUACACCGUGUCUUAAACUGGUGGUCUCAACUGACCUCCCUGUGGCACGUUUUGAGGGGCGUACCCUCUAAUCUGUCCCACUGGUGGCGGUGGCAGCGGCGGUAACUGCAGUUGUCCUCUUAGCUUCCUUGGACAAUCUCUAGCCAGGUGGCCUGGUUAACCACACUCGUAACAAGCACCCAUCAUUCGAAGGCACUGGUUCGGUCCAUGUCACCUUCCACAAGCACGACAUAAAUCAUUCCUGGUUGGCACUGGCUUGCCAACUCCUCCUCUCCUAUCAGGCGAAAUCGGGAAUUUAUUCUCAGGCAUGGGCCUCUUCCCAUGGUGAAUACUCUCUCUGUGCGAGCUAAACCUCGAUCCAGAUGAGGCAGCUUGCUCAUUCAAUCCUCGCUCUAUCAUCUAAGCUCGGCGAUAAACUUCUCUAUAAUCCUUCAAGUCCCAAGGUAACAAAGGUUGUUUCAAUUCAGUACGAAGACCACUUUUGAAUUUCCGAGCUUUCUCUUCAGGGUCUUCUAUAAGUUUAGGAGCAUACUGUGACAGUUCUGCGAACUUGACCCCAUAUUGGUCAACUGUCAUGCUCCCUUGGCGGAGACGGUGGAACUCCUCUAUCUUUUGUUCCUGAGUAGUACUCGAAAAAGUACUGAUCAUUAAAGGCUCUGAGGAAGGUGUCCCACACCUGGACCACACCUUCCGGGAACACUAUAUCCUUGGCAGCUCUCCACCAUAUAUUAGCGCUACCUUGAAGUUGGUACACAGCUAGUAACACCUUUUCCUCAUCAUUGCACAUCAGAAGUGCAAAUGCCUUCUCCAAAUCCUCUACCCAUAGAGACGCGGCCUUAGGGUCUCCGGUACUAAUGAAUCUCGGUGGAUUCAUUUUUAAGAACUGAUCCACUAACUGGUGAAUCGGCCUCCCCGCGGCCACAACUCCUAGUAGUAUUUCAGCAAGGGCGACGACAGGUGCAACUGCAGGUGCAGUGACAGAGGCAGCUUGAGCAGUAGCGGCAGUUGCGGCAGUGGCAGCGGCCUGAGCGGCGGCUUCAACUGUAGCGGCUUGUUGAUCCAUUCUCGCACUAAUCGCUUCCAGAACACACAAGAUCCCAUCCAACCUGGGAUCAUUAGGGGCUGCUACCCUAGCAUCUACGACAAGUGGAAUCACUCCACUCGUGCUAGCCUGUGCUGGCGCUCGACCACGUUCACCUCGGGUCCCGACACGAGUCGGAGCUCUACCCAGAACAACGACCCUACUGGUCCUCUUAAUAGGAGUCCUCGGCUCCUGAUUGCUCGUAGUGUUGUUUUAAAUCUACCAACACAUGCUUUCAAUUCAACAUCGAAUUAGAAACAAAGCAAUCUAAACAACAAGCAAUUUUAGCAUCCAGCUAACACAGACAUGCACAAGCAUCAAUUUAAAGGCCUUUCUUAUUACUAUCCCAAGACUCAUCGCUCCUUAUCACUCCAAUCUUAAACUUCGCUCUGAUACCACAAAAAUGGGAUGUCACGCCCUAAUUCUCGGGGACGCGCCCAUCCUUCUACUUGGUCGAUUUUCUUAGUGCGAUAUCCCAGGAUUAUGUAUUGCCAACCCUUUCAUUUUUAAUACGCAUGCGGAAGCAGUUAUAAAUCCCCAGACAAUAAAACAAUGGGAUAGACAAGCAAGGCCAUAUUUUUCAUAUUGAAUUCCACAACCAUACUUUUAUACAAAGCAUAAUUCGAAGAGCUUCACAAAACUAAUCACAACUUUUUAGUCUCAGUCUAUCCACAUAUAUACAGGGUUCAAAAAAGAGGAUGGGAUCUCAGUCCUCAUCCAGAUAGUCAAGAUCAAACUAAUCCUCCUUAAAUUCUUCUCCACUCAGCUCGUUUUUUUAAACUUUUCAUCAUCUUCUUUAAGCUCAUCCUCGGCUCUAGAUGCCGGCUCAUCCUCACUUGAUCUAGGGGCCUUAAAUAUUAUCCCACAACCGGGAUGAGAUUACGUCUCAGCAAGUUUUACCCCACUAAGACUCGAUUAGGAAACCAAUACGCUAUCCAGGCUGUCUAUGCACACACGGGUCAGAGGACUUACCUUGGCCUCAGAUUCAACCUGCAUAUUAGUAUAGUUCAAUAGGCACCCAAGCAAUCACAUCACAGAUCGACAUCUCGAUCAAUCGACCUAGUCGAUUACUUGUUAAUUAGACCAUCCCAAGGUCAUUUCCAUUCAAUCAUUCAAUUCACGAAAUCAGAUAAAAGCAAUGAUCAAUCCACUUAGUCGGUUACAUAUCAAACGGACCAUUCUUGGUCAUUUCAGUCAAUACUGUCCAUUCUCUAAAAUAACCCAUCGGGUUAUCAAGCCAGUAAUUUAUACGAUUCAAUCUCCGAGAUGACACACUAAGUCAUCGAGUCAUUAUAACAUACUAUUCAUUCUCCAAGAUAACCUAUUGAGUUACCAAGCUAGUAUAUUAUAAUAUUCAUUCUCCGAGAUGACAUUUAGAGUCACCGAGUAUAUUCAUCAUAAUGUACAUUCUCCAAGAUGACAUGUUGAGUCACCGAGCCAUUAUGGCAUGUCGUCCAUUCUCCAAGAUGAUCUAUAGAAUCACCGAGCCGACAUUUAAUACAGUCCAUUCUUCAAGAUGACCUAUAGGGUCAUCAAGCCGGUAUACAAGCAAUUCUUUCUCAAAAUGACAUGAGAGUCAUCGAGCUGUAAUAGUAUAACGUCCAUUCUCCAGAUGAAAUACGAAUCAUCGAGCCGUUAUAGUAUUUUUUUUUUUUGUUCCGAAGACAAUCAAUUUCACCAUUUUCAUCAUAUUUGAUAAAAGUACACGUAUGUUGGCACACGGUCGGCCUUAGCCAAAAUACAAUAAUUUCCUUUUUAUUCACCCACUCCUUUUAGCAGUACAAAAAUAGAUUUUUGACGAUGUAGACCGACGCGCGGUAAUUUUCCACUCAAUUACCAAGGUUAUUCAAUUUCUGAAAUAAACACCCACAACUACUAUUUGCACUCAAUUUGCACAACUAGGUACUCAAUUAAAUAAACAUAGAGCAUCACUGAAAUCAACACGAAAUUCCAGUCGUCGGCUGUCCCAGCCUAAUUUCCGGUAAUUAAAUAAUUAAUUAAUUAAUUUCGAAAAUUAAUAAUUAAAUACUACAAAUCCAAUUUAUGCCCGUAUUGCCUAAUUGAAGCCCAAUAAGGGUCGGGACAAAUCCCGAGAUGCAUUCAAUAAAUAGUAUAGGCAGCUCUCUAGCUAAGUACACUAACCACCUAACUAAUAUGCAAUGCAAUUAACUAAUAAUCACUAAUCCAUUCUAGUCUAACCACCUAAUUGCACUUAAUUAAAUCUAAUCAACCCUUAAGCAUCAUUAGUCUACUAAGCAAGGAUUAGUGAGAUUACUCACUUGAUUUGCGAAGAAUGGAACAUCGCGACAACGGCCGAACUUGGGCCUGUGACAAACUUAGGCUGGGCCAAUAAACUUUACAAGCCCACAUAAAUUUCUGGGCUUGGGCCUGCUAGAAAUCUUGGGCUGAACUUGAUCUGAGCUUUAAGACUGGGCUGAAAUGGGUUUGAAACAAAGCGGAACCGGGCCUGUCUUUGCUGAAGCUGGGCCAGGCUUCAAGUGGCUGAAUUGCUGGACUUCAUUGAAUUGGGCCGGGCUUCAAGACUGAAGACGUGGGCUGCUAUGGGAAUUUUUUUGUGUGUUGAACGUGUGAGGAUGCUGGGCCGAAUCCUUGCGGCCUCGUGGACGCUGAGGAAGCUGGGCCGAUAGGCUGAGGAAAUGAAGACGGCUGAAGACACGUGAUGGAGGAAGGCUGGCAGGGGGAAGGAUGUUCGCUGGUGGGGACGAACGUGGCAGCAAGCGACUGGGCUCCAGUGUUCAUAGCUAGGAGUCAACACACAGCCAGGGGAUGAUGCGGAUGAGUGGCAGACGGGCUCGCUGGUGGAGCAGUUUCUGCUAUGGACUGCUUCAAUCAGGCUGAGGGCAAAUGGAAGACACGCAGAUGGAAGCUCGUUCAGUGGGCAUGUGGGGAAGGCACCGACUUGAGGCUCACGGCCAAAUGGCAACAAAACAAAACUGCUCGAUCAACCACUAAGUUUCGGUGGGCUUGCUGCUAUUGACCAAAGGAGUUUAGGCCAUGGACGCGUGGAGUUGCAUGUGGAUGGAGAGAUCGCGAGCUUCAACGGCAGAGAAUUGGAGGAGCACGUGGCUUCUUUAGGCUUGCUGCUGGCAAUUCGGCAAAGGGGAAGAUCGAUCGUGGGCGUGGGGAAUUGAGCUGGCCAGUUCGCUCGGUGAGGAAGCAGAACUAAGACAAAGCAGCAGUUAAUCUUUGUUGCUAUGGGUGCGCGAAUUCCCGGGAAGAAAGAAUUGGUUGCACGAUCUGAUGGGGGGGAGAGGGGUGAUAGAGAGGAUAAGGAUGAGGGGCCAUUUGCUUUUAAUUCUCACACAAAUAUCUCCCAAAAACCAUUCUUAGCCAUGUAUAGUUUCCUCGGCUCACAAUGGACCACUCAUGCACUCUUCUAGAAGCCAAAAUGGUCCAAAUGUUGUGGCUUGGUGGGGGUACAAUUUAGAGGAUGGACUCAAUUGUACAUCAAUUCUCUCUUGAUUUACUUUCAGUUGAUUCCCAUAAUUUCAAUUGGUACUUCAAUGCCUCAAUUGAUAAUUUUCCUCGUCCAAGAACCCAUCUUGCAUCUCAAUUUUGCCUCCAAAACUAAUCCUUGGCUUGUUCUGCACAAAAACGGCCAUGCGAUGACUUUUCCCCAAAAAGUCUCGGUUGUCAGAAAAAUCUUCUCAGACUGAGUCGAUACUUCUAGAAUUUAUUGUGACAUGAUGGAAACUUCAAUUUCCAAAAUCAGACUUGAAUUCACGGUUAAUUUCCACUUGGCGCUUUUUAGCGUGACCUAAACUAUCGGAUAGUUUUCAGAACUUUUUAGAGCAAAUGACCCAUGGUCGAUUUUCUUCAAGCCACUAAGAACCCACUCGACUCAAUGGCGACUCUUGAUUGUCGUGAAAAUCUCGAGGAUUCAAUUACAGACAUAGGGAAUGAAAACGAUAGUAAAAUCAAAUUUGUGUCGGUCGAUGAGAAUUUCCCAUUUUAGUGGAGUCACCCACGAUCGGCCAAACAUCUCAGUCGAACAGAUCUAUCUUUGAUCUCAAAUCAAUUUUUUUAACUGUGUCGUAAUGGCCUCUGAAGACAAUCACGGUCAAGAAGCCGAUUCUUGGUCGAAUUCUCCAGUCUAUUUGCCUUAAAAGUCCUUAAUAGCUUCUCUGAAUAGUCUAGUUAUCUCGAGAGUGAUCAGCUCUGAGAACAACCCUAUAGGCGUGUCAAUGAAAUGCUCGAUUAAUUCAAUAGAAAACAGAUCUGAAAAUUCAAUAUGUCACAACCUCACCCAGCUAAGGCGAAGCCGAGCCUCGCACAACCACAAUAAGGCUCGGCCUCCCUAGCUGGCGCGAGGCUCGCCUGGCCAUCGGCAAGGCUCGGCCUCACCCAAAUCUGGUUCGGCCGAGGCUCGCCGUGGACAGGCUGGCCUUCAGCGAGCUUGCCGGACCUCACCCAGGCAGUGGUCGGCAACUGGCCAAAGAGAAAAAGAAAAAGGAAAAGACAAGAAAAUAUAAUAAAAGAAUUAAAAAAAAUCUAACAAUCAUGCCAAACGUAUUGUUGUACUGAGACUAGAAAUUUUGGAAAGUUACCAAAUGAGUUCUUUUGCUCAGAAAUUGUUCUUGAGAUGAGAAUAAAAAAAAACAUUUAUGAUAAAAAUUAUUCUCCAGAACAGAAUUGUUACCAAACAUGGCUCUAAGUUUCUACCUUAUGGGAUAAAAGUUGUGAAAAUAUCCAGCCUCUCCUUUAUUGAAGGAAAAUCACAGAACAUAAGUUGAGCCAGCUAGGUCUCAAAAGUGUGAUCUACUGCUUCUCAUCAAAUGCAACACAUAACUAGACAAUGAUAAAAUAAAGAAAAAGCAUCCUUGGAAAGAAAAUUGAAUUAGAAUUAUUAGUAGAUAGAUGAACCCAUGAACCCUGUGCAAAACAAGAGAGCACUUCAUGCAGCAAAUGUCAUGAUGACUGAGAAAUUGCAUGUGCUCAAUGUAACAAGACUCAAAUGAUCAGAAUCAGUUGAUGCCAUUAUAAAGGCUCAAUACCAGCAUAAUACAUGUCUUGCAAGCUACUUCAACAACUGAAAAGUAAUUUAUGGAAUCCCAUCAUUUGUUACCUACUUUUUGAUACAUAUGUAGUCAAUAUUGUGCAUCCAAUGUUAAACAGUUCUAAAUCAAGGAAAAGUCCUGUCUAGCAUUUUAUUGUCUAACUUGAAGGUUAUUACAUAGUAUCCAUACUAAAUGCUUCAUAAAAAAUGUUUGUCGAAGUGUUCAUAAUGGCCAUGCAAUUUGCAGUAGCAAUUGAUAGUUAGUGUGCCAUUAGAAGAGAAUACUUUUUGUUCAUAUUAUACAAAAUUAUUACCUUUUUUCCGCCAACACAAACACACCGGUGCAACACCAUCUAAUUCGGUAAAAAAAUGCACCAACAAAUAACAUACCAGUAGUGACUCAUAAAAUUAGAUAGAUUUUACAUGACCACCUUAUAAUUACUUUUGAAUGCAAGAAACUAAAUUCAUUGAUGACAUGAUCAGUGACCCAAUAUUAUCAUGCCCCCUUUUUGAAGCAAUGAAUCAAAUUCAUCGAAAAAGAGAUGGCAAGGUGUUGCAUCUACUGCCUUCAAGAAUAUAUCAGAACCUGUAGUUUUCUAAUUGUCGUUACUAUCAAAUAUUCAAAAAUCUCUCCAUUUUGCUGACAAAAUCAAGGAUCAUAAUAACAUAAAAUCCUCACGGAUACCCCAGUUACAGGAACGAAUCAACAUUGAAGAUAUCUAGACAAAACAUCAAACAGGUCACGAAGGACUCUCGGCGAGACCCAUUUUUUAACUUCAACCAAUCGAGAUCAAUAAAAUCCCAAGGAUUUUCCCUUCGACUGAAACGAAACUCGCGAACCUACUUCAGACAGCUUCACUCUCCUAUAUCUCGGUUCAAAGGUGGAUGGACACAGAUCCCGAACGAUGGAGCAGAGCGAUGAGGAGACUCUGAACACGUAAUCGACUCUAAAGGUCGAUCGGAAUAGAAACGACCUGGCAGGGGUAGUGCCGAUUCCUAUCCUCCUUGGUUCCCUUCAGCCGAGCUCUUCGAUGGCCAAAUCCUUUUUCAAGCGAGCGUCCAGCAUCCUCUCCUUCUCGCUCUCGGCUGACUCUCUUUCUCCCCCGUGAAUGUCUCUUCAGCCUAUCUCUCUCCAACUUGCCUCUUCAACGGCCGCCCUCUCCGAAGACCGGCGGCAUCUCUCCUCCUCCUGUUAUGCGAACAGGAUCCUCUUGAGGCAAGCAUCCUUUCCGGCGAGCAGCUCCUAUCUCAUCUUUUCCUCCCGGAUCAGCACAAUCCCCUCGCCUCACCGAUCGAAUCUUUCUGUUAUUUCUCUCGCACGACAGCUAGCACGGCUCUAGAAGGUGCUGGCUCAGCUCUCGUCACGGCUUGUCGCGCCUCCUUCGCUCACAGACGCACGCACGCUUGGCCUGUCUUUCUUCCUUGCGUCACGGACGCUGUGCUCGCUGGGGAAGUUGAGGGGGAAGCGCGUGAGGGAAGAGAGAGGAUGGGGCUGGGCUUUCUUUUUGUUUGGUUCUACGACGGGCCAAGAAAAUACAAAAGGAGGUGGGCCGAACGAAUUAAAAGAAAUGGGUUGGACUAAUGGAGGGAGGGGGCUUAGAAGGCUCAAAACUUUGCCAAGGGGCCGGCCCACAUGACUUCAUUUCGAUUUUUUUUAUAUCUUUUUUAUUUUUUUCUUAUUAUCUUUUUCAUAAAUUUUCAGAUUUUUGUAAAAUAAAUGGAUUCCUAAAAUGUCAACAAAAUUUGGGUGUCAACAAUCUUGACCAGAGUCGAUAAUGACGAUGUUGCCUAUAGUGGUAUCAAAAGUCAAGGUGGCGAUGUUGGGUUUCAGAUAUUUAACUGUUCCCAUAUUGCCUAAAUAUGGGCUGUUUUUGUAGAUAAAUCUCACACAACUUUAAGAGUGGGGAUGUUGGUUUUUAUUUACGUCUCCGAUCCCAUAUUACCUAACUAGACUUAUAGCACUUAAAGUAAGCACGGGUGAGUUGUGACCAAAGCAGGCAGUAUUGCGCUCAAGUUUGGACGGGGAUGUCUACGACAAUAAGGUGAAACUUCAAAGAGUAAGACAAUGGUCAAGUCGAGCUUGAUGCAAUGAGACCACUCGUUGAAGAAUAGUCGUUAGAGAGCUUACACAUCUCGUAUGCUAGUUUCAAGAAGGGGUUUUAACCCUUGCAACCGCUGAACUAGGUAAACUACUUAAUCAUCUCAUCUAUUGUCGACAACUUGUCCAAAUUCCAUAGAUACAAAAAGAUGAUUUGAAAUGUAGACACUCACCCAUUGAGAUGCAAUAGUUAUUUCCAAGUAAUUAAUCAUCUUAUUUCUUCCCUUGAUUUUUUCCUCUUAAGCUUACAGAGCCAAACACAUUAAUUCCAAAAGUGGUUAAUUUCUUAGAACCGAUCCAUCGAUAAGAACAUCUCAAAAUUCAGUAAGAAAAAAAAGAUAUCCAAGGAAUUAGCCCUCUUAUUUCUCCUCUCUCUCUCUCUCUCUCUCUCUAAAACUCUAUAUAAACAGUACAAGUUGCCUUCCUAUGGCAGCAAUUUAGCUUCAACAAUUCCAUAGCUAUCAUUAUUUCCUGAUCUCCUCCCAGUUGACUUUACCGCAAGUAGCAUCAUCAAAUUUCAGAAGGUUCAACAAUCCUCUCCCAAGUCUUCUCUUUCGUGAUCGAUCUUCAAGAUUCAAGCGCCGAGAAACUCAUGGGGUACGUGGUCAUCAUGUCGCUCCCAAUGGCGAUCUUCCUCCUCGUCAUGAGCUUCGACUGCUGCUACAUGGGGAAGCAAAAGGGCGGAGAGGAGGCACAAGCCCUCGUCACGCAGGAGCUCGUGGCAGUCAACGGCAUCCCACCCCUGCCUCUGCCAACCAGGUUGGCCAUGCCGCCUUCGCCACCAGGAGUCGCUAUGGCACCGCCUCAGUUCUUCCCUUCUCCAUCUCCUUAUAAUCCAAAUCCUGCCUGUGUCAAGCAAGAAAGUGCUCGUUGAUUUUUUUUUUUAAGCAUCGUGAGUGCCACUUGUUUCAUGCUAUCAAUGAGUUCCAUGAAGUUCUUCCAAGACAUGUAUAAUUUCUUCUUUGCCCGAACAUGUAAAAAGUAAUAGUAUGUAACAAAUAACACAAUUUUCAUUUGCUAUAUAUUUUGCAUUUACCAAUAAUAUUUGAAACUUGAAGAGUGAAAUUGAGAAACAUAAGAAGAAUAAAUCCUCGCAACUGUACUUCAAGAUAUGACCCACCAAUCCACACACGACAUAUCUCCCGGCUUCACCUUCAAGUCCCAAACCGGAUCUCUUGUUACUACAGUUCGAUUGCCGGACUUCAAGAGAAGCUGAAGUUGUGUUGCCUCGGAUGUUUCUAGCUCAACAUUUUCCUCAAUGCACUUCUUUUAAGUGAUUUCUGAGAUAGCUAGUAUAAGCAACUAGAGGGGGGUGAAUAGGUGUAAAAAUAAUUUAUCGUGAUAAGUGAGCAAUACUAAACAGACAAUAGAAAGGAAGUUCUCAUUUUGUUAACAAAACGAAUUAUGAUCAAAGUAAAGGAGAGUAGGGAAGAGAAAAUGAACACAAAAAUUAUAGUGGUUCGGCUUAUUCCAAGCCUACAUCCACUCUUCCACACUGACAUUCCACCGGCUGGAUUUCACUAUGAACAAAAGAGUUGUUAUAGGAAAGCUCUCCUUUGAUUCCACAGUAUAGAUACUCUACCACACUUCCUCAAGGUUUCUCAAAGAUAUAGACUCUCUUUUGCGUACAAGAUUUCGCUCAGUAAAUGAAUUGACUAAGAACAAAGAGCUUCAGACUUUGGAAUUCUUCUAUCGCGCACACACUCGAACAACUGGAACGUCUUCCUUAUAUACUCCUUUAUGCCAUCAUACCCGUUGGCACUUACCAAAGGAAUUCUUCCAAUCUUCCCAUUGGACAUAAUCAAUGAGGAAGAUCAUUCGAGCUAUUUAAGGAACAUGACGAUAGCCCAUCAAUCAUGCUCGCCCAUACAAUCAGGAUCUCGGUUUCCAUAAGUAGAACCUUCUAAGUAUACUUCGCCAAUCAUCGGAUCCUCAAUCUCUGAAUCAAUCUUGAUUCGAAUAAAGGAUUCCAUUAUGUCAUAUCUAGCCAAGAGAUCUUCUCCAGUCGAUAAGGUCAAAUCCUUAACGAAACAUCCAGUCCUGGAUAGGCCUUCUUCAACAAACUAGAAACUGUCAAUGAUAAUAGACUUUGAGUCUUGAGUUUGGCAGUCCGGAGGUCUUCAGGCUUUAAAUAGUAGAGUCUGCAAAUCUUCAGACUAGACUGAUGGAAACGUUUUGUCAGCUUCAAAACACUCCAGGAAGAUUUCUCCAACAAUCUCUCCCUUUUUGAUGGUGACAAAACUUUUCUACAGAUUUGGAUAACUUUGACCUGCAAAACAAUACUCAAGCAAAUAUGGAUAUCUCAUAAAGAUAAAUGGCUUAGUGAUAACACUAGAAUCUGCAACCACAGAAAAUAGGUUAGUCUUUUAGAUGAGUAAAGCCAUAAGAUAUCAAUAGUACUUAAGAUAAACAAAUGUUCAAACAGUCAAACCCAAAAUCCAAUCCACAGCCAGACACAAAAGUCAAGUGAAAACAAACAUCAAAACAAAUCAAGAGUUCAAAAAGUUCAAAGUUCAAAUCUGCAUCACAUCUCUCCUCCUUUUUUGUCAUCAUUAAAAAGGUAGAGAUGGAAAGAGAAUGGAAUUAAGAUUGCUUGGGAACACGAACAAGCUGGAAAUCUCCCAUUGACUGGACAAUGCCUUCCAGCUUUUUCAAUUCCUCCUUCAGUUGAGCCACAUCUUCACCCUUAGCAUUUGCUUAAACCUGAAUAGUAAGGGCUUGCAUUUGAUCAUUCAAAGAAAUUGAAGAAGCUUGACCUGCAGUCUACAAAUUCUGUACUUCGCAUCCCAGAGCAUAUAUUUGACCCCGCAUCUCUAAAAGAACAUCAAGAAUUCUGCGAAAAUCUGCUGAAUUAUCAGUCUGCGUACUGGCUUCUACACGAUCAGAUGGAGUAAAGGCGGACGAUGGCAAAUCAGCAUAGUCACGCAGAUUGGGCGAUGAAACAUCAUGUCCCUCCUCAGGAAAUUGAGAGGCAUAGAUGUCCUCUAGAUCUGCUGGAGAGCGGCUUACUCCUUCACUGGUGGCAGGGUAUGAGGACAUUCCUCUUUUCUCAUGAUCUCCCCCUGUUUCCAUGCCUUCAGGUGGAGAAGAGUGUUCCUCAUGCUCUGCUUCCACUUGAUCUCCUCUCUCCUCCUCUUCUUCUUCUUCUUCAAAAUUUUCUCUUUCUCCAGUCCUCUGUUCUGUUUCAUCUGUGUCUUUCUCUUGUCGUUUCGUUGAUUCUAGAACAGAACGACUCAGGUUCUUCAAUGCCAUUGCAGAAAUGGUGAUGUUAUCCUCAUCUUCUUUAUCCUCAACGAUGAGAGCUCUUCUUUUCUUGGAUGGAACAACCAUGGGCUCCUUCCCUUUUCUUUUUGCUGCCGAAGAGAUUUGAUGAGUCUUAACAGGGGUUUUCUCCUUGAAUUUCUCCAACGCCUUGUUGAGUUCCUUCAAACGCAUUUUAGACACCAUUUUCAGUCCCACUACCAUUUGAUCACAAGUUCUAACACAGAGAAUUCAGGGAGGCUGAACAUUCAAAUGUCUGAAUAACUUGGUCACAAGAGCUGGAUAAGGAAGUUGACCCUUGUCCUUCACCACUGCUCUGUACAUGUGGAACAUAAUAGUGUGAGGAAGAGAGAACUUUUUCCCAGCAUUGAUGGCAUACAUCAGCUUUGCCUAUGAGUUUGAAACAUCAGUCUUUGAAGUAGAUUUUGGUCUGAGGCAAAUAAUCACAAUCUUGUGAAGUAGAAUGUUGAACACACUCAUCCUCAAGUAGGAAAUCUUUCCCUCUGUCCUUUUAUCCUUAACAAGUUCCAACGUAGCACAAGCAAUAGACACAUUGAUAGGUUAAUAUCUCCCUCUUUCAACCCCAAUCAGCCACAAAGUCCUGAUCUUGGACACUAAAAGAGAAUCUAUUCGCAUCCAAGAAACUUAGAUUCGAAUAGAAAUAAGCAGUGAGUUCAGCAUAGGCUUUUGUAGAUUCAGAACAAAACUGUUCAAGUUGAAAAAGACUGAAUUUUUCCCGCAAAUUAACGUUCACAGAGUCAAGAAAAUCAAAAUCCACACUUCUAGAGUUUAUCACCCCACGCUUCAACAACUUAGAGUAUAGAUGCUUAUGUUCCUCUGAUCGAAACAAGUCUGUCCUUUUGCUCCGAAUUUGACCCAUUCUCGGUUUAAACUGACUGUACAACUUGUCAUCAUCAUUCCCAUCUAGCUGAUUCAGCCCUCCAACACGUGGAUCGCUUGGGAUAUUUGCCAUUGCCUCUUCCGCCAACCCAGCAUGGGCAAUUCCCAACCGUUCCAUUGUGCGUAAAAAGAAUAUUUCAUUUUUAUACCCUUUGUCUUUUAGAAAUUCAUCAAUAUAGUUCAAAGGAGUUCCACCCAUUUUCAAAGCACGAUAAAGCUUGUAGGUAAAAGAGGGCUUAAAAGUUCUUACGGGUUAUGCAUCUUUGAUUAUUUCUUCCUCUUCUGGAUGAGCAACAUCCUGUGGUCUAGAUGGAGGAGAUGGACGCUGCUGAGAAUGUUGUGGGCUCUGCUGCUGACUAGGAGACUCUUCUUCCUCGGUGAGAUCAAAGUGCAUAGGCCCCUCACGCAUUUGCUACGGUCCCCUGUUCACGAUCCUCGAAGACUUCCUUUGAGACGACAUCUUUCACAGUCUUUGAAAGAUUCCAAACUUGUUUUUCCCAAGAAAGAUGACAACUUUUCGAAGAUUAAACAAGAGAAGAAGACAGAAGUGGAAGAUCGAUGCUUUUUAGGAUUUUUGGAGUAAAUUGAAGAGGAACCAACAGUAUAUAGGAUAGUCGAAGAGAGGCAUACAAAACAUCGUAAAGGAAAGUACAAAGAUGCCUUUAAAAAAAUAACUGCCUUUUUCAAAAAUUAGAUAACUGUCAUUUAAAAAUAACUCAAUUUUCGAAAAAGAAAGAUUGCAAUAAUCAUGGAAAUUGAAAAUAGCAAAAAUCAAUUAUGGAUAGAUGAUCGUACCUUUUCGAGAUUUAAUCUGAGAGAGAAAAAAAUAACUUACAGUCAAAAAUCUUGAUUGUCUGAGUCUGAGAAUCUCUAGACUUUUACUUCUUCAAACCUCAAGAUGUUGAGUCUGGAACGAAUAACUUCAAAUUGAUUUUUCUCCAAAGGCUUUGUAAAUAUAUCCGCCAGUUGAUUCUUUGAGUCAACAAACUGAAUCGAAACUUCUCCAUUUUGAACAUGAUCUCUAAUGAAGUGAUGUUGAAUCUCUAUAUUUUUUGCUCUUGAGUGAAGAAUUGGAUUCUUGGUGAGAUUGAUUGCACUGGUGUUGUCACACUUAAUCUCCGUGCAUGAAUCUUCAAUUCCAAAGUCUCUUAGUUGUUGUUUUAUCCAUAGAAUUUGUGAACAACAACUUCCAAGAGUUACAUACUCUGCUUCUGCUGUAGAAAGAGCUAUUGUAUUUUGUUUCCUUGAAAACCAAGACACUGUCCUGCUUCCAAGUAGUUGACAGGUACCCGAGGUGCUCUUUCUAUCAACUCUGCAUCCGGCUAGGUCUGCGUCUGAGUAUCCAAGAAGAGUAAAGUCUCCCUUUUUAGGAUACCAAAGUCCAAAGUUUGAAGUUGAUGCUAUGUAUUUGAUAAUAUGCUUUGCAGCACUUAGAUGAGAUUCUUUAGGGUCUGCUUGAAAUCUGGCACAAAUGCAAACACUAAACAAAAUGUCAGGUCUAGAAGCAGUAAGAUAAAGAAGUGAACCAAUGAUACUCCUGUAUAGCUUCUGGUUAACUUUCUUUCCUCCUUCAUCUUUGUCUAUCUUCAAGGAACUUGACAUUGGUAUAUCAGUCUUUUUGCAAUUUUCCAGUCCAAACUUUUUGACAAGAUCAUUAGCAUAUUUUUCUUGAUGAAUAAAAGUUCAUUCCUUCAAUUGUUUCACUUGAAGCCCGAGAAAGAAGGUUAGUUCACCCAUCAUGCUCAUUUCAAAUUCAUCAUGCAUAGACUUAGAGAAUUUCUUGCACGGACUUUCAUUAGAGGAUCCAAAAAUAAUAUCAUCAACAUAUAUUUGAACAAGGAGAAAAAUUUUGCUUUAACUUUUGAUAAACAGUGUAGUGUCUACUUUACCUUUAACAAAGCUGUUUUGAAUUAAAAAUUUACUCAACCUGUCGUACCAAGCUCGAGGUGCUUGCUUUAAACCAUAUAAAGCCUUUUUCAGUCUGAAUACUAAGUCUGGUUUCCUUGGGUCUUCAAACCCAGGUGGUUGUUCCACAUAGACUUCCUCAUGGAUAAAUCCAUUCAGGAAAGCACUUUUGACGUCCAUUUGGAAUAACCUGAAAUUCUUAUAACAAGCAAAAGCAAGUAAUAAUCUAAUUACUUCUAACCUCUCUACUGGUGCGUAAGUCUCAUCAUAGUCUAUCCCUUCUUCUUGCGUAUAUCCCUUGGCCACGAGUCUUGCUUUGUUUCUUACGACCUUUCCUUUCUCAUUCAUCUUGUUCCUGCUUUCCCAAUACACAUGGUGUACAUAGAUUAGUCUUUUGGUAUGACAGAUUGGGUAGAUCACAAAUAAGCUUCUUUGCUAAAAUUUUGGCUAUUUGCUUCAUAUUGAUGUGCCCAAGUUUUCUGUGCCAUAAGUUUGUUUCAUCUUGAAUUGAGAUUAGACAUUGGGUUUCAUCAGGUUUAACAUCCAAGAGGUAGAUGUUUCCAUGUCUUCGACCCAUGAAUGACUGAGUGGAAUCUUUACUGGUUCCUGAACAUAUUCUCUCUUGAAAGUUGAUUUUGAAACCGGUAUCGCACAGCUGACUGAUACUAAGCAAAUUGUAGUUGAGUCCUUCCACUAAGGAAACAUUACUGAUUGUGAGGUUUCCAAUCUUUACAGUUCCGAAUCCCACAAUUCUUCCUUUGCUGUUUCCUCUAAAUGAAACUUUUCCACCAUUUACUUGAACAAGCUUUAUGAAGCAAUUUGAAUCUCCUGUCAUAUGUCUUGAGCAUCCACUAUCAAAAUACCAUUUUACCUUCUUCUUGAUAGUGACCUGCAUUUAAAAAAGAGACUCAAACUUUCUUUGGUACCCAUAUUUUCUUGGGUCCAUUGGUGUUAGUAUGAUAUGCGGUUUUUGCCCAUACUUUCUUAACAGGUUUCCAAACCAUAUGACAUUCUUUCUCAAAAUGAUCUGAACUAUUGCACUUAGAACAUCUGAGAGCAUUUCGACCUACUGGUUUUACAAAAACUUUUUGGAAAUGAUUUUUAUAAGCAUCUCUUGUGGGUCUUUGCUUAAUUCUUUCAUUCACUUUAGGAAAAUCAAUUAAAGAAAUGGUUUCCACAGUCAUUCUCAAACCAGAUUUAUUGAAAUAAGGUCUUUGUGCUGAAAGAAUUUUCUCAAGUUUCUCAGAUCCUAUAGAAAAUCUUUUGGAAAUAUUUGCUAUGUCAUUUUUUAAAAAUGCAUUUUCUUUCGAAAAGUUGUCUUCAUUUACUUUUAGAGUAGAAACAUUCAUGUCUAAACAUUUAACCUUUUCUUUCAAAAUAUUUUCUUGUUGUUUUAGUGCAGAAUUUUCUUUUUUAAGUUUGGAAAUCCUUUUAAGAGAAGUCUUGAGACUAAAACACAACUCAUCAAUGUAUUUAGAAACUUUAGUAGGGAUUUUAAAGUUACUCACAUCAAGUUCACUGUCUGAAUCUGAGUCUGUCUCGGAGUUUGAAUCUGAAUCCGAUUGUGCCAUUAGACAUAUAUUGGCAUAAUCAUCAUCACUUUCUUCACAUUCUGUAUCACUCCAGGUUUCUGCUUUGAGAGCCUUUCGAUAUUUUUCAGCUUUUCCUUUCUUCUUCCUUAGAAGGGGACAGUUGGGUCUGAUGUGUCUCUUUUUCUUACAUUCAAAGCAGACUACAUCUCUAUUAGAUUCAUCAUCCUCAACGGACUUAGUCUGUUGCUUUUGAAAACUCUGUUUCUUUGGAUUGAAUCUUCUUCCUUUUCUAUUCAGCUUUCUGAAUCUUCUUAUCAUGAGAGCAAGUUCCUCAUCAUCCAUAUCGUCUUCAGAAUCUGUAACAUCAGAAUCAUCAUUGGAUUUUAAUGCAAUGGAUUUCUUACCUUUAGGAUCUUCGUCUUCAUUGAUUCGCUCCACUUCAUAAGACUGAAGAGUCCUAACCAACUCAUCGACAGAUAGUGGCAUAAUUCUUUGUGUCUCCCUUAUUGAGGUCUUUAUGUGAUUCCAAUCCUUGGAGAGUCCACGCAAUAGCUUGUUUACUUUCAUGAGAUCAGAAAUUGGUUGACCUUGAUUUUCAAGACCAUUCACGAUUUUUGUAAAACAACUAAACAUGUCAGUUAUAGAUUCUCCUGAUUUCAUUUUGAAGGCUUCGUAUUGACCUAGGAAAAUGUUGAUUCUGGUUUCUUUCACUCGAUCAGUUCCUUCAUAGGUGAUAUGUAAUCUAUCCCAAACUUCUUUGGCUGUAACACAAGAAGAUAUUCUGUUAUAUUCAGUAGGUGAUAAAGCGCAAUAUAAAGAAUAAAUUGCUUUUGCAUCAAGAACUUGUCUCUUGGUUAUCUCUUCCUGAGUCAUUUCACUAGACUCAACAACUUCUUUUCCUCUCUCUGAUGGUCACUCUGUCAAUGACGGGAGUGACGGUCAGCUAAGGACCGCACAUCUAAGAUGGAAACCGGUUGACUUUUUUGACAGGUUUCCAUCUUUUACCCAAUUUCUUCUUUUUCUAAUUUUUAUGUUUUCUAAAUCACUCUGUCAAAGAUGGAGUCACAAUCAGCUAAGCCACACUCAAACUAAAACUUUGCCCAAGCUUUACGCGGACAUAUAUUGAUAAAUGUACUUUAAUUAUGUUUGUUUUCAUUUUUAUUUGUAUUAAUGUCAUUAAUUUGGGAUUGUUUAUGUUUGUUAUCCAUUAGGUAUAAAAUUACCAAGUAAAGCCAUAUGUCAUAUCAAACAUGAAAAAUUGAAAGUUUAUAGUCCAAUUUAACUUUUAACGAAGGCAUGAUGAAAAUUUAAAAAAUAAAUUUGAAAAUCGCUACUUCCUAUACAAAUUGGAUCCUACUUUUCAUUUUAUGAUAUGAGGAUUUCUUUUUUCAGUAUCAUAUCUUCAAAGGAUGUUUUAAUUCAACCUCAAUGGUUGAAUUAAACCUUUAGACCAUCUCAGCUUCUUCCUAGUGUAAAAAUUCCUAUGUGACGUCCAAGAUGAAGGAAAACCCUUUAGAAUAAGUCAAUUUUGGACGGUUGAUCCUUAUGACCAAAAAGCAUCCAGCAUCGAGUCUCUAUCCCGUGCUUGCAAUCACUUGCAUAUGUUGCCCACUAUUAAGUGCUUGUUUUAUCCCAAAAAAAAAAAAAAAAGUCACCAAAAAUCCUAAAUUAUGUUCACUGUGACACAUUGACACCAAUUUUUCUUUUCUUUUUACACUAAGAAUCCCAAAUUUGUAUUUAUGUGACAUAUUUACUCCCAAAUUUAUAUAGUGGGACAUAUCUAUCCUAAACUUCUUCUUAUGAUAUAAAAAAUCAUAAAUUUGUAUCCGUAUGACACAUUCAUCCUUAAAAUUUAGUGUCACAGAAAAAAGUUUGAGAAUUUUGAUAUUACAAAAAAAAAAGUUUGAGGUAAAUAUGUCAUAGAAAUAUAAGUUUAAGAUUUUUGAAGUCACAAAAAAAGUUUGGGUAAAUACAUCACAUGGGUGAAGUUUGGGGUUUUUGUGGAUUUUUCUCCUUUAUUUAUUCUUUCUUCUCUAUAUGGGCUAAAGAACGUAGAUGUUCAUGCUUUGACAAGUAGUGAUUCACCCUUGCUCUCACCAUGACGAAGAGGUAUCCUUUCAUUUGCUUAGCCACGACUAAUAUGGAGCACAAGCUCCUGGUUCAAACUUGUCUUACACACUCUAAUCAAUGUUUCUUAAACAUAUUAUGAUUUUCACCAGCGUUUUUCCUAAGCUGUAGAAAAUCACCAGGAUGGAGACCAAGGAUUUAGAGUGACGAUUCUCGUUCUUUGAUUUUGGAUGCCUCCAUCAUUCCAAGGACAUUAAAUGUGAGAAGUGAUGAGCUAAUGUCGCAAUUUUAUAGCAUCAACAACCCUUUUCCCCACUAAAACACUACUGAUUGAGACAUUUGAUGAUCGAGGGGCGUGAUUACGCUAUUUCCACCCUUUGUCUCCAGAAAAUGACUGAAUAGCUAUAGAAAUUUGCGAUCCUUGCCAUGAUAUUUCUCUCUAAGCAAGGCAGGUAUAGGGAUUUUUCUUUUGAUCAUCAGGUACAUAGACUCUAAUGAGAUUGUGGUUUAAAUUCGUUUUCUUUCACGUGGGGUCUGGUUGUUCCAGUAAAUUCGAAAUGCUGAUAAGAUGAAUUUUGCUGAUAUCGAGAAAGAAAUCAACAGUCUUGUAAAGAAGGCAAAUGCAAUGGAAUGGGAAGCAGCUGAUCUUUCUGUUGAUCGGAUCAUAUUUAUAUUUUGUUCCAAUGUCCCAUCAUCUAUCAUCAAUUCACCGCAUUACACGGAUCGAAAUCAGGUGGAAUUGUUAUUAAAUUCCUUAAGAAUGCAAUUUGCUAGCCAAAUUAAGAUCCGAAUAUUCCAUCCAAAUGUCCGGUGGGUACUGCUGUAGAAAGUCAAUAUCUUGCCUGUACACAACCCGAAAUCUAGCCUAAAUUACUUACUUUAUAUGCACCAUCCAAAAACUUUAAUUCGUAAAUAAAAUACGAGGAACCUUUUCUAUGUCCACCAUAAGUAAAUUUUCCUGAUAGGGAUGGACGUCGGGAAAAAGCUGAUAUUUUUCUGGAUUGGAUCAUAUUCAUAUGUUUGUUCAAAUGUCCCAUCAUUUAUGGUCAAUUCCCCGCAUUACUCGGAUCAAAAUUAGGUGGAAUCCUUAUUAAAUUACUUAAGAUUGCAAUUAAUUAGCCAAAUCAAGAUCCAAACAUCCUUAGAACACGGGGUUAAUUAGACAAUUUCGAGUGACAUUAUUGUUACAUUGAAUUUUAACUUUCCAGGAAUGUGGUGUGAUGUUGUUGUCAUGAGCGUGCUCCAACUACAUUAAAUUAGAAGACGAGGAGAUAUCUUUGGCCACCAUCACGGAAAGUCAAAUAAAAGCGUGGUCUAACAUAUAUAUAUACCAUUCAAAUGUGCGAUGGGUGCUGAUGUAGAAAGUCAACGUCUUGCCUGUACACAGCCCAAAUCUAGCCUAAAUUACUAACAUUAUUGAAUGAUUGUCUAAUUCAAAGGGAAUGAAUAAUGAACGUAAAGUUUGAAAUUCUAGAACUGUGACCCUUAGAUAUUGACUUUUAAUAAUUAAGUAAAGCAAUUUCCGAAUAUGAAAAGUAAAGAAACAACUUAAACUUAGACUUUUUUAUUAGUACGAUAUGCAUACAUGUCACACUACUUUACUUUGAUGGAGAAAAUGUACAUUGUAGCAUUUUAUGUCGGUUAUCGCUAGAUUAAACACUCAAGUUAUAAUUACUUUAGGGCCUUGUUGGCCGUAUUGCCCAAAUCCAUUGUGAGCGUAGGUCGAAUCAAGCCCAUGGGCCCUAAUUGGCCGACUGUGGCCCGACAAACAUUUGAUGGACUGGUUGGCCCCAGCCUUGAGGACUUUUGGUGCUUCAGAAAUAUAGUCAUUGGACAGUCGAUCCGUGUUUUAUUAUUUUUCUGCAAUUACUUUGUUUAUUAUUAAUAAUAUUUUUGUACUUUUUUCUUUAAAAAUUUGAGUUGCAUAGCUCGAGCAGAACUCCGAGCAUCGAAUAUCUAAUAGGAGUUGAGCUUGAGCUUGGCCUUAUUGUAUUGGCUUGACUCGAAAGGUAGUUAUAAAAAUAAUAGUUAUUUAUUUAGUAAUUAUACUAUUGUUUAAUAAUUAGUUCAUUUAUUUUUUUAGUAAUUAUAUUAUGGUUUAAUUAUAUCAAUUAAUAAAAUAAUGGUUACUUACAUUAGAAAUUCAAAUAUUGCAAUUAUUUAGAAAUUAUAGUAGGCUUUCAUUUAUGUCCUAUGAAAAUAUGAUAAUAAAAGAAAUUAGAGUUUGAUAUAUAUCAUCAAAGGGUAUUUUGGGUAUUCUUCACUAUUCCAAACAUAUUCUCCCUACUAUCAUGGCAAAACAAACCAAAUAAUUUUUUGAAUCCAUUAUACAAACCAAACUACAAUUUAGCUAUUCCAUUCCUAGUCCUACUCUCUUCCAAUUUUAUGGAAUAACUUUUCCAUUCCUAUCUUAUUAUAUCCCACAAUCAAAACAUCACAUGACACAUUUGAAAUAGCUUUUUUUAGUGAAGUCACAUUAUCAUGAGGUUAGAUCUCUCACCAUCAUUCAUAAAGAAACGUAGAAAUGUAAUCUCAACCGUCUAACUUUUUCACUUGAUAUAUAGGUUACUAAUUCUUGCAAUAAAAAUAUCUUAUCCUUGGAAUAAAUAUCUUCUACAUGGUAAAUGUCAUUUCUUUGAGGUAAAAAGAUUCAUUUGCGAUAAGGGAGCCCGUGAGUGGUCUCUCCAUGCCACAUUUCCUCAUUUUGUAGUCGAUCACCUAUGAUCUUCUGCCUUGAUAUAUUCAUGAUUUAUUUGAAUUACCCCAAUUAGACAACAGUUCCAAAGAGAUUCUUUCAAGCCAAGAGCAAAAGAAAAAAGCAUAUUCACCAAAAAAGUCACUAUGACUAUACUGAUGAAUUGUGCCAUGAAAUGUCAUAGCACAGUUCAUCGAACCCUUUUAAACAAGACAACAAAUAAGGUGAACAGCAUAGAAUCUUGGGCCCACGAUUUGUAUCCUCACUCAGAAUGCGGUGCUCUAAGCCAAAGAAGCUGUGGAAAUAGCGGCAGCUGCUAAAAUGUCGUGACUGCUCCAAAUUUGUGACUGGAAAUUGCAAACGUACCUGAUGAAUUAUUCUAUAAAUGCUGCGCCCCCAUACGAGAAUGAGAUUGUUGCAAGGAUUAACUACAACAGAUGCAUAAUAAGCCACCAUCAAAAUCUGCAGUUGAAAUUCUGAUAGGGGAUGCAGUUCUAGUUUUGGGGAGAGACGAUAGAAUUUGAUGAACGAAAAGAAUUUGUAUGGAGCCUUUCUCUUUUCAGCAUCUGAGACUGACGGCCUUGCCUUUGAAGCAACAGACUUCAAAAGAGUCGGUUAUAAUUGGCUUUUUCCCAUGCUGAUUGUUCUCGCCCCUGUCAAGAAGAUCAUGAACAGCUUGAAGCUGUGCAUCCGAAAACAGAGCUUCAAGAUCCGCUCCACUAAAUCCUUCUGUCAUAUGAGCUGUAGCAUCCAAGUCCACAUCACUGGCCAAAGGAACUGCACAGGGGCAUUAGAGCAUACACACAGCAAAACUUCAGCAUUGCCCAAUGGUUGCCAAUUUUACUGACUGAUUUGACAGAAUCGGAUUAAUAUAAUUAAAUCUACCAAAGGUAAAGUCUUAGUCCCAUCUCAUGGAGUCAGAUGUCAAGGCCUUUCUCAUUUUUCUUUUCUGAGCAACAUCAGUAUAUGUUAAAUCCACUAGUCUCAAGGUCCGAGGUUGAAAGUGAUUUACUAUUGGACAUUUAGACUUACCUGAGCCCCACCUUAGCAGGUUGCAGAUCCAACCCACGAAUGCCUUUUACAAUCUUCUCUUGUAAUUCACAAUGUUUAGGGUGAUUUGUAGCAGGACUUUUGGAGAACUCCAUGGGAGAAGGGGUUUUAACUUUUAACUUAACAUGUUUCACCAAAUGUACUCUAUCAGAUGCCACAAGUUCUAAACAGGAUCUUUAGCCGCUCAAUUGACUCUGUUUCUAACUCUUUUUGUUAAUUUUUAAGGAAUUUUCUAUUCAUAUGUAAUCUUUCUGAUGAUUUUUCUUGAAAAAGUAGGAUUGCAGUUAUAAAGUUCUUUUAACAAAUAGAACCUGUUUCAGACCAUGUCAAAGAUGAAAUGCUAAAAGAAAAGGCAUUGGUAGAUGGAUGUGAGCUAAGUUUCUACCUUCCUGGAUAAAAGUUUAACAAUAUCUAGCCUCUCCUGUAUAGAAGGAAAAUCACAGAAUUUAUGUUGAGCCAGCCAGGACUCAGAAGUGCAGCAUCAAGUGAGUGCGUUCUACAGCUUCACAUCAAAUGCAACUCAGUUAGCACAAAAAGCCCAUAACCUGACAAUUAUUAAAUAAAGAAAGAGCAUUCUUAGAAAGAAAAGUGAAUUAGAAUUACUAGGAAAUAGAUGAACCCGUGAAUUAGAAUUACUAGGAAAUAGAUGAACCCAUGAACCUUGAGCAAAACAAAAGAGCACCUCACGCAGCAAAGAUGUUAUGAUGACUAAGAAAUUGCAUAUGCUCGCUGUCACUAGACCCAAAUGAUCAACAUCAGUUGAUGCCGUUGUGGAGGCUCAAUACCAGCAUAUACACUUCUUUUAAGCUACUUCAGCAACGAAAAAGUAAUCCAUGCAAUCCCAUCUUUUAUCACCUUCUUUUUUAUACAUAUGUAGUCUAUCCAAUACUGUGCAUCGUAGUUCAUAAUCCUAGUUUAUGGUGAUCUUUGGUUGUGCAGUGUGACAUCCUGAAUUUUUUCAACUUGUUUUCUACUAAAUUUAUCGGGCAUUUCAUUGACGUGUUUCUAGGGCUAUUCUCAAAGCCGAUCACUCUUGAAAAAACUAGACUGUCAGGGUAAGCCAUUAAGAAUUUUAAGGCAAUAGACUCGAAAAUUCAAUCAGGAAUCGGCUUCUCAACCGUGCUUAUCAUUAGAGGCCGUUACGGCACAGUUAAAAAUCGAUUUGAAAUCAAAGAUAGGUCUGUUUGACUGAGAUGUGUGGCCGAUUGUGGGUGACUCCAGUAAAUUGGAAAAUUCUCGUCGAUUGAUACUAAUAUGAUUUUACAGUCAUUUUGGUAUCCUGUGUCCGUAAUUGAAUCCUCGAGAUUUUCAAGACAAUUGAGAGUCGCCGUUGAGUCGAGUGGGUUCAUUGUGGUUCAAAGAAAAUCGACCACGAGUCAUUUGCCUUAAAAAAUUCUGAAAACUACCCGGUAGUCUAGGUCACGCUAAAAACACGCCAAACAGAAAUUAACUGCGAAAUUCGAGGCCGAUUUCAGAAAUUGAAGUUUCUGUCAUGUCACAAUAAAUUUUAGGAGUGUCGACUUAGUCUUUGAAGAUUUUUUAGAGAUUCCGAGAUUUUUAUGGAAAAUUGGUUCGGACGCCGUGGAAAAUCAGCGGAAAUUCGGAUAGGCCAAAUUAAAGGAAAUUUCGACUUCCGAGCCGAGUAUUGAGUGUCAUGGACUUACAGAAAAUUGUUUGGGAUUUUUCUCCAUUGGAAUUGGACCUCAAUUUGGGAAAUUAAGUAAGAAGAUUUAAUUUAGUUGGGCAAAUUCGAAAUUGGAAAAAGGGCAGAAAUUUGAGGCUUCAAAUUGGAUAAUUUGGUGAAGAUUAAUCAGGAAAGAAAUUGGGAACCAUAGAAGAUAAGAUUGAAGAUUGGUGGGGCCAAACAUUCAAUCUAAUGGCUAAGGAUUAUUGACUUUCACCCCCCUCUUUGGCUUCUCCCUCACGCUCGGCACCCCCCAUCCGCUCAUUGUUCCUGCUUUUGUUUUCAUUUUCUCUACCGUGCGAAGCAGUCCCCACCCGGCCUCUCUACAGCUUCGUUGCUUCUCUUCCCCAACCAAAGUUCACAAGCCCCCGCUCACGCCAACCUCGAGAUCUUCAAUCAAGCUGCUCCUCUCCACUAGUUGCUGUCCCCCGCCAGUCAACUCUCCUCACUGAAGCCUGAUCGAAGCCCCGUCUACGGUUUGCUUCUCUCUCGCGCUGCCACCGAAGACCCAAAGUCCAGCAUCUUCGUUCGUGCCUUGCCAACAGCCACGAAGACUUGCAGCCACGCCAAGUAGCUGCUUCCUCGUCCGCGUGAAUUUCCCCGACGCCACGAAGACAGGAGCUGCUACCGCGCCAGCUCUCAAACGAAGCAGCACUGCUCGAAGCCGAGCGAAGCCACCCCCCAUCUUCGGUUUGGCUCCACGAAGCUGCCCCUUCGUCCUCAGUCUCCAACAGCAGCAACCCACGUGUUUCUUCCCUCGUUCCAGCCCGAUUUCCUGCCACCGUUUGAAGCCAGCGAGAUCUGCAAGCUUCGGUCAGCCCAGCAAGCCCAACUUCAAUUUCAGUCUUCAAGCCCAGUCAAAUUGCUUCAGCUGCAGCCCAGUCCAGUCCACGUGAGUUAAUUGGCCAAGCCCAAUUUCCAGCAAAGCAAUUAAAGUCCAGCCCAUAUCUUGAAGCCCAUCUUCAGCAGGUCCAACCCAACUUGGGUCCAGCCCAAAAGCAAAAACAAAUCUCAAUUGGGCUGAGAUUUGUUGGGCCCAAGUUUAAGGCCCGGUCCAAGCCCGCCGGUAUCGUCGAAAGCCUGAUUUCGGCUGCCGUCGCGUCGCCGUCGUGGUAUCCUGAUACCCGCUUUUAAUCAAGUGAGUAAUCUCACUAAUCCUUGCUUAGUAUACUAAUUAUGCUUAAGGAUUGAUUAGAUUUAAUUAAGUGUAAUUAGGUGGUUAAAUUAGAAUGGAUUAGUGAUUAUUAGUUAAUUGCAUUGCAUAUUAGUUAGGUGAUUAGUGUACUUAGCUAGAGAAUUGCCUAUACUAUUUAUUGAAUGCAUCUCGGGAUUUUUCCCGACCCUUAUCGGGCUUCAAUUAGGCAUUACGGGCCUAAAUUGGAUUUUUAAUAUUUAUUGAUUUAAUUUCGAAAUUAAUUAUUUAAUUAUUUAUUUUUCCGGAAAUUCAACCGGGAUGGCUGGUGACCGGAAUUUCAUGUUGAUUGUCGUGGUGCAGUCCAUUUAUUUAUUUGAGCUCUACAUUGUUCUAAAUUGAAUUAAUUGCGUGAAUUAAGGAAUUAUUCCUAAAUUGAUUGAAAUUAAGUGAAAUUGAAUGAUUGGUUGGUAGAUGGCCGAGUAUAGUUAUUGAGCAUUGUUAAUGCCUUAAUGAGUAAUGAGGUGGAGAGAAUCGUGAGAUUUAAUUGGGAAUACUUUUGGCUGAGACCAAUCAGAUACAAGGUAUAGACAGGCGUGGUUCCGUGAUUAAGGAUAUCACUGUGUGAAAAUGGCACAUUAAAGAAUGCACGUAGACUGUCUGUGACUUGUGGCAAGCAUGGUUCGAUGAUUAAUGAUAUCACUGUGCAAAAACGGCGCCUUAAAGAACGCACGUAGACUGUCUGUGAUCUGUGACCUAUGACAGGCGUGGUUCGGUGAUGAAGGACAUCACUGUGCGAAAACAGCGCCUUAAAGAACACAUGUAGACUGUUUGUUACUUACGUCACCUUGGCGAAAACGAUGGCCGAGAGUAUUAAUGGAGCUCUUUGACUAUGUGUACUAUUGGAGGUUAUAUAGUGGGUUGUGAAUGACCUAGAAGAGGUUUGACUGAUGUGUAAUCGACUAAGUCGAUUAAGAAAUGAUUUGAUCUGAUGUCGUAAUUUGAUUGACUGUUCGAUGUGAUAUAUGAAGCAUCUGUAUAUAACCUUAAAUUGCAGGUUGGAACUGAUGCCAAGGUAAGUCUUCUGACUCGUGCUGUGCUUAGGCAACCAUGUGGUGUAUUGGUUUCCUAAUCGAGUCUUAGUGGGGUAGAAUUUGCUGAGACGUAGUCUCAUCCCAGUUGUGGGACAACAUUUCAGGACCCUGAUGAGGAGCCUAAGGAGAAAGAAACUGAAGAGGAGUAUCUGGAGGAGAAUCUAGAGGAUGAUCCUGAGUACGACCAGGAUGAGGAUUGAGAGCCUAUCCGCUUUUUGUAAACCCUGUUUAUGUGUAGAUAGAGUGAGGCUUUAAAUUUGUGAACAGUUGUGAAGUACUCUGUAUUGUGUUAUGUAUAAGAGUUUGGUUAUGAGUUUCAAUAUGAAAAAUAUGGCAUUACUUUUCUAUCCCAUCGUUUUAUUGUCUGGGGAUUUAUAACUGCUUCCGCAUAUGCUAGAAAAAAAAAGAAAAUGUUGGUGAUACAUAGUCCUAGGAUAUUGCAUUAUAAAAUCAAUAAAGUAGAAGGAUGUGUGUGUGCCCGAGGAUUUGGGCGUGACAUCCCUUUUUGUGGUAUCAAAGCAAAGUUCAAGAUUGGAGUGAUAAGGAGCGAUGAGUCUUGGGAUAGUAAUAAGAAUGGCCUUUAAAUUCAUGCCGGUGCAUGUCUGUGUUAGCUAAAUGCUAGAAUUGCUUGUUGUUUGGAUCACUCUGUUUCUAAUUUGGUGUUGAAUUGGAAGUAGGUAUCAGUAGAUUAAAGUGACACCAUGAGCGAUUAGGAGCCUAGAACUCCUGCAAAGAGGACCAGUAAGGUCGUUGUUUGAGGGUAAAGCUCUGACUCGUGUCGGGACUCGAGGCGGAUGUGGUCGAGCGCGAGUGGAGUGAUUCCAUCUGUUGUAGGUGCCGGGGUAGCAGCCCCUAAUGAUCCUAGGUUGGAUGGGAUCUUGCGUGUUCUGGAAGCGAUGGGUACGAGAAUGGAUCAGCAAGCCGCUACAGUUGAAGCCGCCGCUUAGGUCGCCGCCACUGCCGCAGCUGCUGCUACUGCUCAAGCCGCCCUUGUCGCAGCACCUGCAGUUCCACCUGCCGUCGCCCCUACUGAAAUACUACCAGGAGUUGUUGUCACUGGGAGGCCGAUUCACCAGUUAGUGGAAUAGUUCUUAAAGAUGAAUUCGCCGAAAUUCAUUGGUACCGGAGACCUUGAGGCUGCGUCUCUAUGGGUACAGGAUUUGGAGAAGGCAUUUGCACUUCUGAUGUGCAAUGAGGAGGAAAAGGUGUUACUAGCUAUGUACCAACUUCAAGGUAACACCAAUAUAUGGUGGAGAGCCGCCAAGGAUACAGUGUUCCUGGAAGGUGUGGUCCAGGUAUGGGACACCUUCCUCAGAGCCUUUAAUGAUUAGUACUUUUCGAGUACUGCUCGGGAACAAAAGAUAGAGGAGUUCCACCAUCUCCUCCAAGGGAGCAUGACAGUUGACCAAUAUGGGGUCAAGUUUGCAGAACUAUCCCAGUAUGCUCCUAAACUGAUAGAAGACCCUAAAGGGAAAGCUCGGAAGUUCAAAAUCGGUUUUCGUGCUGAAUUGAAACAACCUCUACUACCAUGGGACUUGAAAGAUUAUAGAGAGGUUUAUCGUCGACCCCAGAUGAUAGAGCGAGGAUUGAAUGAACAAGCUGCCUCAUUUGGAUCGAGGUUUACCUCCCAUCGAUAGAAUAUCCGUCACGGGAAGAGACCCAUGUCUGGAGGUAGGCCUAAUGCUCCACCCUUCAAGAGAAGCGGGUUCAAUAGACCGAUGCCCAAUAGGGUUGAUUCUUUUCGCUCAUGUGGAAGACGACACGGGACAGCUCCCUGCCCAGCCAGGAUAGGAGCAUGUUACGAAUGUGGCCAACAGGGCCACAUCGUAAGGUAUUGUCCAAAGAAGCAGAGAGGACAACCUCAAUUGCCACCGCCACCACUAAUUAGACAGAUUAGAUGGUAUGCCCCUCAGAAUGCACCUUAGGGCGGACAGCAGAGACCUCCAGUUCAAGGCACCAUGUAUGCAAUUACGCAAGGCCAGGCAGAAGCUACGCCUGACGUGAUCACAGGUACAGUCUCGCUCAACAACCAACCUGCUUAUGCUUUGUUUAAUUCAGGAGCAACCCAUUCCUUCAUUACCGAGCAAUAUGUUAGGAUGCUAGGGUUGAGUCAUGUAUUAUUGGAGUCGGCAAUUUGCAUAUCUACACCCUUGAAAGAUAAAGUUAUUGUUGCUUUGGGAUGUUCGGGGUGCAAGUUAGAGAUUGGUGAGUGAGUGGGGAAAAUUGACUUGUUAGUCCUAGCCAUGUAUGAUUUUGAUUUAAUAAUUGGCAUGGACUGGCUCACCAAGCACCGAGCUAAAAUGGACUGCUAUCAUAAAGUGAUUCAGUUUGACCCGUUAGGGGGUAAGAGUUUCGAGUUUGUCGGGAAUCGAGGAGGACCCUCGAUUGUCCUGAUCUCGUCGCAAGAGACAACUCGUCUAUUAGACGAGGGUUGUUGAGGGUACCUGGCAACUGUCGUGGAUACGACAGUUGAGGAGCUGAAAAUGGAAGAUAUUUCAGUGGUACAAGAGUUUCCAGAUGUCUUUUCAAAGGAAUUGCCAGGGUUACCGCUAGAAAGAGAGAUUGAAUUUGUAAUUGAAUUAGCACAAGGGACAGAACCGAUUUCAAAGGCACCUUACCGAAUGGCGUUAUUUGAGUUGAAGGAACUGAAGGUGUAGAUGCAAGAGUUACUGGAUAAGGGAUUUAUUCGCCCUAGUGCAUCACCUUGGGGAGCACUAGUUCUGUUUGUAAAGAAGAAAGAUGGUUCGCUACGUCUGUGCAUCGACUAUCGGUAACUCAAUCAGGUAACGAUCAAGAACAAGUAUCCACUGCCAAGAAUUGAUGACUUAUUUGAUCAGUUGCAAGGGGCGUCGAUUUCCUCAAAGAUUGACUUGAGGACAGGGCAUCAUCAACUGAGAAUUAGGAAGGAGGAUAUUCCUAAGUCAGCAUUUCGUACUUAGUAUGGUCACUACGAGUUUACAAUGAUGCCAUUUGGGCUGACGAAUGCUCCAACUGCCUUCAUGGAUAUGAUGAACAGAGUGUUCAAGGAAUACCUGGAUCAGUUUGUAAUCAUAUUCAUUGAUGAUAUCUUGGUGUAUUCGAGAAGUGAUGGAGAGCACGAGAAUCAUUUAAGAUUAGUGCUUCAGACCUUAAGGACUCACCGGCUGUGUGCUAAGUUUAGCAAAUGCGAGUUUUGGUUGACUCGUGUUGCGUUCUUAGGUCAUGUGAUUUCCGGAGAAGGAAUUUCCGUAGAUCCGAGCAAGAUAGAAGCCGUAAUCAAGUGGCGAAGACCGACAACAGUGAUAGAGAUCAGAAGUUUUCUGGGUUUGGCAGGGUAUUACAGACGGUUUGUGGAAGGUUUCUCAUCGUUAGCCUCGUCUCUGACAAAGCUCACGAAGAAAAACGAGAAGUUCAUAUGGAUAGACAAGUGUGAGCGUAGUUUUCAAGAGCUGAAGGAAAAGUUGACUACCACACCGGUACUGACGAUUCCAUCUGGUCCUGGAGGAUUCGAGAUCUAUAGUGAUGCGUUUUUUAGAGGAUUGGGUUGUGUGUUGAUGCAACAUGGUAGAGUGGUUGCAUACGCGUCCUGUCAGUUGAGGCCCCAUGAGCAGAAUUAUCCAACGCAUGACUUAGAGCUCGCAGCGAUUAUCUUUGCCCUGACGAUUUGGAGACAUUAUCUAUGCGGGGAAAAGUUCCAAAUCUUCACGGACCAUCAGAGUCUCAAGUAUCUAUUCUCUCAGAAGGAGUUGAACAUGAGACAGCGCCGAUGGAUGGAGUUAUUGAAGGAUUACGAUCGUGAUAUUCUAUAUCAUCCGAGGAAGGCGAAAAAAGUCGCCGAUGCUUUGAGUCGAAAGUCUUUAGUAGCUCACCUACUAAUCAAGGAGUGGAACUUAAUCGAGAGAGCACGAGAUUUGGUGUUCAAAUUUGAGAUAGGCAACCUUUCGAGUUUUAUGGCCACCCUUAUAAUUAAACCGGAUGUUUAGGUUAGAAUCAAGCUACUUCAACCGACAGAUUCAGAUGUACAGAAGAUAAUUCAAGAGGACCCCAAUAAAAGAAAGGCUAAUUUUCAGGUUUAUGAUGAUGGAGUACUGAGGUUCCAUGGGCGGUUGGUUAUACUUGACGAUGUAGAGCUUAGAGAGGAUAUUUUAUUUGAAGCACAUCGUUCAUCCUGGAAGUACCAAGAUGUAUCAGAACCUGCGUCAACACUAUUGGUGGUUAGGUAUGAAGGCGAACAUCACCAAGCAUGUCGCCAAGUGAAAAUCACAAGCCCCCGCUCACGCCAACCUCGAGAUCUUCAAUCAAGCUACUCCUCUCCACUAAUUGUUGUCCCCCGCCAGUGAACUCUCCUCAUUGAAGACUGACCAAAGCCCCAUCUACUGUUUGCUUCUCUCUCACGCUGCCACUGAAGACCCAAAGUCCAGCAUCUUCGUUCCUGCCUUGCCAACAGCCACGAAGACCUAGAGCCACGCCAAGCAGCUGCUUCCUCAUCCGCGUGAAUUUCCCCGACGCCACGAAGACAGGAGCUGCUGCCGCGCCAACUCUUAAACGAAGCAGCACCGUUUGAAGCCGAGCGAAGCCACCCCGCAUCUUCGGUUUGGCUCCAAGAAGCUGCCCCUUCGUCCUCAGUCUCCAGGAGUAGCAACCCACAUGUUUCUUCCCUCAUUCCAGCCCGAUUUCCUGCCACUGUUUGAAGCCAGCGAGAUCUGCAAGCUUCAGUCAGCCCAGCAAGCCCAACUUCAAUUUCAGUCUUCAAGCCCAGUCGAAUUACUUUAGCUGCAGCCCAGUCCGGUCCACGUGAGUUAAUUGGCCAAGCCCAAUUUCCAGCAAAGCAAUUGAAGUCUAGCCCAUAUCUUGAAGCCCAUCUUUAGUAGGCCCAACCCAACUUGGGUCCAGCCCAAAAGCAAAAACAAAUCUCAAUUGGGCUGAGAUUUGUUGGGCCCAUGUUUAAGGCCCUGUCCAAGCCCGCCGGUGUCGUCGAAAGCCCGAUUUCAGCCGCCGUCGCGUCGCCGUCGUGGUGUCCCGAUACCCGCUUUUAAUCAAGUGAGUAAUCUCACUAAUCCUUGCUUAGUAGACUAAUUAUGCUUAAGGAUUGAUUAGAUUUAAUUAAGUGUAAUUAGGUGGUUAGAUUAGAAUGGAUUAGUGAUUAUUAGUUAAUUGCAUUGCAUAUUAGUUAGGUGGUUAGUGUACUUAGCUAGAGAAUUGCCUAUACUAUUUAUUAAAUGCAUCUCGGGAUUUUUCCCGACCCUUAUCGGGCUUCAAUUAGGCAUUACGAGCCUAAAUUGGAUUUUUAAUAUUUAUUGAUUUAAUUUCGAAAUUAAUUAUUUAAUUAUUUAUUUUUCUGGAAAUUCAACCGGGAUGGCCGGUGACCGAAAUUUUAUGCUGAUUGUCAUAGUGCAGUCCGUUUAUUUAUUUGGGCUCUACAUUGUUCUGAAUUGAAUUAAUUGCGUGAAUUAAGGAAUUAUUCCUAAAUUGAUUGAAAUUGAGUGAAAUUGAAUGAUUGAUUGGUAGACGGCCGAGUAUAGUUAUUGAGCAUUGUUAAUGCCUUAAUGAGUAAUGAGGUGGAGAGAAUCGUGAGAUUUAACUGAGAAUACUUUUGGCUAAGACCGAUCAGAUACAAGGUAUAAACAGGCGUGGUUCGGUGAUUAAGGAUAUCACUGUGCGAAAACGGUGCCUUAAAGAACGCACAUAGACUGUUUAUGACUUGUGGCAGGCGUGGUUCAGUGAUUAAGGAUAUCACUGUGUGAAAAUGACGCCUUAAAGAAUGCACGUAGACUGUCUGUGAUUUGUGAUGUAUGACAGGUGUGGUUCGGUGACGAAGGAUAUCACUGUGCGAAAUCGGCGCCUUAAAGAACACGCGUAGACUGUCUGUUACUUACGUCACCUUGGCGAAAACGACGCCCGAGAGUAUUAAUGGAGCUCUGUGACUAUGUGUACUAUUGGAGGUUAUACAGUGGGAUAUGAAUGACCUAGAAGAGGUUUGACUGACGUGUAAUUGACUAAGUCGAUUGAGAAAUGAUUUGAUCUAAUGUCGUAAUUUGAUUGACUGUUCGAUGUGAUAUAUGAAACAUCUGCAUAUAACCUUAAAUUGCAAGUUGGAACUAAUGCCAAGGUAAGUCUUCUGACUCGUGCUGUGGUUAGACAACCAUGUGGUGUAUUGGUUUCUUAAUCGAGUCUUAGUGGGGUAGAACUUGCUGAGAUGUAGUCUCAUCCCGGUUGUGGAACAACAUUUCAGGACCCUGAUGAGGAGCCUGAGGAGAAAGAAACCGAAGAGGAGUAUCUGGAGGAGAGCCCAGAGGAUGAUCCUGAGUACGACCAAAAUGAGGAUUGAGAGCCUAUCUGCUUUUUGUAAACCCUAUCUAUGUGUAGAUAGAGUGAGGCUUUAAAUUUUUGAACAGUUGCGAAGUACUCUGGAUUGUGUUAUGUAUAAGAGUUUGGUUAUAAGUUUCAAUAUGAAAAAUAUGAUCUUGCUUUUCUAUCCCAUCGCUUUAUUGUCCAGGGAUUUAUAACUGCUUCCGCAUGUGCUAGAAAAAAGAGUAAGGGUCGGCGAUAGAUAGUCCUGGGAUAUCGCAUUAUAAAAUCGACCAAGUAGAAGGAUGUGUGCGUGCCCGAGGAUCGGGGCGUGACAUGCAGCAUCAGAUAAUCCUAGUUCAAUCUCUGGAACCACAGGAAACAAAGAUUAUACAAAAGGGGGCAACCCAGGUUGUUGCAUUUGCCUAAUUGAAUUCAACUAUGAAUGACAAUCAUCAAAUUCCUAGACCUAGCUAACAGCAAAGGAAAAAGAAAAAUACAUAUAAUCUGCACAACAAAUAAGAAUUCAAGGAUGUAAAUGCCUUAUUGGGCGAAAAUACAUCUCUCCAUGUUUUUCCCCAAAUUCAAUUUUAGAUUGGUCCUUUCUAACACGCAUGACCAAGGUGAAAUGAGACAAAACAGAUGGACUAUAUAUCAACUCAAAACUAGCGCACAACAUAAAAAGUGAAAAGUCAAGCCCAAGAGGUUCUCAAUCAAAAUCGUUUUAUAUGGCAAGCUUGCUGUAAUGCAGUAAAUCUUAUGAAACCUAACCGAAAUCACUUGUCAAAAUGGGGAGAACAAAGUCUCUUGAAGUACACAUUGUGCUACCAUGAUUCGAGUUGCAAAACUAAAGAAUACGGUCCUACAACAACUUUUGAAUUUUUCAAGUUCACGUAAGUGCGACAUUACUCCACUCUUGGUUGUCACAAAUUAACAUGUCUUCCCAAUAUAUAGGCUCACGCCAGUUACAAAAAUCACGGCAACAGUAGUUCAACAACAAUAGACCUACCCCCAAACUGAAAUAGUAAACUGCUUGAAACAAACAGGGACCUUCAAGUUCCCAAAAAAUUCUGACGUACCUGUGUGAUCAUCACUUGGUCCCUCAAGAAUUGUAGAUCAGCAACAUGAACUUCUAAACUUGCUUUAGCAAUUUCUAGGUUCUUUUGUAGAAGAGUUGCCGCCUGUAACAUGAAUUAAUGCAAUAAAUAAGAUACUUGACAUCAUUAUUGGAGAUAAAGGGACAUUGCUUCAACUCAAGUACCUCUUCGCAUGAAUACUCCAACAUAACAUUUGCUCUCUGCCAAAAACAUACCGAAUCGGUAUGUUAGAUGUGAGCACAUGAAUAAAAUGCCUUUAGAGACUUCAAAAUCAGCAAGUGCCUGCAUCCACAAUAAAGAGCCAUAAAGGCCGGUCAGUUUGGCACCUAUUAUUAUAUUUUGCGUCUUAGAAGUUUUGAUGGUCUUAGGUUUUAAAGCCCAAUACAGUAAUCCCACCCCAUUUUGCUUUCUAAUAGGACCUUCAGACAUCAAAGCAUAACAUUAUUGGCGAUAUAUUUAGGUGUCCAAAUCUAAAACCACCGCACAAUUAUUGAGAUUAACAUGGGUUCUUUAAAGAACUAACCCAUAUUCUUAGGAACAUUGCUUCUGGAAGUGCAUUUGCGAAGGAAAAAAGAUAGUUGAAUAUUCCAUAUUUAGUCAAGUGCACCAAAAGUAGUUCCUAGUAUGGCAAGAAUAAGGCCACUAUAUCAUCUACCUGCUUUGUUAAGAUAAAAAGGACCGAUAUGAUCAACUAAGAGAACAUCGAGGAGCAAGAAGAUAUUUUAACAUGCAAAUUUUCUAGCAUGAUAAGAUUAUGCAAAAAUUUUAGUUCACAUCACACAUGAAAGAUGAUUGAUAGACUGUCAAGCAUUCCAGAUGAAAAGGAGAAACUGUGAACUAAAAAAUUGGUGUUUCAAUGACAGUACGAAGAACUUCAGGGGAUAAAAUGAGAAAGAACUCUGCAUUGGAAAAAUACUUAGUUAAAAUACAUGCACUGAGAAGCAUUCAGCUUGAAUUUCAAUCUUAAAAUCCAGAUCUGAGGCUAUGGUUCAAUAUUUCAGUAGUAUAGACACAUGCUUGUUGCACACACACAAUGACAUGCAUGCUCGAUCACAAGUCACUUUGCUAUAGCACAUCUAACCAUUCCUCUAGGGCUCAAAGAAAAUUUGGGAUCCAACCAGCGAGCUAUCUAAGUACAGACUUGUAGGUUGGAAAAGUGAAUGUCGAAAAAUGGGAGGGUCACUUUGGUAUAAGGCACCCUUUUCAAUUGGCCAGUUUGCUUCAGUCAUUAUGCAGGUUCCUAGUUGAGUGUCAAUUAAACUAGAGCCUAAAUAAGAGGAUAUCUUUGUGGCCAAAUGGAGUGGUGAGGUGAAGUAAUGGCCCAAUUUGAAAUGAUUGAUCAAUUCAAAUCCUGAAUUUUUCGUAUUGAGAAAGAUAGCACACCUUAUUUAUAUGAUAUCAGAGAGUUGAAGGUUGAAAACUAUUUGAGGUAGAAAACCUUAGUGCAGAGACAGAUGGCGGCAGGGCAUAGUACAACUUCUGCGCUCUGUCUGUGUUUGGCAGAGAGGCAGAGAUGCCCGGCUACCUCAUAGUUGAUUUUUUUAAGGACUAAUGGUGCAAAACAAAUCUAGCAGAUUCUUGUGCACUACAGAGAUAUCCAAAAUAAUAGCACGCGAGCAGGAUACUUCGUUGACGGCAGAAAGUACUGGAAUGUACAAUUUACCACUUGCAAAGAGACUGGUGACCAGAUGAGAACAAGAUUGUCAAACUCUGGUUCUCGCACACAAGUUAGCUGGUGUGAAAGAGAUGGGGAAGGACUUUAUUCAAAGAAGGCAAGGGCUGUUAACUACUUACAAGAUGAAAACCACAUGGACUUUAUUCGAAUGGUUAUCUGGCACCACAGGUUUUCCACAUGAGUCAUUGCCUUGGGAGUGUUUAAAAGUAGCCGAUAUACAAAAAGAAAAAAAGAAGGAUGCAUACAGAUCGUACUAGCUAUAGCAAAGUCGAUGAGAAUCCUCAGGUCACCCAUCUAUUAUGUUGCCGUUGGAUUGAAUCUCCUCAGGACAUGGAUCUGUCAAAGAGCCGAAGAUAAGAUGGUGACCAUGGAAUUGAGUCAUAUCCAAUGCAAACCUUGAGAUUAUGGUUUACUCUUUGUACAAUUAAUUUCUUACUUCCACUUUGUUAGAUUCACUUUGGUUUAAAUAACUCUAUUAAAAGGUUUGCUCCCCUUGGUGUGUUAGCAAGUAAACUAUUGCUUUAUGAAGAAUAUUACAAUAACACAGAAGCAUUGUCCUAUCCGAAUGAAGGGACACAUGAAAGAUAGUACUAGUAGCUCUGAGCUCCCUCAAGUGUUCAGUGAAAAAUUGAAAACAACCAACUAUGAAACAGUUUUAAGAAAGAGAAAACAAAAAAACUCCUGAAUUAGAUACAUCUCCACCUUUCUUUUGUCACUUUUUUGAAACAGUCUUAAAAAAGAGACAACAAAAGAACUCCUGAAUUAGAUUCAUCUCCACCUUUCUUUUGUCACUUUUUUGAAACAGUUUUAAAACACACAAAAAAAUAGAACUCCUGGAUUAGAUACAUCUCCACCUUUCUUUUAUUACUUUUUUGCAAUACUAUUAACUAGGCUCCGAAAUAGAAUAACAAGCAAAAUAAUACCUCGUCCUAUACUCUUGCAUUUUCUCAAAGGACAAGAGAAAGAUCCACAGCAGUGAUUAAUUUUUAAAUAGAACCUAAAUGCAGAUAAGUCCUAACCAUUUUAAGAUAACCGAUUGAAAGCAUCUAAUGCGUGACCGUCAAACACGGGAGGUAAUAUCAACAUUUUUCCAUGACAAAACCGAUGAAUAAGGUAUACCGUGCAAGAUGCAACACCUAAUCAGCAUGUUCCUCAUGCCAUUAAAUGAGAAAAUUUCCUGACGUGGGGAGCAUAAACAAGGCUUACUAUUUAGUGAUAUGCACCAAUAGUUUUUCAAUUCCAUAAUUUGGCUAAGCAAGCAUAUUAGAAGGAAAUUCACUUUCUUAUUCUAUUUCUAUGUGAAUGUUGACGUAAUUUGCUCUGUGGCAACUGC
This 171815-nucleotide long non-coding RNA is filed under the name Eucalyptus grandis. RNAcentral describes it as "long non-coding RNA (EGRA_LNC002836)". Lineage: Eukaryota; Viridiplantae; Streptophyta; Magnoliopsida; Myrtales; Myrtaceae. The record is from RNAcentral.